RNAcentral lists this long non-coding RNA (100104 nucleotides) under Malus domestica (apple). RNAcentral's name for it is "long non-coding RNA (MDOM_LNC009719)". The record is from RNAcentral. Lineage: Eukaryota; Viridiplantae; Streptophyta; Magnoliopsida; Rosales; Rosaceae.
UAGGCUUUAUCCACGGUGUGAGCUGCCGGCCUGACGCGGAGUUUGGUAGGGGAGGGGAAUUUGAAGUCUACGAUUUUUUGGGACGUUGGCGGGCAACAGUUGGUCGGGACUGCUCCACUUGGAAAGUCCGCAGCUCCGCAUUUGGCUAGGUCAGGCGGCGACACUGGCUUUGCAACAGCGAAGGGGUCGCUGCCAAGACCAGCCACUCCACCGUAUAGGCUUCCGAGACCUAUAAGUACAUUUCUUCUGUCUAGGUUUACUGGAGAAGGGUUUUCAUGGUCGUGAUCGUUGGAGCUAGUGGAAGGGUUUUUGUUUUGGUCACUACUAUUAUUUGUGGCUUUGCAUGAGACAGCUUGUAAAUUGGAAUGCCUAGGGUUUCCAAAUGAGGAUAUUCGGUGAUACUUUUGGGAGAAAGGGGAGAGGAAAGUUGUGGGGAUGAUACUUGUGGCGGAGGUGACGAGUGGAGCUGACAUAGAAGCCAUGGUUACUUUUGACUCUGAAUAAUACGUUGUAUUGGCUUUGCUUUUAUAAUGUGUUCUAGGUUGUACUUUUCUUUGCACAGGUGGCAGGCCGUACACACGUGGUCGGUCCUUAAGGGUUUGACGAGGAAUACUACGUAGUCAUUUAGUACAGGACAACCAUACACUAUAGCAAGUGGCAUGUAUUUAGAGAUCGAGAGAGAAUUGGGUAAGGUUCACGAGGGAUUUGUAGUUUCAGAAGGUGAAUUGGUUUUGGUCUUCUUGUGUACCAAUAAUAUUUACUUAGUCAUUUAGUGCAGGACAACCAUGCACUAUAGCAAGUGGCAUGUAUUUAGAGAUCGAGAGAGAAUUGGGUAAGGUUCACGAGGGAUUGUAGUUUCAGAAGGUGAAUUGGUUUUGGUCUUCUUGUGUACCAAUAAUAUUUACUUAGUCAUUUAGUGCAGGACAACCAUGCACUAUAGCAAGUGGCAUGUAUUUAGAGAUCGAGAGAGAAUUGGGUAAGGUUCACGAGGGAUUGUAGUUUCAGAAGGUGAAUUGGUUUUGGUCUUCUUGUGUACGGCUGUGGGUCUGCUGUCCCGGACUCUCUGUCUCAUUUGUGUCUUAUUUUUUAUUUUUUCACACGUGUCUUUUACUUAACGUCAAAUCAUGAUAGCAAUGUUAUGCAAUUGGGAGCUAAACGACCGAUGCUUUUAUUUUUUAGUUUGCUUUUUUUCCAGAUCUGAUCAAAUCAUGAUAGCAAUGUUAUGCAAUUUUCAAGAGGGAAAGAUGCACCUGGGAGAGAAACGGUACGGUGACUUCUAAAUCACCGUCCAACAGAACAAUUCUCAGUAGAGACUACUAGAGAGAGAUGCACCUCACCAAUGAAAAAUUUAACUGCAAAAAUUCUGGGUAUUGGGUAAGGAAAUUCGGUGAUACUUUUGGGAGAAAGGGAAGAGAGAAGUUGUGGGGAUGAUACUUCUCGUGGAGGUGACGAGUGGAGCUGACAUAGAAGCCAUGGUUACUUGACUCUGAAUACUACGUUGUAUUGGGUUUGCAUAUAUAUAUAAUUAGGAUUGAAGGAUGUAGAGCUUAUUUUGUUAUGUAUUUUAACGAUUUAAGUGCUUAUCUUUUAGGUUUUCUCUUAAACAUCAUGUCUAUAAAAAAUCACCAAAAUUCAAACCAUAUGACCAUUAGAUCCAUAGUCAUUUUAGUGUUUAUUUGUAAAAUGUAUUCAUUCAUUUUCUUCACUACAAAUGAGUGAAUUAAUGAUUUUAGAAUUUGUCUAAUUUUUUACAUUGAUUAUUUAUGAAUGUUGAAUUGAAAUUUAGACGAUUCAAAAAUAGUUGAUAUGCAUUACAAAAUGAACUCCACAAAAUAAGUGUCAAAAUAUGUAUAAAAAAUGGACAGCGUGAAUGGCUUGGAAAUUGGAAUAGGUUUGAAAAUUGUGCUUUUUGUAGCAAAUUUUAGCAAAGUUUGCUUGGACUUUCACAACCGUAUAAAUUAAAGGGAAACUUGAUAUAACUCCAAUUUUUUGAGCCAAUAGUAGGAAUAGUCCAGUUUAUUAAAAUAAGUUCAAUUCUUUAAAUUUAAUUAUUUAGUUAUCAAUAAUUAUCUCUUAAAAGAAAAAACUUAUUGUAAAAAUCAAAUUUCUUCCUAAUUAUCUCUUUGAUUAUUUCUUUUUAUUUAUUUAUUUGUUAUUUCUUGUUCUUCCUCCUGCUUUAACCCAUUUAUAGAUUUUUUUUUUAAUUUUAUAAUCAACCUAUGUCACAGGUUAAUUGUAUUUAUCUACCUAUAUGACAUAUUCUUUUUCAUAGUCAACAUUUCACAGAUUAAUGUGUCUUGCUUGUAGAUAUAUUAUGUUUUUUUCUACCUUUUAGUUAGGUUUCAUAUCUCACUUAUAGGUAUAAUAUACAUUCAUAUAUUUGCUACUUGAGUUAGGGUAGAAUGUUUUGCAGAUAGAUUUAUGUUAGUAUAUUAAUUUUUUUUUGUUUAUAAGAUAUUAAUUAGAUAUUUUGGAGUUGAAAAAUGCAUAAUAUUAAAAGCUUUUAAUUGAUUUUUAAUAUUUUUAGAAAAUAUAAAAGGAGUAUAAAAGAAAUCAAAACAUAUAAUUAGAUAACGGGAGUCACUCCUAAAAACACUCUAUGUUUUUUGACCUGGAUCUUAAAGCCCCUAAAUUAAACUGUUCGCUUUGUUGGGAAAAAGAAGUGGCCCUAGUUUCCCUUUGAUUUUUCAAGCACGGUGGGAGACUGGUCAUAGUUUCUAGAUUGAUGCUCUAAUUCUAAUGUUAUACAACGCGUACGCUAUAAUAUUUUUAUCAAAAUAUUAGUUUUAGUGUUAUCAAAACAAUAUGUUAUUCUUACCAUGUUUUUGUAUCACAAUUAUAUACCACCUUAGAUGGUAUCUGAUGUGGACAGCCACAUCAUUUAAAUUAAUAAGCAUUUAAUUUCAAAAUGUUAAUCAAUAAUUAAUAAAAAGAUUGUUAAUUAAAUGAUGAUUGUGGUAUACAAGGAGUCUCCUUCUUCCUUCCUCUUUCCAUUCUGCUUUUUCUUCUUACCUCUUUUUUUUUUUUAAUGCCAGUUUUGUAUUGAUUUCUGUUGAUUUCCAUGAUUAUGGUCAAUCUUUAUAGAAUUUACUAGUAUGCCACAAUCACCAUUGAUUUCUAUCUCCAGACUCAUGCCCCGUAGCCCUAAUCCUCAUUCCCCUUCAAGUAUUUCUGUCUCCAAUCUUCUUUGGUACUCCAUGAUUGUUCAUCUCGUGAUAUUUUUUUUUUUGAUUAUUUCAUUAAGUAACGCUUAUUAGCUUUCAUGCGAAUUAGGAGUCAAAAUCAAAUUUGUCUAUCGGAUUAGGGUUCAUACCCAAUUAAGUUACUAACGCCAGAGGGAUUUUGAAGUAUGCAAUUUUCCUUAUUUAAGUGUUUUAAUUAAUAAGAAAAUUGAAAUUAAACAAUUUAGCUUGUCCAACUCAUCUGCCACCUAAGAUGGUAAAUAAAUGUGGUAUAAAAUUGUGGUAAGAAUAUCAUUACUCUUAUCGAAAUUACAAAAAAAAAAAAAAAAGCUGAUUCAAUAUUUAGUUAUUAAAAAAAAAAUGAUCAAGUAACUAUCCAAUACCCAUGUAUUGGGUGCUUUGUUUGAAAAUUUUCAAAAUGAUAUUGGGCUCGUUUGGAUAUGUUUUUAAAAUGACUGAAAGCAUUUUUAGAGAAAAUAUUUUUUUGAUUCCAAAAGCACUUAAAGUGCUUUCUGCAAGAAGCACCCGUUAUGUGCUUCUUCCUGGAAGCACUUUAAGUGUUUUUCCAGCAUUUACUUGCUUUUUUACUAAGGACUGGUUCCAAAAACAUUUUCACAAAAAGUGUUUUCAGUCAUUUUAAAAGCACAUUCAAACGAGCUCAUUGUUUUUCCUAUUUUAAUCGAGUGCGUCGUCCUCUGUUGAGAAUGAAUCUCAUAUUAUGGGAGGAGGGAUCUUGCAUGAAUGGGAGGAGGGACCUUGCAUGAGCUUAUAAGUAAGUUGGGUUACUCUCCAUAUUGCCAAAAGAAAUUUUAUUUGGACCCAGUUUUCCUCUCUCUAAACCCAACUUUAAUAUUUUGUUACCUAUAAACUCUCUAGUUUACCCUCAUAAAUUAUAAACAUAAAUAAACUAGAAAAAGAAAAACUCAUCAAACCCAUUUCCCAACUGUUCUGGCGUCUCUUCCCUGUAUUUGUUGGGUCUGUCUCCCUCCCGACUGUUUUUUUUUUUCUGAUAUCUCUGUGUGUUCCCCCACCUCUCCCACACCCACCAAUUCUUUGUGGUGGCUAUUCCACCAAACGUCCAGUGAAUCUUUCCAUUUUUCUUCUAUUGCGCGUGAUAGGGCCUUGCUAUUAAUAGGCAAAACUAAGCGGCAUCGUCGACUCCGUAAGCGACUUGUUGCAUAAGUCCAAAAUGGAGUCAAAUGGAUUUUGUAUUGGGUCGGGUUGUUGAAGGCGAUGGCUGAUUUAGCAAUCCCGCCUAACUAUUUCUAUAUGUAGGAGAAGGAAGAGGGAGGGAGGUCUGAAGUGGUGGUUGAGUGGUGGCGAUGUAUGUGGGUUCUCUCUCGGUUGAAUGGGUGUAGAAAGAUAUUUAAUUUUCAAUAUCUUAUUUUAUUUUGUAUAAGGGAUAAUAUAGGAAUUACAUAAAAAGUUUUUUUUAUAGCUAGGUGUAGAAAUAGUAUUGUUGGGUCUAAAUAAAAUUACCCUAUUGCCAAUUAGUUUUAUGGUGAAAUCUUAACUUUGUUCAUGCUUUCAUAGUAGGUUGUUCCACGUGUGAAGUCAAACAUCCACACGCGCUGCACGUCACCCCGUUGUGUUGUUCACGUGUUAAGCUUGAAAAUUCAUCACACAUGAGGGAGCGUGUUGAGAAUAAAUUCCACAGUUUAUAAGUAAGUUGUACUACUCCGUAUAUUACCAAUUAAUUUUGUGGAAUUCCGUCAAAGCUGAAUUUGACGGAAAAAAAUAACUUCAUGUUUGUUCUUAACUAUAAAGUCAGUGAUACACUAAUUCUGGUUUGUUUGUUUUUUCCUUCCUUCUUAAGGAAAUUCCCAAUCCAACCAAAAAAAUGAAAUUCCCAAGAGAAUAGUAGCACGAACAAUCGUAGCUUUCUUCUUCGAUAAGCCUUGGGGAAACAGAAAAGGGAAAACCGGACUUUAACCCUAAUUUCUCCCAAUGCCGCAGCACUCUCUAUUUUCUCUCUCGCUCUAUAUCGCGGUCCCUCUCUCUCGCCGUCCUCUAUUGCUCAAACUCAAUGUCUCCAACUUCCUCUGUAUGGUUCCCGAGGAAGAUGGUAAAACAGUAAGGGCAAGAAAUUGUGACAAGGUUAGAUUUGGGUAUUAAUCUGGUGGGGCUACAAUUCUCCAAUCCACACCCCUUUCAUCUGUGCUAGUGUUUGAACCCAAUAUUAGAUAACCGGUCCAUGCAAUCGAUGCCGUUGAAUGAGAAAAAUUCUAGGCCGUGGGAUCAAAUAUAAUGAUGUGGAUUAAAUAAGGAAAAUUUAAAGAGUAAUGAUAUUCAUACCAUGUUUUUGUACCACAUUUUCAUACCACCUUAGGUGGCAUUUGAUGUGGAUAGCCACAUCAUUUGAAUUAAUCAGAUUUUAAAAUUUAGUUGAUUAUUUAAUAAACUAAUAAUUAAGAAAAACUAAUUAAUUAAAUGAUGAUUGUGAUAUACGAGGAGUCUUUCUCGUUCAUUUCUUUGGGUUUUGCAAAUUUUUCAAAUGAUGUGGCUGUCUACAUCGGAUGCCACCUAAGGUGGUAUAGAAAUAUGGUAUAAAAAUAUGGUAUGAAUAUCAUUACUCAAAUUUAAAUGUUUAUCUUGGUUAAAUUACCAUGAUAAUAUUGUGGAAUUAUCUUUUGCAUAACGGAAGAGCGAGAAAAGUCCAAGGGUGUAGGGAAGUUGUGUGGUUGACUACCGCUAUUUUGAUGGUAUAAUCUGUAGAGUAAUAUUACAUUUAACAUCUAUUUGUAUCAUAUUUCUAAUAAAGAUAAGGACCAUCAAUGCAUAAAUAAUUAAACAAAUAUAUAAUAAGAGUAUCAUUUUUGUAACUAGAAUAGGAGAAGAAAGACUUCAAGAUGGGAUCAGCCAAAUAAUUAGCGUUAAGAUAAAAAUAUUGAAAGGAAAACUAAUGAAAAUGGCUUGAAAACUUUGAGUUUUAACGAUAAGGACAAGAUAAAGGGUAAAGUGAAUAGUACCAGGAUUGACUUUUUAAUGUAAAAAUAUAGUUUUUCGUUAAAGUGAACAUUACCGGGAACUUUUCGUUAAAGUUUCCAAUGAGAUAAUAUUGCAACAGCUGGCAUGAGACAAUGAUGGUAUAAAGAUGGCUACUACGGCCAAACUACUACAUAGGAUUCCAUACAUGCGGUCAUUAUUUCGACAAAUCAAUGGCUGCCGCAAUCAUGUGCUCAUUAUUCCGACAAAUCAGUAGCUACUUGCAUUGGAUUAGGAUUGCAUGCGUGUGGUCAUUGAAUGAGGAUUGCGUGCACGUGAUCUUUAUUCAAACAAAUCACUAUUGACCAUAUAUUGCAAUUGGUUAAUGGUAGGCAAAUUGAAUUUUUACAUCAAAUAAUGUGAUUGCUGAUAAUUGAAUUAUUAUUUAAAUGUUGAUUAAUAUGCUUAUUUUUUAUUUGUGAUAUAUCAUUUAAUUUGUACAUUUAGUUUACCUAACAUUACCAACUGUAAUUUGUAUAAAUGGACUGGUACCUAACAUAACCAGUUGUAAUUUGUAUAAAUGGGACUGUAAUUUGUAUAAAUGGACUGGUGCCUAACAUUACCAGUUGUAAUUUGUAUAAAUUUACUGGUCCCAAGAGCACAUGCUACUGCUCAAGAAGCAAAGUUCUUAUUUGCCCAAAAAAAAUCAUGGUUUUUUAAUUGAUGCUCUCAUUUUAAUUUACUAGCCCCUUACUUGGCCUUUUUUAUUUAUCAUUUUAUACAUAUUAAUAUUUUUUUGUAAAAUAUAUUAGUUUGAGUUUUAUUAAAAUUAAAAAUAAAUAAAAAAACUUAGUUUUAGUUUUAUCAAAUUAAAAAAAAAUGACUUAAUAUUUAGUUAUUGAAAUUGUAAAAAAGUGAUCAAGUAUUGGGUGCUUUGUUUGAAAUUUUUCAAAAUGAUAUUGUUUUUACCAUUGAAACCCUGUUAUAUACAGUGAUGGCUAAUUUGUCAAGUUCUACGAAGUUGGGAUACCCAGCGUUUUAGCAUAUAACAUAGCUUAGUAUUACAAGCAUAAUUAAUUAAAAUAAAGGCAAAAUAAGAGGAUAGCUUAGUAUUACAAGCAUAAUUAAUUAAAAUAAAGGCAAAUUGUAACAGCCCGUCCCUAAAAAUGACGAUUUUAUAAUCUUAACACGUGAGUUUAUGAAGAUGCCCUUCGAGGCAAAGUGUUGACUACCGCGUCGUGUCAUGUGAGACUCAUCUUCUUGGCGUAUUCUCGUUUUACUCGUCGCUACGGAUGCGUGGGCGCAAACGACACGUGAUUUGGAGCUAUAACAAAAGAGUUAUUAACAUUUAAAGUUAAGGACAUUUUAGUAAAUUAAUUAAUUUCAGAUUUUGUUGAGGGGAAAAUCUGGAGUGCCAUGUGGGUGGCCCAGAUUAAAGGAAAUGAGGAAUGGAUGGUGGAGGUGUAAAGGAAAGAAGAUAAAAGAAAAAUGAGAGGAAAUGUGUGACUAAUAGGGAGAUGAGAGAGUUAGGAUGGCCCAAUUAGAAACAAACGAAAGGAGGAAAAAGGAGAGAAGAGGGGAGCAGGGGAUCCCUUCAACCCGGUUCCACUUUCCGACCCGACCCGAUCCUUUUCAUCUUUUCCGGUGGUUUUUCGUCAGUUUUUCCGGCGAACCACGUUAUCUAACCCCGUUGAAAAUGUUCCACGACCUUCCCUCUACCAUUACAACCCAAAAUUGUAGAAAUUUAGCCAUGAAAGUAUGAAAACCGCACCGGUGGGUGCGGGAAACCUUUGUCGUCGAUUCUCCCAUUAUUGAAACGAUUUUCACCAAUUAUCACCACCUACAGCAUCCUCUUGAGGUCUGGAAUAAAGCCCAAACAAGUUUUGGGGCGUUGGAGUUCGUUUAAGGUCGAAUUGAGCACACCCAAAUUCAAGGGUUCCGUACCGUUCAUGGUGAUUUGAGGUGUUUCUCGGCCAAAUUGGCCUUAGUCACAAGUAUGAAAGUUGCUCCACUCGUUGAGAUCUUCAUUUAUGUGAAAUUUGAGAAUUUUUUGAAAUAUUUGGAUUUUCCAGCGAGUCGGGGUGGCGGACCGCCACCGGCAGCAGCGCAUGGCCAGUGGUCCACCAAUGUCAUUUUACGUUAAAUUGAUAUCUUGAUUUUAGAUUUGAUGUCUAUAUGUUAUGACUUGAUUAUGUGAACCUAGUUUGAUUAAGGUGCGUUAAUUGGUAAAAAUAUGAAACGACGAUCCGACCGUGGGAUCGUCACCAAACUUUAAUAUGUUAUAGUACAUAAUAUUUGAGAAUCAUAGGGACUGACAGAUAGGAAAUCCGAGAUACAGAUCUUCCCGAAAUGGAAUUGUAAGUUUGAAGAAUAAACGUUAACCGCCACUUUGUUUUGACUAUUGGUGGAGAUCCAACCGUUGGAUCAUAAUGAAAUUUUAGGAUGAUGUUUUAGAAGCAUAAUGUGGAUCUUUGGAAGUUACUGAUCGGAAAUCCGAGGAGUGAAUCUUCCGAAUUGAAUUACGUAGGGUUGUGGACCUUACCGUCGAUCGUUGACCGAUGAUCGACUUUUGGUCAAUGGGGCUUAAAUCAAUCUAAAACGUUUUUAGGGAUGUGUUUUACGUAAAUUACAUGAUCUAUUGAUAAGAAUUAUGAGAUGUGGUUUGAUAAUUGUCCUAGGUGCCGAUCGUUAGGAACGCUUCGAUGGUUAUGCUAGGAAAUUGUAGCACAGACUCCUUGUGAGUGAAUCUUUUCCUUCUUAUCAUAUAUAUAUAUAUAUAUAUAUAUAUAUAUAUAUGAUUGACAAUUCCACAAACGUUUAUAAAUUGAUUAUUGCAUAUAACUACUGUGAAUACUUUGAAGUACUUAUGCGAACUACGAAUGGCUUGAUCCGUGUUUAGGGUACGUAGGCAGUCUAACAAGACGUUAGAUGUAGUCAUACAAUAAUUGAGAUUAAACAAUUGAGAUAAAGCCUUGUUUGGGGAACUGGGCAAGGUGAAGGAAUUUGGUAAAAAGGUGAGAUUUAACCUUAUGAAUUGGUGAUUAAAUGUUGGUCAUAAAUCAAUGUGUAAAGAAUCAAGAAUUUGAAGUAAGGAAACGUAAGUAAUGAUAAUUAAUUAAACUAGUGUCUAGUUGGGCUUGUCACCUAUAAUUAUCCCCGAAAAUGAAUAAUUCGGGAGUAGGGCGUUACAGCUUCUGCAUUUUUAUGCCACAUUAUAUAUAUAUAUAUAAUUGGAAAUGCUAUAACAUGGUUGAGUAUCAGAUUUCAUCAUGGUUUAUCUAUAUGUAUAUUACCUGCACACAAUUAUUAUGAACGCGUUGAAGUGCAAAGGUGAAUGCACGACACCCAGGUAAGUUCAGGUGAGUUUAUGGUAUUAGUUGAAAUGAUGGGGUUAUGGUAUGACUACAUGUAUGUUUAGGUUGCAAUGAUAGGCAACUCCAACACUGUCGUACAGGUUGCCCAUGAAUUGUACAUGUUACAAUAGAUACAGUUAGAGCUCAUAAACCUACACCCCGGUGUUAGUACUCCCGCUCGUGGCCAGGGCACAGUCCUUCACGUGAUGUUCACCUCCCGCACCUUACGCUCACCUUGGAUCCAAGGUAGGUGCACAAUCAUGUCGUACCACUAUAGGUGGUUCCGACUCGUAGAUGACCCGCGAUUAUUUGCACAGUCUUCACGUGAUUGUAGCACUUGAGCGUAUUUAUUUACACCCAGUUCUAUUGUACAGACCACUUUAGGUGGUUCCGACUCGUAUGCAGGUAUACUUAUUAAGCUAUGGAUAAGUCGUACAGGUCACUAGAAGUGACUCCGACUUAUGAGCUAGCAUAUGUGAUGAGCUAGCAUAUGUGAUGAGAUAAGUGAUGAGUUAGUAUAUGUAAUGAGAUAUGUGAUGAGCUAGCAUAUGUGAUGAGAUAUGUGAUGAGCUAGCAUAUGUGAUGAGAUAUGUGAUGAGCUAGCAUAUGUGAUGAGUUAGCAUAUGUGAUGAGCUAGCAUAUGUGAUGAGAUAUGGGUAAGUCGUACAUGUCACUAUAGGUGACUUCGACUUGCGUGCUAGUAUGGGUUAUUAAUCACAUGAUUAUUGAUAUUACUGAUGAGAUGCUGUGUUGUGGUAUAUUUAUGAUCUUUCUGGAAACUAUGCAAGUGUUGUAACGAGGGGUUAUAAUGAGGUGUUGUAACGAGGGGUUAUAAUGUUUUAUAUGGUUUCUGUUAAAAUUUUAUUUCUAGGGUCACUCACCCUUAUUUUGUUUUCACCCUCUAGGUUUUAUUAGCUGAGCUUUCUUAUCGUCGAAGAUUCGUGGCGAUUCUUAGUAUUGGAGAUUAUUUCGAGAGUACGAUUCUUAAUUCACUUUACUGUACUUGCUUAAGCUGUAACGUCACGUGUGAAGUGGGUUCAUUUCCGCUUACCAGCGCAUUCUGGUAUUUAGGCACUCUUAGGUUUAAAUUUAUUCACAUUUUUCCACAUCAUCAAACUUUAUGGCUUUGUCACUCUUUAGGUGUCGGCCAGCACAGCUCGAUUUGGAGUCCUAGUGGACAUUCCGGGUCGGGGUGUGUCACAAAUGAAGAGGAUGGUUGAACUUGUUAAGUUUCUUAAGUGUGUCUACUUGAAGUGUGUUGCUAAUAAAUAUUUUGUUGUAGGCAUAAUUUACUGAACAAUUAUGGAGGCAGAGAGAGAGAGAGGGAAUAUGCGGCAUAGAGAGAGAAGAGAGAGAUGUGUAAUUGUGAGGUGUGUUCUAUUCCACCCCAUUGUACCUUUAUUAUAUUAGUAGGGAAAGUUAAUUCCUUACCCUUUUAGGAUUACAACUCUAAUAGGAAAAUAUCUAGUCUAAGAGAUAUGAUAGAAUCUCAUAAGGAUAUCCUAGAUAUGUUAGGAUUUACACAAUCAUAUUCCUAUUCCAAUAAGACUGCAACACAUUUGUAUUUUUUUAGAAUUUUUUUGAUAAUUUGUUGGUAUUCUCAAUUUUUGUUAACAUUGAAAAUAUAACGGUUCAGAUGAAAAACCUUUGGAAAUCCAACAGCUUGCAAGACGUUGGGCUGUGCUGAAGGAAGCUGGGCUGUCACGUGGAUGGGGCCCUCCCUCUCCCUCUUGUUGAUUCAAAGGGCGCAGGCCCGUGCAACAAUUGGCGAGGCAGCCCAUAGAGAUCCUGCGAUUCACCCAUUCGCCAUUUUUUCCACCGCUGGAGCACCAAAAUUCGGUCAAAAGGCAGGGGUAUCAAUGGCAAGGGCAAUUUGGCUUCCGCUGGAGGUGCUCUUUGUCGACUUUGUUUUUUCUCUCAUUUUAGCUUUUGCAGUAAUAUUGAAGUAAUCACUCCAAUUUUAUCCAAACUUUUGUUGUCCGUCAAUUUUUAUCAAAACUAUUGGUUAAUUUACAUAUUCAGACUAACCUUCUCAUUAUUUUUAGUAUUUUUAUCAUAAAUAAUAUCUGAAAUAGUCACAUUUUAUUCAACAACCACUCAAUUAAAAAUUAAUUAGUGUUGUUUCUAAACCAUUACAUCAAGCUUUUGUAGAUACACAUCAAUAUUGCAGCGAUCCGAGGCAUUGUUUUAGUGACGGUAGUACUUUCUACUCCUUGGAUUUGGUGAAUCGGAAAAGAGAAGAGUUACGAGUAAAAGUCCCUCGCAUUGUUUUGGGGAGAUGAAGAUGAUGAUCUUUUGUUUUUGUUUUUUAAUGAUUAAUCCACGCAGCAACAUAUAAUUAAAUUGUUGGGAUCUACUCAAGUUCCAUAUCACACACUAACAUAAAAUUUGACAAACGAAACGAAAUAUGUGUGUAGACAUCGAAAUUUCGUAAAUAAAUGUUGACCGAUAAAUCAAAGUGUCAACGCUCAUGUAUUACAUAAAUUUUACACGUAGCGUGUGACUCAACGAAAAUUGAAAUGAGUUGGAAAAGUCAUCAAAUAGGACACGUGUCAACACCUGGCAGAAACGACUUAUUUCAUCUGGGAUAUUAUAUUCAAAAUUAGCCAUUGGAAAAUUCUAUAAAUACAAGCCCAUUUCAUUCAUUUAAGGAGAGGAAUUCAUAUUACACCUUGAAGCUCUGAAGCUCUGAAACUCCGAAGCUCUCAAGCAUCCAGGUUCCCGAAGAAUCAAGAAAGUGUUCUUCGUUCUUCGUUCAUCGUUCUUCCAAGAUCAAGCCUCGACGGCCCUUGGAUCAACAAUCAUCCACCUUCAAGAUCAAGCCCCGACGGCCCUUGAAGAAAGCGUUCUUCGUUCUUCGUUCAUCGUUCUUCCAAGAUCAAGCCCCGACGGCCCUCGGAUCAACAAUCAUCCACCUUCAAGAUCAAGCCCCAAAGGCCCUUGAAGAACUUCCACCAAUUCAAGAUCAAGCCCCGACGGCCCUUGAAGAAAGCACCAUCGUUCAUCAUCCGUUCAUCCAAGAUCAAGCCCCAACGGCCCUUUAGAUCAACAACGUCGACAAAUCCACACAUCCAACCGUUCUUCAAGAUCAAGCCCAAAAGCCCUUGAAGAUCCGUUCAUCACUGUUCUUCAAGAUCAAGCCCAAAAGCCCUUGGAGAUCCGUUCAUCACUAUUCUUCAAAGAUCAAGCCCAAAAGCCCCUUUGAAGAUCCGCUCAAAUCCACCUUCAAGAUCAAGUCCACGGCCCUUGAAGAACGUUCAUCCUUAGAUCAAGCCCAACGCCCCUUUGGAUCAAUCGCACAUCCACAAAUCAACACCUUACGGAGAUCGAAUCAGAGGAUCAAAAUAGAGAGAGAUUGUAACCCAAAAUCAUCAAAUACAAAUAUUUGUUUGUGCGCGUUGUUCUUGUCUCUUUCGUUUCAGGAAUUUUCCGUGUUCACAAUGUGCUCUUGAAAUCAAAAUGAGGGCACUGCUCCAAGAACAAGAAGGGCACCUUGUCGAGGUCGCCAUCCGCCGUGAGGGAAAACCGGAAGAAGUUGGACAACAAUGAUAACAUCAAUUUGCGGCACCCAUAUCGGGACAUCACACUGUGAAAUAAAUAUUGAAAUAAAUACUCAAAACUCCUGGAAAGUCCUCGAGACAACAAACUUUCAUCUCCUUCAAACAUUUCAUUUUACUAAGUUUUAUCUUUGAAGGGAGGGAAAAAAAGAGAAGAGAGAAUCCUACUCCUUAUUCCUGAAUAUAUUCAAGAAUAGCUAUUGAAUAAAGAGAGAAUGGAGGGUGAUCGAAAGAGGAGGGAAGAGAAUUCUAGUUCCAAACAUAAAAAGGACCACAACUUUUAAAUUAUCAGCACAAUCAUCACCUAAUUGAAGAGACCAUUCACUGUGAAACAUAUUGUCAAUCAGUCUAUCUAUAUCUAUUUAUAUACCAUAUUUUUAGAGUAAGAUUCUCUCACCUCCUAUUACCAUCCCCUUCCAUCCUUUCAUCUCAUACUCUUUUUUUGUUGUCUUAUUCUCUAUAUAAAAAAAUUCAAAACAAGAUGUAUACGUGACGUAAUCGUAACCGUUUAAAUAAGAGGGGAUAGAAGAGAAGAGAGAUUAGGAGAAGGGAGAAUCCUACUCCCACAUUUUUCUUCUUCAUAAACAAAAGAGAGGUUCUAGAUUACUUGACUCUAUGCCUCAUUUUUUUCAUCAAGUAUUUGUGAUAAGUGGGUUCAUUUUCAAGUAUUUUAGUUUUUUUGUCAAAAUUGAGAAAACUGAAAAUCAAACAUUAAUAUGAAAAAUUAAAAAAUCAACAUAUAAUUAUUUAGAAAUCGCAAUAGAAAAGAAAAAAAAUGGAGGUUUGUGAUGAAAAAUCUUUUAUACUAAGUAAUUUAGUAUCCUUAUGCAUGAAGAUAAAUCAAUUUGUUCGUUACGGUCAUACUCUUUUUUGAAUUUUUGAACACAUUCUCCAUAGGGCCUUCUUAUAUGUUCCUUCUCCAAGCUCGGGUUAUGGAAGAAGUAAAAGAAGGAAUCGAAAAGAAAGUAUUGGUAACAACCGAUUUCAUUACGAGACAACUCUUGAUAUUCAUAUCAAUCUAUUAUGUACCUUUGCAUCUAGCAUUAGACAAUAAUUGUCAUAGCUUUACCAUAUUUUUUUGUUUCAUUUCUUCUGAAACAAUCUCACACACUUUUUUAUUAUGUGUCUACUACUAGGAAUUCAAUACGUAAUCUUAGCAUUCAAUAGUUAUUCCUAAAUAAUUUCAAUUUUCAAAUGAUCAACCAUUUCAUUUUACCAAGUUCAAUCAAUGUUAGUCAGAUUAGUCAACAUUUAUAUAUUUUGAUGCAACAACAAGAUGUUAUUUGUAACAAGUGAUUUUGUUAGUUGGUUAAUUGGUCACAAGUUAAUGUUCGGUUCAGUUUAGUUUUUCUCUCGAUUUUUUGUGAUUCGGUUUUUUCAAUUCUCUUUAGGGUCGGUUCGGUUUUGUUUUUUUAUUUAUACUUGAAUUUUAUUUUAAUUUAUUUUAAUUUAUUUUAUUUUAAAUCUGGAAACACCAAGAACAACACAAGCACAUAGUCAAUCAAACAACUAUCCUUCUCCACAAAUCAUAGUAAUAAUUACAUUCAUUGAGCUGAAAUGCAAAUAACUAACAAACUCACAAAAAUCAAAUAAAAACUACAAAUUGCUUACUCUUUUUCUUUGGGUUUCACUCGAAAAGUGUCGGUAAAAUUUAGGGUUUGCAAGAACGCAACUGAAAUCUAAAACGGAGGCCUUGUGGCCUAUGGGUUGCUAUUGAGUUCCAGUACAGAGAACCUUGCUUAAUCUCGAUCACGGUACAAAGUAUCGAGUACCUUUAGCACUGUAUUUUGGUAUGAUUGGUAGAACCAAAUUAAAAGCUAACAUCAACAACAACUACCAGAGACAAAAGCUCUUAUCAAUGCUUUGGAAACAUUUAUGUAUCUCCAAGUGUAAUGAUAUAAUUGGUUGGAAACUUGUGAUUUCGUAUCAAAUCAAUAAAAAGUUACAAUAUUGACAAUAUAUUAGCAAUUUUUAUGUUAAUUAUGAACAAGUCAAUCAUGUAGAACCAAAUUAAAAGCUAACAUCAACAACAACUACCAUAGACAAAAGCUCUAAUCAAUGCUUAGGAAACACAGUCCUGUAUCUCUAGGUGUAUUGAUAUAAUUGGUUGGAAAUUUAAAAGAAAAAUGGUGAUUUUGUAUAAAAUUGAUAAAAAGUUACAAUAUUGACAAUAUAUUUGACACACCCCGACCAAGAUCAAGGCAUGCUGGCCGUCACAUGAGAGUGACGUAACCAUGUGCACAGUGCGGAAGCAAUAAUGAUAAGAAAUAUAUGAAUAAUUAAAAACCGAAUCUACUAGAGUGCACUACUAAACAGGAAGUAUUAGGAGUAAGAUACAAAAGUAAAUACUCCUAAUCAGAGCAUAGAAAGUCUAGGUGCAAUCCAGUAGGACAAGUACUAAUUAUACAGUAUAAAAUGUCUUACAAUUAUUUAGAUAGGUCAGAACCGCCGAAGUCCUCACACCCAACAACUGCAAACUUACUUAAAACCUGAAGGGGCGCAAAAUAGAAAACGUGAGUGGGAAAAAACAAAUGUUUUACAAAACCAUUUCAUUUAUCAAUAUAUCUAACCCCUCGCUGUAAACAUGUAUAAUUUUUCCCAGAAUCAAGAUAUAAGCAUAUACAUAAAUAUAUAUAUAAAUAUAUCAAUUCAAAUCAUGCUUCACAUAAUCAUAUUCAUAUGUAUGUCAUGCCAAGAUAUAACAGAGUAAGCAACUCAGGUAAGAGUAAUUUCAUAGAAAUAUAACAUGUUAGCCGGAACCCCUGUAGUAGUCUGUACGGCUGAAUUCAUAGCUCAAAAGUCAAUCUAGCCGAAGUCACUACAAUGACCUAUACGGCAAUAUACUGCACAAGAGUCGGAACCAAAUGAAAAGAUCUGUACGACAAUAAUGGGUGUUGUUGAUGCACAAAAUCAGUGAGGACUUUGGUACAACAGAAAGUGUUAAGUUUGUGACAUUCUCUAGAUUACUCCGAUCACUAGUGUGGAUAAGUAUGUAAAUGGAUAAAGACAGGGAAGCAAACACAAGAUGUACGUGGUUCACCCAGAUUGGCUACGUCCAUGGAGUAAAUGAGUUCUUAUUAAUUGUGAAGGGUUUACACAAGUAUAUAGGUUCAAGCUCUCCUUUAGUGAGUACUAGUGAAUGAUUUAGUACAAAUGACAUUAGGAAAUAUUGUGAGAGAAUGAUCUCUAUUUAUAGAAGAGAGUUUCUAGUUUCAUUCUGACAUUGACACGUGUCAUGUUGUGAUUGGCUUCUGAUGUUGACAUGUGUUGCACUAUGAUUGGCUUUAGAUGUCAACAUGUGUCGCGUUGUGAUUGGCCUCCUGGUUUGAGGGAAACUCUUCUGGCUCCUUGACGGUAUAACGUUGAUCGAUGCUCAGUAGUUUCGGGAUUGGUCAAGUAUGGUACAAACAGGUGUAAUAUAAUCAUACUCAAUACUACUCUCACAUAAUAGCUGGGUGAUAAAUCGCUAGUCACCUAUGAGUCAGAACGAUAAUAAAGGUCUGUACGAAGACUGUGCACCUAAAUUGGAUCCAAUAUGACCAUAUGGUGCGGGAUGUGACAUUAUAUACAGGCUUGUGCCAUCACUGGCGGAGCUACACCCACGGCUACAGUAGGCUGUAGCCUAGGGAGGAUUUUAACAAACUGCUGGUAUAAUAGUUUAUAUAUGAGUUUGUUGUUGCUUAUUGUAUGUAUAAUAGCCCACAUAAAUCCUGCCAAAAUUAUUAGUUAAUGUGUUUCUUAAUUUAUAAAUAAUACUUUUAUUACCUUUUAUUAUUUUAUUAUUUUUAGGCUAAAAGUAAAAAUGGUAAAUUAAUACAUAAUUAGGUUUCUCCUAUUCCCCAUGCUUUUUACCUAUUCGUUCAAAACAAAAAAAUUAAACCCUCUACCCUAAGAAAAGAAAAACUAUGAAUCACCAUCAAAUUAUUUUCUAAUGAAAUUCAACACUAGAUAUGCUCUUCAUGUCUUCAUUUAACCUAUUUCUUGAUUCAAUUGUUCAUUCCAUAUAUCUACAGCACGACUUGAAUUGGUAUCCCCUAACCUUUUUUCUUUUGGGUACUUGUUAUCAACAAAAGUGAUAAUAUUUGUUCUCUUUCUAUUGCUUUUUUGUAUGCAUGUUUUAUUUGUGUAAAAAUUAGUUGGAAAGUAAUUAAUAAACUUGUUUGGAUUAUUAGUACUUCAUGUUCCUACUUUUAUGUAGAUUACUAUAUAAUUUUAUGUAGGCAAAAAAAAAAUUCAUAAGAUUAUAUGCUAAUGAUUUUAGUUAGCCCACCCAAGAAAAAUUUUCUGGCUCCGCUAUUAUGUGCCAUAACUCUGGCAAAAUCACAAUCACCCUAAGUGCAGUUUUAUGAGUUCAACGUUAUUCUAUCACAUAUCACAUCAUCGAUAAUUCACAUAACCAAACAUAACUCACAUGAGCUUACCUGAGCGUCCACAGUACCAUAAUUAUAUAUAAUGCAUCAUAUACGAAAUAUAAAUUCAUAUGCAUGGCAUUUAAGGUAUACUUUCAUUUAAACACAUAUUUCUGGGAAAAUAUCAAGUAUAUAAAUAUAUACUGAAAACCAAAAGCCCACUCAUUGGUAUGUCGAAGGGUCGUAGCCCCCGAGUCGCCUUUGAAUACUCUCGUCCUCGUGAUAAGUCUCACCUAUAUGCGAAUUAACUAUAAAAACGUUAUUUUAGAGCACAUACAAAAAAUUAGCUAAUAACUCUCAUACAAUGCUCAAUUUUUGUAUUUGAAUAUAUCACAGUGACCUACACAACCUCAAGAUCAUCCCUAAAUUUUUACAAUAUUUUUCUGACCCCUCACGCGCUGCCACGCACCGGCAAGGGCAACGCCUUACUCGCCCCCACGCGCGGCCACGUGACAAGCAUACUGAUGGCGUCAAUCAACAUCAUCAGGAAUAUUCUAGGGAAUAUUCUGUUAAAACCCAAUGGUAACUGUUAAAGAUGACUGACGGCAUGAGCAUAUUCUGUCAACCUUGACGGAAUAUACUCCUUUCUUCUCCGAUGAGUCGUCGGUCGCCGGCGACUUCGCCGAUUUCUUGGUAAAACUUUAAAUCGCUUAUUCUUCUUCGUUUCUUCGCCAUUUUUCAUGAAAUUGGUACCAAAAUGAAGCUAAUAACAUGUAGAAUCACUUUGUAUAAGUUUCAAGGCUUAAAAUCUACUAGUUUUUCCCUGAGAAAGCUCGAUAGUUCGGCUUACCUAGAUAUGCGUCGAUCUCAGCCCUCCGACGUCCAAUUCCUUCCAACGAAGUACCCCAAGACUCGUGAGGACCUCCUUAAGCUUCCUAUAAGCUUCAAAUUCCCUGAAACACAAGAUUUUACGUAUGCAUGAACAAUGCACAAAGUCGGAGCUAGGGUUUCCACGUGAAAUCGAAGGUUUCCUUACCUGAAAAUGGUUCCUUUGAAUUCGUAUGGUUCUCACGAACACAAUGGUGAUCUUAAAACCUUCGAUCUACAAGGUUUAAGAGGGUUUCUGGGUUGGUCCGUACGAAGAAGGGAGAGAGAGAAUGAGAAUCUGCGAGAGAGAGGGCACGGGAAGGAAAGAGAAAUAAGAUAGGUGUGUGUAUGGUCCAAAAGCCACCAAUCAAAACUAAGAAAAGUCUUAGUUGUAAUUGGGUCACCAAUCUAAAACAAUUUAACCCAAUAAUAACUUACACACAUCAUUUAACAUCCGAGGGUAAUUCCGUCAUUCUACGUCAUCGAGAAUAAUCUUCCGGGACGGGCUGUGACAAUAUCAGCAAUAUUUAUGUUAAUUAUGAAUAGGUCAAUCAUGUAUUUAAUACUUAAAUGUAUUUAAAAUAAACACCUUAUCAAUGUUUUCUGAACUGUGCUCGAUUUUUCUCCUUCGCUUUGGUUCUGUCCCAUUGGAUUUUUCAAGCAAGAUUUUAUCAAGGCAACUAUCAUUAACUGUGAACAUAAUUUAUCAUUGAGACACGAACAUCCAAGGGGGAGUGUCGUGGAAAAAAAUGUAGAUAUCUUUAUACGUUGUAUGGUAGUAAACCAUCAUAAACACCAUAAAUAUGUAGAAACGCCCUUGCGGUACCUUUGAAUGAUAACUCAUGUAUUUGUUGCCCUAUGUAAAGAUGGCUAAUGAUAAUGGAAGACUAAUUUUCUCAUCCCAAUCUCUCCUGUCUCUCUUAUUCUCUUUUCUCUAUAUUUUAUUUCCAACAAGUUGUGUUUUUUUUUUAGUAUUGUUAAGCAACCCAAUAGAUUUUAAUCGUAGUCUUUGUUUUUUUUCUUUUAUAUUUUUAAUCAAUUUCAGUUGCUUAUCAGUUCUAGCUAAUUGAGCUCUUUUACAGCAAUUUUUUUCUUUAAAUAAAAUUAUUAUUAUUAAAAAGAGUGAGAAAAUUCGAAAUUGUUACAAUAAUUUAAAAAAAAUAGGAGUUUCAAAUCAUGAAGGUAGAGGGAGUUAACAACAUUUUAGGGGGGGGUGUAGUCAAACUAGGAUUUUGAAGGAUUUUAAAAGUGAUAGAUUUGAUAGGAUUUAAGAUGAUUAAAGACUCUUACAAAAUUCAUAUGGAUUUUAAAGAAUAUGAAUGGAUUGCGGUGGAUUGUGGGGGAAGGAUUUGAAAUCCUAGGGGGUGAGGUUUGAUUCUUUUUAGUUUUGGUUAUAUAUGGUAUGCUUUCAAAUCCCAGAAAAUCCACAACUUUUUAAAAUCCUUUAAAAUCUUAAUUUUUUUAAUACACUUAGAUUUGGAUGGAUUCUAAAAUCCUUUAAAAUCUUUUAAUUGACUACACCUAGAUUUGAAUGGAUUCUAAAAUCUUUUAAUUGACUACACCUAGAUUUUAAUGGAUUCUAAAAUCCUUUAAAAUCUUUUAAUUGACUACACUAUGAUUUUAAAGUCUUUAAAAUCCUCUCAAAUCCAAGUUUGACUACACCCCCUAAAGAUUUUAAGGAAAACUAAUGAAAAUGGCUUGAAAACUUUGAGUUUUAACUAGGGGUGGGCAAACGGGUACAGGAACCGCGGGUAGGGGUGGGUAAUUCAAGUUCGGGGCAGGUAUGGGACAUGUCCAAUAUUUCUAAACACAAAACGGGGCGAGGCUGUUCGGGUAUAUGAAAUUAUCGGGGCGGGGCGGGUCUUAAAAUAGAAGGGAACGGGCCCCCAGCCUGACCCGUUUCUUUUCCUCAUCCCUAGUCUUCUCUAUCUCUCUUCCCCGACACUUUUCAUUUCACUCAAACCCGGCCCAUUUCUUUUCCUCAUCAGUCAUCCCUAGUCUUUUCAAUCUCUCUUCCCUAACUCCUUUCAUUUCACUCGUACCUCGAGACCUCCUCUUAACUCGCUCCCAGCCUCCCACCGUCCUAGCUCCGUACCUCGCCAUCAUCAUCGUCAGACCUCCAUCUCUCCUGAUUUACUCAUGUCUUCCUCGCUGCGUCCGCCGCCAUGUCUCUCUUUCUGUGACGAACUUAAAGGGACGGACGAAGUUGAACAACUCGAAACGACGCCUCUUCUGUCUGAAUUAGACCCAUAUUUGCAGCGCACGACUCUGCUCAUAGUCCUCUUCGGUUUUAAGGUAUUACGUUUUAGAGAUUUAGGAUUGAAAAUUAAAUUAGGGUUUUCUAGAUUUAGGGAUUUUGUUGGGUUCUUGAACCUUGACCUCUGUUAUGUUCCAAUUUCAAAUAUAUAUUGAAUUGAAUUUGAAUCGACUGUGUUUGAAACUUCUGUUGAAUUAAAUUGAAUUUGAGCAGGAGAAGAGGCAGAUGUGGGUUGGGCAAUGUCGAAUCUCAUUGUGGGUGGUGAGGUGGGCAUGGCGGGCGACAAUAUUGACUGGCAAUGGUACGGGCGGUGCUAUUAAGUUGCAGAAGAAUACGAAGGAGGGGGUGUGGGCAUGGGUGGAUAUCGCAAGCUCAAUUGAAUUUUUUCUGGUUUUGUUUGUGAUUAAUUGCUUGUAUAUGAUAGUUAUUGAUGGAUCUUGACAUGCCCAUUUAAUUGUUAUUGGCAAUGCUAGUUUGAUUGUAACAAAUUCAAACCGAUUGAAUUGUAUCCCAGAAAAAAAAAUCAAUAAAGGAACUGAGGACCCGGCCCGAACCAGCCCAUUUCAACCGGGCCAGGUUAGGUUCGGUUCUUAUAUUAGAAAAUGUUGUUCCCGGCCCGUUUCUCUUAAGCCCGGAUCCAGUCCGAUCACUUCGAAAUUGGCCCCAACCCGGCCCGGGCCCACCUCUAGUUUUAACGAUAAGGACAAAAUAAAGGGUAAAGUGAAUAGUACCAAGUUUGACUUUUUAGUGUAAAAAUGUAAUUUUUCGUUAAAAUAAGAUUUUAAUGGAUUCUAAAAUCCUUAAUUAAGAAAUUAGGCUUCAACCCAACUCAUCUUUGCAACGCCGGUUCCACUUCACAUCAACAGGCAAUGUUUUCUCCUCAACAAAUAGUAUUCUUUUAUGAGACAAAGACUAAUGAGGGUGAUAUAUAUAAUUAAUAAUAAUACUUGUGUUCCCUUUGUGAGUGAAUGCACUUAUUUUACCAUUCUCUAAUAAUGUAUCUUUAUUAUAUAAAUUUAUAUCAUGUGGAUAUCUUCCUAUAAAAAAGUUAUUCAAAUUGGAAAUCCUUACGUCAUCAAAAUAUAUAAAAAAAUGGACGAUCUCAUCGUAAAUAUGUUAGUUACUCACACUAUAACUUUGUAUAUUCCCUCACGUAGGAAACGCAAUAAUUAUCCUCUAAUUAAUUCUUCUUGAGAGUAGAAUUUUUAUUGUUGGUUUUUCGCAACCUUCAGACCUAAAGCUGAUAUGGACCUCUCAUUGUUUUUUGGGUUGCCGUUCUUAUUUUGCUUGGUCCUUUUACCUUUUCUAUAGUUGUUUAUCUAGUUCUUUUGAGCCUCGUACUAAUUUUUAAUGUAAUGAAAAUUAUCUUCGUGAUAAAAAAAAAAAUCAUUAGUCCUCGUAUGAACAUGCGAUGUAACACACUUUCAUGGAACAACAGAUGAUAAAGACGAUAUCCAAAUUUUCUCUGUGUUAUGUGGACUUUCCCAACCAAAUAAAUAAUAACCAAUAAACAAAUAAAUAAGAGUUUAACUUCAAACAUUGAGAAGCGAAAUUCCAACACUACGAGCCUAACUUUUGUCUUCAUCAUCAUCAUAGACUAGUCUCCUAUCCAUCAACUCCUACAUCAAUUUUUUUUUUUACUAGAUUGUAGCUCACUUUCAAAAGAGUUACGUAAAGUAUUUAAGCACCAUAAAAGAAAAUUAAACGACAACGAUUGACAUAAUAUUAGUAGUAUCAUGGUCUAAAAUAUUCAUAAUAUCUUGAUAUUUUUAUUGAAAUUUUCGUGUUUUUAGACUACCUAUAUUUUCAAUAUCAUCGAUAUUUUAAACCUUGCUAAGUCACUCAUGUAUCUUACCAUGCAAUGUAUAAAGUGUAAAAUAUUGUACUAAUUCAUUAUAUAUAAAUGAUUAUAGUGUGUUUAAACUUCUUUCAUUAAUUACUACAUAUUUUCUACACUCACAAUGUUUGCCAGCUCGCUAUAUAAUCAACUUAAAUCAAUUAUAUCUAUCAUGUAAUGCAUUUCCUUCCAAUUUUUUGUGAUAAACUAAUAGAUAAUUGACUAAAUAAACAUCCUGCAAAGUUUCAAUAAAAAUUUCCAAGUUUUUCUUACAAUUUCCGUAGUUUUUAUUCAAUUUUUAUCGAUAUCGAUAAUAUCCCGAUAUUUCCAUCGAAAUUUCCGUAUUUUUAGACUACUGAUAUUUCCGAUAUCAUCGAUAUUUUAUACCUUGGUAGUUAUACAUUUUAUCGGCCUCAUUUUUAUGCAACUUAUACAUUAAAUUAUUGUCAAAAUGUACAUAUAAAGUAGCUGAUCAACGAUGAGAUUUUAGGCAACCAUUUUCUUCUACGACGUCAAAGGUUGUAGAGGUGGCCAUGUGCACUACAUGCGUAAAUCAACUAGGGACUUGGAUCCUCUCUUAAGCCCAAGGAGAGGAUCCUCCUAACCAAAUGACUUGGAUUGUUGGAUGAAAAUCUAACGAUUACAAACAGAUGAUCUCUUUAAAGUUAUAAUAUUUAUUACCGUUGAAUUUUCAUCAAACGGUCAAAUAUCAUUGGUCAAAAGGGUCCUCUCAUUGGGCUCAGAGAGGACCCAAGUGCAUCAACCAGAACUAUUGCUAUUAUAACAAUUCAUGAAAUCAAUUAAACAAUAAUUUUCCUUCUGGCAGGCAUGUUAGUUAUUUCUUAUUUGGCCAAUUGCCUAGUGGAUUUGGUAGAUUUAACCUCUCCACCACAAACACAUUUAAAAAUUUCCAGAAAUCCGUAACGUAAAAUUUAAAAAUAAAUAUUAAUAACAGCAAGUUCUUUUCACCGACCGUGACCGAGAUCUGUCACAUAUCCAAAAUGUCACCUCCUUAUCGCAAAAACCAAAUUUGACUUGGGAUAAAUACCGUGUACAAAUUAAACGCGUUUCUCUAGCUUUUGCGUAAAGAGGCAACCCAACACUAAACUAGGAAAACGUUGGGUUGACAAAGAUACCAUGAAGAAUAAAGGGGUUAUGCAAUCCACUUUGCAAGAUAAUCAAAGUUUCCCGUUGUAGACUUGUCUUAACCCAACACUAAACUAAGAAAACGUUGCUUUCCCGUUGUAACAUGAAACAACAUUAAACAACAUUAAACAAUAUUAAAUAACAUUAAAUAACAUAAAAAUUAUACAACAUAAAAAAAACCAUUUAACAACAUAAAACUUAAAAUGCGUACUUCUUGCUUCUUGUGGCCUAAAGAUGUGCAACAAGAUCUUGAUGUAGGUACUUGUUUGUGGCACGAAAACGUAUCAUCCUAGCCGUUGGAUUUGAAUUUUUUUUGUUUUCGGCCAAAAAAUUUUAAAUUUAAAAGUUGAAGAUGGUGAGAAAUAUGAUCCUACACUGUUCAUUAAAAUAUUAAUUUCUUGAAUGACCAAAAGGCUAAAACAAGCCAUCCUUCGGUUGGAGAUGCCUAAGGAGAGACUAGAGAUAGAGAGUUUCCUAUAUAUGAUUUUCAUUAACAAGAUUGAAAUGAUUUCAGAGAGAAGAUCAAGUAUGGUUAUUUUUAUUUUGUAGAGUGUAGACAUUAUAACUAUACAUUCAUAAUAACAUGAGUAAUGUUAUAUUUAUCACAUUUGUACUCUUUCUCUGAUAAAGGUAGGGUUCAUCAACACAUGUGGGUUCUAUUUGCCCAUCAACACAUGCGGAUCUCAUUUUUAUUAGAAAAAUAGUACAAAUAUGGUACGGAAAAUAUGAUAAGAUCGCAAUUUUGUAAUAACAUAUAUACUCAACUAUUUAUAUACCGACCCAUCUCCUUUUAGUGUAGAUAAUAUCGUUUGUUAAAAAAAAUGUUGAACUUGUCAUAAUCAUUGAAUCCAUUUACCAUGAACAAACGGCAGUUUACUAAACUUGCCCUCAGAGUAUAUAUAAAAGGUGAAUCACAAUCUAUUGCAUUAAUAUAAGGAAACAAUUUAUAGGGUUUGACGGGUGACUUAAUAUGCUAUAUGGCACAAUGAAAAUUAAGUUCACACUUUAUCCCAAAUAAGGUGUUGCACCUUUAAUUUAUGGAUGCUGGUUUGACGUGUGACCGAAAUAAUCAAAUUGUAGCCAUUAAUCAUUUUACAAGUAAUAAUAUGUAGUUUUUACUGUUUACGAUUCACACAACAAUCUGCUAGGAAGUAGAAAAUGCAGUACUUGUCCCUCUCACAGAAGUCAUGAAUAAUUAUCAAAUUCAAAGAUAAAGAAAAACCACACAAUUUACAAGAGGAAAGAAAAUGAAGGGAUAAAGAAAGUAAGAAAGGAAUACCUCUAUGGGAGGACUCUUAUUUGCUUCAGAUGCCUACAAUAUUCAUCAUAUAAACACUGAUUAAGUAGUCAUCGAAAACCAAAACAAAUGUCGAACAUAGGGUGAAAAACAGAAAGAAUAACCGCAGCUCAUCAUACCAAUAGAGAUAGAACUGCCCGAUGCCCAAGUAUGACUGAAAAAUGGCAAUCCAAACAUGGCGCCUUCUAGCUCAUCAAACUGUCAAAACCUAGGUUCCACCAAAAAGAUACAAGUCACCUAGUUACUUGUAAAAUAAAAAUCUGUUUCAAAAUAGUGGAAAAUAUUAUUAACAUUGUUCAAAGUCCACAUUGUUGUACCUACCAAGAAACAAGAAGGAUUGUAUCUUAUCAUGAAAAAGAACAUAGGUACCUUUUCAAUUGUAAUUGUACAAAAAUGAGAGACCACUUCCGAACUUCUCUUGGAACUUCAAUCAAUUUCUGCCCACUUUUAAAUGCCUUGACAUACUUAAGCCUAUUUCUUUGAGCUUCAGUUUUGGCUUCUGAUGCCUUUAAAUUUCUUAAAGAUUCUUACCAAGUUUUACAAACUCACUUCUAUACAACCAUUUGUCAGUAUACAUACCAUUUUCUUUGAGCUUCAGUCUUUGCAACACCAAAACCCCCCAAAUAGACCCGGAAUUUUGCAAUGUGCAGGGAAUAUACAAAAAAAACCCUCCUAUCCAUCUAAAACGAAAUCAGAACCCAAACCACAAUCAAAAUCCGUAAAAUUAAUUUAGCCAACCCUAAAUCUAAUAAUUCUAACAAAUAUUAUAGUAUCAAUUGAGAGAGAAUUUGAGAAGAUACCUAGAGAUGAAAGGAAGAGCGUUUCCUCUGAUAGGGGUUCCGUGAAAGCAUCUGUUGACCAGAAAAGAAAAGGCAAAAAACCCCAAAUUACAUAUCAAGCAAUUAUAGAUAGAUCGAACCUUGAAAAUUGAAAUUUCAAACAAGAGAAAGGUUAUAAACUUACAACGAUCUGGGUGUUGGUUACUGGGUUUGGAUUUGGGUUUCUGAUAAGAGAGAGAAUCGUAUGAGGAACCGAUAGAGGAACUGCACCGGCAACAGAGAGCAACUGAUAUGGUGGAGAAUAGAGAUGGGCAAAAUAUCCCGGUUAUCCGCCCAUUUAAAGUUCACAGUUACGGUUAUGGUAAUUGAACGGUUAUGGGUACUACCCGUGGUUAUAACGGGUAUCUAUUGGUUAUGGGUAUUAUCCGCGGUUAUAACAGGUAUUCAUUUACCCAUUUAAUUUCAUAUAUGUAAAAUUUAUAAUAUUUUUAACAGUUAUAACGCGUUUUUGUAUUUGUUGCCAAACUUUUCGUAUACAAAAAAUUUGAAGCACAAGAAGCCAACAAGGAGAAAGAUCAAAGAGCUUACUUGAAGCUUAUGAUCUAUCCUGCGGUUAAUAGAAAGUACUGGUAUUAGUGUAGAAAAAUGUUUGUUUUUAGAAGCUUUAUUUUGUAAUCAUAUGAAUUAUAAUUAAAGACUUGCUUGGGUGUAGUAAAAAAAUAUCGUUUGUAAACUAUUAUUUCAAUUAUUAGAAUUGUAUGAUGACCUAAAUGAUUAAAAUAGAGAAAUGCAUGCUAAAAUGUAUUUAUAACAGUGUUUAAUUGUCAGAUUUUUUUUUUUUUUGUAAUUUUCAAGUUGUUAAAAAAAACAUGCAGAGAGGUGAAAAAAGGGAUUAAAAAAUGAUAAACGGGUUCAAAACGGGUAAACGGGUAAAUGAUUAUGGUUAAAUAGGUAAACGGUUAUGGGUAAAUGGGUACACGGUUAUGGGUAUGAGUAUAACCGUUUAUGCAAUUACCCAACGGGUAAACGGCUAUGUGGGUAUGAACAUAAAUGGUUAUGAGUAAAUAACCGCGGUUACCCGCCCGCUAUAACCAUUGCACAUCCCUAAUAGAGAACAUACGAGAAUAGCCGCUUGGAUGGUCAAUCCAAGAAGAGAAAAUCUUGCCACAAUCACGGUACUUGAAAAAAAAAACAAUUUUAAAGGAGGGAAACAAUCGCGCCUUUUUUUUAAUAGACUCUGUCGACGAUAUUCUUGACAAAUAGUCGGGUGAGCUUAUUUUUCACAACAUUUUAUUUAGGACUAGGUUCGGUUGGCAAAUCGUGUCAAAUUUCUUGUGCCAUUUGCCAGCCACAUAUACAUAAUUACCAAAAAUCAGUUACCGUUCGCCAACCAUCUUCUUGCGGUUGCCAAAAAUCGGUUCAACCAAAAUGAUUGGCUGGUUCGGUUGGUAAAUGGCACAACCGGUGGUUUCCACUUCUUCCUCGCUAUCUUCUAGUUGCAAGGGCUCAAUUUGAUUUUCAGAUUGGGAUGCUUGUUCGGUUGCAUUGUGUGGUUCAUUUUGGGUUAAUCCAUGUUGUGCACUAGCAAUUAAUUGGCUAGACUCCAUCAUCCUAAACAUAAGCAACACAUAUACAUUCAAAAUCAUAUAUAUGUACGUGUAUAUAUAGUAUCAGUAAUCAUCAUGUUAUCAAUUUUGUUAACAAUAUUUUCUAUAUUGAUUAUGGCAUGAAUCAUAUACAUAUACAUAUAUUUUUUAAACCCUAAAACUAAGGAGUUAUUUAUUUUCUAAGCCCUAAAAUUGAGGAGUCAAGCAUGUAAAAAAAUACUUAAAAUAUCUAAAUAGAAAAAGAAAAAAAAAAAAAAAAAUAUAUAUAUAUAUAUAUAUAUAUAUCGGUAGGUAUGGCAUACCGCCGACAUACAAAAUCAAUUACCAAAGCCAUGCCAUUAAUUGUCGGUUCGGUAAAAUGCCAACCGAUUAUGAAAAAAUGCCAAAACUAUACCAUACCAUUUUGAGCCAACCGGUAUGGUUCGGUCGGUAAAUCGGCUUAUGGCAAAAUUUCUCACCCCUAAUUUUAUUUGUCGCCUUAAACCUAUUGGUUUCUAGCCUACAAUUUGGAUAUUUUGUUGGGGAAAGAUUUUUGUACCAAUAAAAUUUUGCUUUGUCAGCUUAGGAUUUGUCGGCAAAAUGACAUUUUCUAGUCGUUAUAAUAUUAGGUAGAUCAAAUUUGUAAACUAUGUGAUGUGUCACCAAUAGGAAAAAAAUUCAGUGUGCUGAAAAUACAGUCUAGAACACCAAGUGUCAUAAUAUAUACUUGGUUGGAAAUUUUUUAUUUUCAAGUUUCCAACUAAUUGUAUUGUAACAGUUGGUGUUCCAAGCUAUUUUCUCGAUGCGUUGGAAAAUCUCUUCACCAAUUAAAAAUAAACAUAUUAAUUAACACUUAAGUAAUAAUCAAAGUAUCAACAACUACGUCAUAAAAUUUACGAAAUAUGAUCUUAAUUAAUGAUCUCCAUGGCAUUACCCUUUAUCUUAGCGUAUACGUACGCCUUCACAUGUUUAUUUGCUGAUAUGCAGCUUGAGUAAAAAUUUCUUUUUAAGAACAUAUAUGUGAAUAUAAACAUAUAUAUCUAGUGAUCCAUGUUGCGUUAUUUAAAAAUAAACAAAUUAAUUAAUUAAUAAAUGAACUGUGUGCAUGUCUGUGUAGAGUAAUCCAUAUGCAUGCUUGAAUCCUGAUCACCACGAAACCAUAAUAUAAGCUACUCAAGGCCCGGAAGCUAGGAUUGAAGAGAAAAACACCCAGUCAGAUUAAGCCAAUAUAUCAAAGUUAAUACUUCGAAAUGUAAGCUUUAAGAUAGAAAAAUCACUUACUACCUUGAGCAGUCGAGCUUCUUCAAUGGCAUGAAGCUUUUAGCAUGAGAUUGACUGCAUCACAACUAAAAUUUUCUCUUGGAAACUACAUAAGGAAUAGCAUGUAUACCUAUAACGUUGAGAAAGUACGCCAAUUUUUUCCUUCUGCACAUUCAUGUUUAAAAGUAAUCCUCAAAUGAACUUGCCCACAAUGAAAUGCAAUUUGAGGUAGUCGAGUGUGUUCCAUUUCCAUUCCAUGGGAAUUACUACUAAACUUUGAGAUGGUAAAGGAUUCAUGAAAUUUUUUACUUUUGAGAUAGCCUCUUUAACAUUUCUCGACUAUAACAAUGAGGGAAUACUUCACCUUGUAUCAAACAAGGGAGAGCGAAAAUCAACUACUAAUAGCAUCACAGAGCCAGCAGAAGAUUGAGGAGGCCAUGAAGAGGAGAGAGAAAAUACACUCUUUUUUUUUGUAAGGACAGAGAUAAUACAUUCAGUAAGGGGUACUGAUGUUUAUAUGCAAUGCUGAUUAGGUUUAAAUAGUCCUAUUUAUUCUGUACAGUGCCAAUAUUACCACCCGUUAGUACACUUUCAAGACACUGUACUCCAGUGUGUGCGCUAUGCAGUACGUAGUACUCCUCAUUUUUUGGGGAAAUUCAUUAUUGGUCUUCAUAUCUUCUUUAUUUUCCUUUUCCUCAUUGUGCCACGUGUUUAAAUCACUAAUUGUAGGUAAUCUUUCAAUUUAAUUAAAUCUUAUGUAAAAAAAGAUAUUUAAAUAUCAUUUAGUAUUACAAGAUAGUGAUAUUCCUCUUUAGUAUAAAAUUUUUAUAAUUAAAAGCGUUCAGUUUUUUAAUCUUCAUUUGAAUACUAUCUAUAAAGAAAAAUUAUUCGAAUAAGAGAUCGUUUAUGCAUUCAAAUGUACAAAAUGCAUCGACAGUGUGAGAACGAAUUAAUAUAUUUUUGAUGAAGUACAAUUAUUGAAUACAUUUGAAUGAUCAAAUGAUAUAUGAUUCAAAAUACAUAUUAAGAUAAUAAAUAUAAGUGAAUUGUUAUUAGCACUCCAAGAAUCUUAUUAUACACUCUAAAUUUUCUAUAUUUUGAAUGAAAAAUAAAUUUAUGAAGAGUGUAGAAUGAGAUUUUUUAAUGCUAAUAACACUUCUCUAAAUAUAAUUAUGAAAUUAAUAAAGUAAAGAUACAUGACCUCGUGAAUGAUGUAUGUAUUAUUCAAAAAAUUAUUAAAAACAAAUUGAAAAAGGACGCUGUUGUUGCCACCACUUAUGCAAUGAUCGUCGCUGCCAUCACCAACCCCCAACACCCCAUUACAGCUCAUAAAAGCACAUCAUAAGCAAUUUAUGAAAUAAAUUUACUGGAAUACUAAUUUCCCCCUUAGUUUAGGUCACCAAUGUUUAAAUUUAGGGGUGUGAUAUGCACAUACCUUUUUUUGCUUCUCUCACACUUUUUUUGUUGUUGUCGAAUCAGAUGAAUUGAAGAAGAUCAAUUGACAGAAAUUAACAAGGGGUGUAUGAAAAGUAAAAAUGGAUGUGUAGAUAACACAUCCCUAAAUUUAUCACAACUUUCAUUCCAAAUUUAAUUUUUAUGCGUAGUUUUGUUUGUUCAAAUUUACUUUGACAUUUCAAUUAGUAUUAAAAUCUAAUUUAAAUUUUAGCGUUCAAGCUAGAAAAAGUGUUCCAUUUAAUAUUUAAUCUCAGUUUUUCUCUUUAUUCUUUUAUUCCGAUUUGGUUGCAUCGUAUCUCCAUUUUUCUCGGUGUUGUAUGUUCAUAAGGCCUGGGAAACGUUGGCACGGAGUGAAGGGUACUCACUUUUUGGCCCAAAAUGCAUAAGGCAUGUAGAUAUGUUAAUCAAAUUUUGUAAACUAAAGGAUAUAGAAGUUGAUACUUAGAUUAUAAUUUAAGAUAAUACUAAAGAGACUAAAUUUGCAAACUAAAUGAUGUGUCACCAAUAAAAAUAAGCACGUUUAUCAACGCUUAAGUAAUAAAUCAAUCAUCAACUUUCAUGUCCUUUAGUUUCCAAAAUUUAAUAUACAAAUUUAGUCUCCCAAGCAUUACUCUAUUACUUAAGUAUUGAUUAACAGACUUAUUUCUUAUGGUGACAUAUUAUUUAAUUUACAAAUUUAGUCAACCCAACAUUACUCUUUUGAAAUUGUCUUGUCCACUGAUAUAAUUCUAUUUUUCUUGUGAUCAAAACUUCAAAUGUUAGCAAGUCGCACGUAAAGUCACUUCUGAGAGAAUGUGCUCACAUUGUAGUUGAAAGAUUAUGUGGCUAGCAACAUUACAAAUUUAAUUUGGUAUAAUUUAAAAUAUAGAUUGAGGAAAAAAUGAUCACAUUAACUAGAAACUGAAAAGGUUUCAGCACAGUUUGUUCAAGCAAGAAACUCAAUUUUGAUGCUACCGAUCUUAACAGCCUGAGCGCCGUACCUGGGCACUAAAGUCACCACCACACUCUCAUCAUCUUCAGCACCCAAAUCCUCCAACAGGUCCGUUAACCCCAACCUUAAACAACUCUUGCUCUUUUCCUUCUGCUUAUGUGGAACACUCACAAAACUCCCAGCAAACUCGCUCUUGUCGGGUCCACUCGGUGCCGCAUCCUCAUCGUCCACGUCAUUCACAUACACAUCAAACUUCACAGCCACAUCUUUGUCAAGCUCAAUCCCCUGAAUCACCAGUAUCUCCUCCUCAUCCUCUUUCUCCUUCUUGCUCCUCUUCUUCGGCUUCGGCCUUGACACCACCGUACUUAUCUUUGUCUCCAAAUUUAUUGGAAAAUCUUUACCCGCCACCACCUUCCCCGAUGACGUCGUCUCAGCGGCCUUCGCCACUCCAGCCGCCUUUGCCUUUCUCGCAAGCUUUGUCCGACGUGGCGUCGGUCUAGACUUGAGCCAUGGAAUCUCAACAUCUUCAUACGUAUACCCUAGCUUUUUAUUAUCAAGAGUGUCCCUCACCGUGACCCUAACAAGCUCAGCAUUCUCGUCAUAAAACAAAAACCCCGUAUCCAACCAAUCCUUAUCGUUAAUAUCUUUAUUUUUAGUCCCUAUACUUUUCCAAAUAUUCCACAUUCGAUCUAUAUUCGAAUGGUGCGAAAAAAAUAUUGGAUCCCUUGCAGCGGAGUAAAAAUUCCCCAUGUCUUCAAAAUUAGGUUGCGUGUUAUCUCCGGUCCAUGUAUGAACCGGACCAUGUGGGGUCGUUUCGAUUGAACCGGCCCCUGGAUCUGGUUCGGUGCCAGCCCUGUAGGGCGAACCAAAGAACAACAGCGGUUUCUUGGAGUUGGAAACCAUCUGCCUAUACAUGAUUUUGAGGUUGGCGUCGAUUUGAGCAUCCUUGGACAUUGUUUCAUCCGUGCCGUUAAAGUCAAGAUCGAUGAGAGUCGGCGGCUGAUGGCUGGCAGCGCGGAGCUCGUCGUAAAGCGGAGAGUCCGGGUUAGCGAACAAGGCAGGGAGUUGCAUGCCAGCUGGCGCGUCCCAGUUCCAAAACGGCAACGCGAACGUCGGAUCGUCUAUGAGUUUGGCCAAGAUUCUUUCGUGGAAGUAUAGGUAGUAACGAUGGAAGGGGAAGAAAAGCCAGGAUUGAUGGAUUUGGAGCUCGAGGUUGGGGAAGCCGACUUGAUCGUACGCGCCGUCGCAAUAGGCACAGUGGAUAUCGGCUUGCUGGGUGAAGCUACGCGGAUCGUCGUCCGGGAGGGCUUUCAUGAGCUCGAUGGCUUUUGAAUAUUUUUCGAUGUAGGCUUUAUCCACGGUGUGAGCUGCCGGCCUGACGCGGAGUUUGGUAGGGGAGGGGAAUUUGAAGUCUACGAUUUUUUGGGACGUUGGCGGGCAACAGUUGGUCGGGACUGCUCCACUUGGAAAGUCCGCACCUCCGCAUUUGGCUAGGUCAGGCGGCGACACUGGCUUUGCAACAGCGAAGGGGUCGCUGCCAAGACCAGCCACUCCACCGUACAGGCUUCCGAGACCUAUAAGUACAUGUCUUCUGUCUAGGUUUACUGGAGAAAGGUUUUCAUGGUCGUGAUCGUUGGAGCUAGUGGAAGGGUUUUUGUUUUGGUCACUACUAUUAUUCGUGGCUUUGCAUGAGACGGCUUGUAAAUUGGAAUGCCUAGGGUUUUCAAAUAAGGAAAUUCGGUGAUACUUUUGGGAGAAAGGGAAGAGAGAAGUUGUGGGGAUGAUACUUGUGGUGGAGGUGACGAGUGGAGCUGACAUAGAAGCCAUGGUUACUUGACUCUGAAUACUACGUUGUAUAGGCUUUGCUUUUAUAAUGUGUUCUAGGUUUUACUUUUCUUUGCACAGGUGGCAGGCCGUACACAUUGGCGGUCCUUAAGGGUUUGACGAGGAAUACUACGUAGUCAUUUAGUACAGGGCAACCAUGCACUAUAGCACGUGGCAUGUAAUAUUUACGUAGUCUCAGAAGGUGAAGCGGUUUUGGGCUUCUUGUGUACCAAUAAUAUUUACGUACUCAUUAUUCCACUGGAUGGAUUGCGUGCACGUGAUCUUUAUUCAAACAAAUCACUAUUGACCAUAUAUUGCAAUUGGUUAAUGUUAGGCAAAUUAAAUUUUUACAUCAAAUAAUGUGGUUGCUGAUUAUUGAAUUAUUAUUUAAGUUUGAUUAAUGUGCUUAUUUUUUAUCGGUAAUACAUCAUUUGAUUUGCAAAUUUGAUUUACCUAAUAUUACCAGUUAUAAUUUGUAUAAAUGGACUGGUACCUAACAUUACCAAUUGUAAUUUGUAUAAAUGGACUCGUACCUAACAUUACCGGUUGUCCCAAGAGCACACGCUACUGCUCAAGAAGCAAAGUUCUUAUUUGCCCAAAAAAAAUCAUGGUUUUUUAAUUGAUGCUCUCAUUUUAAUUUACUAGCCCCUUACUUGGCCCUUUUUAUUUAUCAUUUUAUACAUAUUAAUAUUUUGUUUGUAAAAUAUAUUAGUGUUAGUUUUAUCAAAAUUAAAAAUAAAUAAAAAACUUAGCUUUAGUAUUUAGUUAUUGAAAUUGUAAAAAAAGUGAUAAAGUAUUGGGUGCUUUGUUUGAAAAUUUUCAAAAUGAUAUUGUUUUUACCACUGAACCCCUGUUAUAUACAGUGAUGGCUAAUUUGUCAAGUUCUACGAAGUUGGGAUACCCAGCGUUUUAGCAUAUAACAUAGCUUAGUAUUUCAAGCAUAAUUAAUUAACGAAAAAUUAGUAUCCGGUCCCUAGUUUUUACUGUUCAUUGACUAAGACCUUAUUAGUUCUCAAAUUUUGAUUCAAGUCCCUAGCAUUAAUGUGAUAAUGAAUUUACAUGUUUAUUAUAUAAUUUUUUAAUAUAAAAAUUAGUAAUUAAUUUAGGGUUUAAUACUCACACCUCUAUUAAACUUCUAAUUAAUUUUCAAUUCAGACAUUUCCAAAAUAAUAAAAAAUUAAAUUAAAUUAAGUUUGUACCUAUUAGUUUUUUUUUAUAUAUAAAAAGAUUCUCAAUUUUUAAUCUUAAAUGUACAUCUUAAAUGUACCCAUUCUCAAAUAUAUCAAUUUGUUAUAUGUAAAAUGUACCCUUUUUUAAUAUAAAAUCCAUUCAAAAUUUUUAAUCCAUGUUUAAACUUAUAUGGGUACAUUCUUUUUCGUUGAUUUGAGAAUGUAUCCAUGUUUUGGUACAAUAAAUUUUUUGUUAAUUUUGGUUAAUGUACCCAUACAUAUAUGUACACACACACACACACACACACACACAAUAUAAUAGAGAGUAUAAUUUAUAUUUUAUUAUUUUUAAUCCCAUAAAUGAUGGGUUUUAUUUAAAAUCUCAUUAAUAUAAACAAUUAUAAAUUUCAAUUUUUAAUUUUUAAUUUAAAAAAUAUAGUAACUUACAUUAUUACAUUAAUGUCAGGGACCUCAAUAAAAAACUAAAAACUAACAAGGUUUCAAUCAAAGAAUAUUGAUAGCUAGGGACCACAUCCAAAGUGUCCCUUAAUUAAAGGGUAAAUUACAUAGUAACCCCUCAGGUUUGAUGUCUAUUACAACCCCAUACAACAUCUUUAAAACAUUUCACUUUCAUACCUCAAGUACUAUUUUAUUUCAAUAUAAUACAUCUGUUAGAUUUUCCAUCCAUUAAUCCGUUAAAUGCUGACAUGGAUACCACAUUUGUGCCACGUGGCUGCCAAAUGCGUGUCAUGUGGCAAAAAUAAUAAUUUUUAAAUUUAAAAAAAAAUGAAUCUUCAACCCAAAAAAAAAAAAAAAAAAAAAACCCCAAACCCAGAUCCCAUCAACCCCCCCCAAACGAUUAUCCCUUCCCCAUAUCCCCCAUCCCACCCCCCAACCCCCCCUCUGCGACCAACCUUACCAUAGCGCCCCCCAACCUCGCGACCCACCUCACUCAAGGCCCUAAUCCACACUACCUACAACCCAGAAACGAAAAAAAAAAACAAAAAACAAAAAACUCAUCUCCCUUUCCCUGCAACCCAAAUCCCAUCUUCCCUAAUGGGUAUGGAUUUAAGAAGUGGGGUGUGUAGAGGAGGGAAGAGGGUGGGUGCGGAGGAUGGGUAUGGUGGGUUGCAAGGAAGGGGGGUCGGGUAAGAUGAAGAUGGGUUUUUUUUUUCUCUCUCUCUUCUUCUUCUUCUGGGUUGCAAGUUGUAGGUUGGGGUUUUUUUUUGGGGGGGGGGGGGAGGGAGGGAGGGAAGACGACGUGGGGUUUGGUUUUUUUUUUUUAAUUUAUUUAGAAGAUUUAGGUUUUUUGAAAAAAAAAAAAAAAUUCCACGUGGCACAAAUGUGGCAGCCACGUCAGCAUUUAACAGAUUAAUAGAUGGAAAAUCUAACGGAUGUAUUAUAUUGAAAUAAAAUAGUACUUGAGGUUAGAAAGUGAAAUGUGUUGAUGCACAAAACCGAAGGUCUUUGAACAACGUAAAUCCGAUCGUGAAUAUGCAAGUAAUGUAAAUAACACAAGAUGUAUCGUGGUUCACUCCAAUGUUUGGGCUACGUCCACACUGAUUAUUGUAUUUCUCUGAGAGGUGAGGGGGAGAGCUUUGAGAAAGCUUAGAGCUUAGGGGAUGUGAGAAGGCUUAAGAAUUGGCCUCCCUUAUUUGUGAGGGUGAUGAGUCCUUUUAUAGAAUAAGGGAUCCUCACUUAUUACAUAUUUGCCCAUUCCUUUAUUACAUAAUUACAUUUAAGUCCCCUGAGUACUUGUACAAGGUCUAAAUACGGAGGCCCUAAGUAUGGUACAAACAGUAGUCCCCCAAGUCUUCAGUCAAGAGAGUCUUUUGGCUAGAGACUUGAAAUUCUGUCCAUGUGUGAGCCGAAAUAACUAGAUGUCGUCUAGAACUGAUAUUUGAUAUGCGGCAGUGCCCAUUUUGAAAUAAUGCUCAACUAGAAGUAGCACAUGCUGCGAGGCUGCUCUGCUUGUGUUGCCUUGGUUGGCUCGACUUGUGGCGUUGAAGGUGAGAGAGUCCCUUUUAUAGAAUAAGGGCUCGCUCCUCAUUACAAAGAUGAUGGGUUAGUUGGUGCUUGCGGUGAGGCGGAUGCUCAGCUGGCGGCGAUGCUCUCUAAUGAUAGUGAGGGAGUCCAUUUUAUAGAAUAAGGGAUCGCUCCUCAAUACAUAAAUAAUAGGUGCUCUCUAAUGAAAGUAAGGGAGUCCCUUUUAUAGAAUAAGGGCUCACUCUUCAAUACAUAAAUAAUGGGCUAAGUCCCCUAAGUAUUUUUUAUGAGGCCUAAUUGAGGCCCAAUAUAUGGUACAUAAUGUAGUCCCCCAAGUCUUCGGUCAAUAGAGUCUGUUGGCUGGAGACUUCAAAUUGAAUCCAUGUAUGGGCCGAAGUGGCGGUUGUUCGGAAGCGGUAUUUGUAUACCCUGCACUGAAGCUUUAUAGGUGAAGCUUUGCAAGUGAAGCUUUGAAGCUGGAGCUCAGUAAAUGAAGCUUUUGAAGCUAGAGCUUUUGUAAAUGAAACUUUUGAAGCUGGAGCUCUAUAAAGGAAGCUUUUGUAAAUGAAGCUUUUGAAGCUGAUUCACAUGAGUGAUGCUCAUGAAUGUUUAUGUUGAUUGAUAUGAGUGAUGCUUAUGGAUGUUGACAUGAGUGAUGCUCAUGGAUGUUGACGUGAUGCUCAUGAAUGUUAACAUGAGUGAUGCUCAUGAAUGUUUAUGUAUGAUUGAUAUGAGUAAUGUUCAUGAAUGUUUAUGUAUGAUUGACAUGAGUAAUGCUCAUGUAUAAUUUGAAGUACUGGGCAUACUUUUGAUUACCUGGUUGGCGAUAAUAGCGGCAGGGUGCCGAAUAAUUUUUUGUAGUACUGGGCGUACUUUUGGUCACCUGGUUGGUGAUAAUAGCAGCAGGGUGCCGAAUAAUUUUUUGUAAUACUGGUCGUCCUUUUGGUCACCUGGUUGGUGCUAUUUUGAGCUUAUGGGCCUUCGCCCUCUACACAACAUUCCAGCCUAUUUAUUUUGGGCUUUACCGUUUUUUUUAAUUACCCUAUGAUGGGGUUUAUACAGAUGUCUCCGAAAGAUAUGAAAAAUAAAUUACAUCAUUCAAAAAUAAAUCCGACCCUCUGCUCAAUGGGUCACGCCAAUAAUUCUUUUUUUUUAUGCAUGCCAUCACCACCGCAAUUAUGUCUGCUUCUUUUUAUCUUCUUUUGCUUUCUGCUUUUGCUUUUACUUUAUCUUUCUCUUUUGGCAUAUGGCAGACAACGCCAAAACGGAAUAAUGAAUUAUUAUGAGAACAUGAAUCUUAUCUUUUGCCUGGUUUUCCACUAGUGCUCGUGGUAUUCUCAGGAGAUUGGAUCUGGGGGUAGGCGACUACCCCAGCACCUUGCCCUGAUACGUAAUAGCCUGAUGUCCCACUGCCAUCUCCAUACUGGAAGGUGUACGAACAAUGGUUAUUCUGUGUGGAACAAAUAGAAUCCGAUUGAGAUUCAAGACUGCACCUUCGAUCUGAGCAAGAAAUGAAUUGUGACGUUGAUGAACUUCUAGGAGGAGAAGCAGAGGAUCUUUGACUAUGAUGAUCUUUGAAUUCCAGAUGAAACUGAAUAAAAUGCAGGUUGUGGAGCUUGAUGUGGGCCCAGAUCUGCUUGACAGCUUUGGGGCGGGAGGAUUCCUUGACACUGAGGAAGAUUCCCAGAGCUGGAGGGAUGAGAAUCGACUUCAUAAUCCCGAUGGUGGGUUUGUGCUUGGUCGAAAGAUCAUUUCUGGCAGGGGAAAACAUGUACCAUACCUAUUGCAAAUCUUGCAAAUUCUCUGCUUCUCCAUGGAAGAUGAAGAGCAUCGAAUCUCUGUUUUCUCUCUCUCUCUCUAAAACGUUUUCGUUAUAGAGUGCCCCAAUAGAAGUGGACGGGCAGUGAGCAUGCCAUUUAGUGCCUCCUCCAAGACAGUAACUGAUACGGUGGUCUUUAUUGGCACUCCAAGUUUACUAAAAAGGGCAGCAAAAAUAGUAUUUACAGCACCCAAACUUGAAAGAUCUAGCUCCAACUAGUGGCUUUCUGUUUCAACAGCCUGAAAGCCGGCAGUGUCAUACCGACGCCGUUUGUCUGGAUCAAAUAAUAUAUUAUAAGAAAACAUGACCUUCUUGAAGAUAUCAGCUGUUUUAGAGUCAUUAGCAUUUUUGUCAGGAUGGUACUUGAGAGCCAUUUUCCGGUAAGCACUUUUGAUUUCCUGGUUGGUGGAAUUCCUAUUGAGGCCGAGGACCGCAUAAGGGUUUUGUCGGAGCUGCUUCUUAGCUUCUUGCUUCUCCGAUUUUGAUCGGCUGCCCUGCAUUUUUGAAAUUGACGGUCAAUUUCUUCACAAAACCCUAGAAAUUGCCUCUCGAUUACCUCCGAAACACAUAAUUCACGACUCUUGGUUGAAAUUUUUUUUUUUCAUUUCAAAGAAGUGGCGGAGGUAAAUCAGUUGUCACAUAGCACCGGAGCAUGAGGAAAACCUAGAAAACCAAGAGGCAGAGAGACUCCAUGCACAUCUAACCUGGAACCUUGCAGGAGAGAGCAGAGAGAAAGAGACAAGAAAGAUUGAGGGAGAAGCGAUCUUGGUGCAUCGUCUGUGAUUCCUUGGUGAUUUGCUCGAUCGGGACUCUGAAUUCGUGCAAGUCAUUGCUGUUAAGCAAGAAUCGCGAGGAGUCGGAGAGCUUGGAAAUCGAGAAGGAGAGAGGGCCUUUAGUCAGGGCUUGGAGGGUGUCGGACUCCGUCGGCCAAGAUUGGUGCACGGUCACGGCGUCUGGGCCCAUGGCGGUUGUGUAAAUGGGGGAGGUUCUAGGAGUCCAAGAAAGAAGAAGAAGCAGCGACCAUAGAUCUGGGAGUCCAUGGCGCUUGAAAGAUACGGCGAACAAGUCGGACUUGCUGCUGGGCAGCUGGCGGUGAUAAUGUUGGUGCAUGGGUUUUGGAGUGGGAGUGUUUGGAAUGGGUUUUUUGUUUAGUUUCUAUGUGUUUUUUCACAGAGAGAGAGAGAGAGAAGUGAUGGUGUUUAAGGGAUGAGUUUUGGAGCUUAGUGAAUGCUUUUUCUGGAAAAGCCCAGUGAGGUUUGUGGGUUUUUGCAGAUUUUGCAGAUUCGCGGUGGAGGUGAAAGAAUGAAAGAGAACCGACACAACUUUUCGUAUUGAUUCCCACAUACGGCGCCAAAUGUUGAUGCACAAAACCGGAGGUCUUGGAACAACGCAAAUCCGACCGUGAAUCUGCAAGUAAUGUAAAUAACACAAGAUGUAUCGUGGUUCACCCCAAUGUUUAGGCUAUGUCCACACUGAUUAUUGUAUUUCUCUGAGAGGUGAGGGAGAGCUUUGAGAGAGCUUAGAGCUUAGGGGAUGUGAGAAGGCUUAGGAAUUGGCCUCCCUUAUUUGUGAGGGUGAGAAGUCCUUUUAUAGAAUAAGGGUUCCUCACUUAUUACAUAUUUGCCCAUUCCUUUAUUACAUAAUUACAUUUAAGUCCCCCGAGUAUUUGUACGAGGUCUAAAUACGGAGGCCCUAAGUAUGGUACAAACAAAAUGUUUUAAAGAUGUUGUAUGGGGUUGUAAUAGACCUCAAACUUGAGGGGUUACUAUGUAAUUUACCCUUAAUUAAAAUAAGGGCAAAUGAAGAGGAUGGUUGAACUUGUUAAGUUUCUUAAGUGUGUCUAAUUUAAGUGUGUUGUUAAUAAACAUUUAUUAUGGAGGCAAAGAGAGGGAAGGUGCGGCAUAGAAAGAGAAGAGAGAGAUAUGUAAUUGUGAGUUGUGUUUUAUUCCAUCCCAUUGUGCAUUUAUUUAUAUUAGUUGGGAAAGUUAAUUCUUUAACCUUUUAGGAUUACAACUCUAAUAGGAAAAUAUAUAAUCUAAAAGAUAUGGUAGAAUCCCAUAAGAAUAUCCUAGAUAUGUUAGGAUUUACACAAUCAUAUUCCUAUUCCAAUAGGACUGCAAAACAUUUGUAUUUUUUUAUAAUUUUUUUGAUAAUUUGUUGGCAUUUUCAAUUUUUGUUAACAUUGAAAAUAUAACGGUUCAGAUGAAAAACCUUUGGAAAUCCAACAUUGAAAAUAUAACAGUUUGACGUUGGGCUGUGGUGAAGGAGGCUGGGCUGUCACGUGGGUGGGGCCCUCCCUCUCCCACUUGGUGAUUCAAAGGGCGCAGGCCCGUGCAACAAUUGAGGCAGCCCAUAGAGAUCCUGCGUUUCACCCAUUUGCCAUUUUUUCCACCGCUGGAGCACCAAAAUUCGGUCCAAAGGCAGGGGUUCCAAUUGCAUGGGCAAUUUGGUUUCCGCUGGAGGUGCUCUUUGUCGACUUUGUUUAUUCUUUCUUUUUAGCUUUGCAGUAAUAUUGAAGUAAUCACUCCAAUUGUAUCCGAACUUUUGUUGUCCAUCAAUUUGUAUCAAAACUAUUGGUUAAUUUACAUAUUCAGACUAACCUUCUCAUUAUUUUUAGUAUUUUUAUCAUAAAUAAUAUCUAAAAUAAUCACAUUUUAUUCAACAACCACUCAAUUAAAAAUUAAUUAAUGUUGUUUCUAAACCAUUACAUCGAGCUUUUGUAAAUACACAUCAAUAUUGCAGCGAUCCGAGGCAUUGUUUUCUACGCCUUGGAUUUGGCGAAUUGGAAAAGAGAAGAGUUACGAGUAAAAGUCCCUCACAUUAAGAGGGCUCCUCCUCGGGGAGAUGAAGAUGAUGAUCUUUUGUUUUUGUUUCUUAAUGAUUAAUCCACGCAGCAACAUAUAAUUAGAUUGUUGGGAUCUACUCAAGUUCCAUAUCACGCACUAAUAUAAAGUUUGACAAACGAAACGAAAUAUGUGCUCUCGAAAGCAAAAUGAGGGCACUGCUCCAAGAACAGGAAGGGCUCCUUGUCGAGGUUGCCAUCCGCCAUGAGGGAAAACCGGAAGAAGUUAGACAACAAUGAUGACAUCGAUUUGCAACACCCAUAUUGGGACAUCAAACUGUGAAAUAAAUACUCAAAACUCCUGGAAAGUCCUCGGGACAACAAACUUUUAUCUCCUUCAAAUAUUUCAUUUUACCAAGUUUUAUGUUUGAAGGGAGGGAAAAAAAGAGAUGAGAGAAUCCUACUCCUUAUUCUUGAAUAUAUUCAGGAAUAACUAUUGAAUAAAGAGAGAAUGGAAGGGGAUCGAAAGAGGAGGGAAGAUAAUUCUAGUCCCAAACAUAAAAAGGACCACAACUUUUAAAUUAUCAGCACGAUCAUCAUCUGAUUGAAGAGACCAUUCAUUGUGAAACAUAUCGUCAAUCAAUAUGUCUAUAUCUAUUUAUAUACCACAUUUUUGGAGUAGGAUUCUCCCCCCUCCUAUUACCAUCCCCUUCCAUCCCCUUCCAUCCCCUCCUUUCAUACUUUUUUUUUUCUUAUUCUCUAUAUAAAAAAUUCAAAACAAGAUGUAGAUGUGUCGUAAUCGCAAUAGUUUAAAUAAAAGGAGAUGGAAGGAGAGAUAAAUUACGAGGGGAGAGAAUCUUACUCCCACAUUUUUCUUCUUCAUAAACAAAAGAGAGGUUCUAGAUUACUUGACUCUAUGCCUCAUUUUUUUCAUCAAGUAUUUGUGCUAAACGGGUUCAGUUUCAAGUAUUUUAGUUUUUUGUCAAAAUUGAGAAAACUGAAAAUCAAACAUUAAUAUGCAAAAUUAAAAAAUCAACACAUAAUUAUUUAGAAAUCGCAAUAGAAAAGAAAAAAUGGAGGUUUGUGAUGAAAAAUCUUUUAUACUAAGUAAUUUAGUAUCCUUAUGCAUGAAGAUAAUCAAUUCGUUCGUUAUGGUCAGACUCUUUUUGAAUUUUUGAACACAUUCUCCAUAGGGCCUUCUUAUUUGUUCCUUCUCCGAGUUGGGGUUAUGGAAGAAGUAAAAGAAGGAACCAAGAAGAAAGUAUUGGCAACAACCGAUUUCGUUACGGGACAACUCUUGAUAUUCAUAUCGAUCUAUUAUGUACCUUUGCAUCUAGCAUUAGACAAUAACUGUCAUAGCUUUACCAUAUUUUUUUGUUUCAUUUCUUCUGAAACAAUAACACACACUUUUUUAUUAUGUGUCUAAUACUAGGAAUUCAAUACAUAAUCUUAGCAUUCAAUAGUUAUUCCUGAAUAAUUUCAUUUUUCAAUUGAUCAACCAUUUCAUUUUUCCAAGUUCAAUCAAUGUUAGUCACAUUAGUCAACAUUUAUAUAUUUUGAUGCAACAACAAUAUGUUAUUUGUAACAAGUGAUUUUGCUAGUUGGUUAAUUGGUCACAAGUUAAUGUUCGGUUCAGUUCAGCUUUUCUCUCGAUUUUUUGCGAUUCGGUUUUUUCGAUUCUCUUUAGAUUCGGUUCGAUUUUGUUUUUUUAUUUAUACUUAAUUUUUUUUAAUCUGAAAACACCAAGAACAACACAAGCAUACUCAAUCAAACAACUAUCCUUCUCCACAAAUCACAGUAAUAAUUACAUUCAUUUAGCUAAAAUGCAAAUAACUAACAAACUCACAAAAAUCGAAUAAAAACUACAAAUUGCUUACUCUUUUUCUUUGGGUUUCACUCGAAAAGUGUCGGUAAAAUUUAGGGUUUGCAAGAACGCAACCGAAAUCCAAAACGGAGGCUCUGUGGCUUGUGGGCUGCUAUUGAGUUCCAGUACGGAAAACCUUGCUUACUCUCUAUCACGGUACAAAGUAUCAGUACCUUUAGCACUGUAUUUGGUAGAACCAAAUUAAAAGCUAACAUCAAUAACAACUACCAGAGACAUAAGCUCUUAUCAAUGCUUUGGAAACAGUCAUGUAUCUCCAAGUGUAAUGAUAUAAUUAGUAAGAAAUUUAAAAGAAAAAUGGUGAUUUCAUAUAAAAUCAAUAAAAAGUUACAAUAUUGACAAUAUAUCAACAAUUUUUAUGGGGUAAAUUACAUAGGACCCCCUCAGGUUUGAGGUCUAUUACAACCCCAUACAACAUCUUUAAAAUAUUUCACUUUCAUACCUCACCUACUAUUUUAUUUCAAUAUAGUACCUCCAUUACAUUUUCCAUCAAUUGAUCCAUUAAGAGCUGAAUUGGUUGCCACAUUUGACACGCCCCGAUCCCGAUAUCCUCGGGAUAUCAGGAUGGUCACGUGCUGGCCGACACCCGAGGGUGACGAAAGCCAUUUAUUGAGUGCAAUUGCUGAAAAUAAAGGAUAGAUAAAACUUAUAAAUGUAAAAGAAUAAGGAAUAUGCAUUUAAGGAACGUGUUCAGAGCAUACAACUAACUAGAACACUAAAAGAAUGAUAUAAAAUGGAAUGAAUAAAAGAAUGAGUCUUACACCAAGAGGACUCGAAGAUGCCGAUGCGGAAGUACCUUGAUUGUCGGGAUUGUACGCCUCGAUCCUAAAUCCUGAAGGGGGCGCAAAACAAACAUGAGUGGACCAAGUUGAUAUAUAUAUAAUAAAACAGUUAUCAAUAUACUAACCCCCAGGUUUAUGAAAACAAAUAUAUAAUGAUGAACAUAGGUUUUCCGAAACCUAGCAUGAUGUGCAGUAUCUCAAAUCAUAACUCAUAUAUAAUAAUCACUAGUGAAUUGUCCGAUAACCUGCAGGCCCCAUGCCGGCUCCCCGUCUCUGAGCAGACAGUCAGAGGAAAAUACACUUCAGGCCCCAUGCCGGCUCCCCGUCCCUGUGCUAAAUAGCCAGAGGAAACACACUCCAGGCCCUAUGCCAACACCAAACCGUCGCCCGGGACGGACCGGAAUCUAUUCCUACGUCCCGUAGCGGAAAUGACCACUAGGUAAGUACAAAACCAUUGAACAUACAUAUAUUGAAAAACAACUUCAUAGUAUAAAGUCAUCCAUCAUCUAUACUAUAAAGAGGUGUUCGAAACAUGUUCUAAAUAUCAUAUCGUCAUCCAUCAGAUAUUCUAUAAGAACACGGGUUAUAGGAAAAAUAGUAAUAAUUCAAGGUAGCCUCAGUAAGCAUGUUAUCUCAAAACGUUUCAUAAAACGUAAUCAUUAAAUCAUGCAUUUCAUGUAUGCAUUUCUACUAUUAAAACAUGCUUUUGAAGGGGUCCACUCACAGUACUUAGCCGCCGAAGAGCCACGCAAACUAACGUCACCAAUAUUGCCCCUAAGCACAUAAAUGGUCCAAUUAAUAAAACUAUAUAAUAGCAAUUGGAUUUGGGAAAACGGACGUUGGAAACGGAUUCAGAACGUCGAAUUACCCUAAGAAGGGUCCCGGACGAAAACCCGAAAAGUCAACUCUAAAGUCAAUGUUGACCGGAGGUCAACGGUCAAAUUAGGUCUAACGGGUUUUAGGCUUGAAAUCCGGAUUAGGGUUUAGGUUAAAUAGGAUUAGGAUUUAUUGGGUUUUGGAAUUCUAAGGUUUUUGGGUUAAAAGGGUUUAGGGUGAAAAUGGGUGGUUUGGGCUUAAUCCCAAACUCACACACAACACACACACACACUACACAAACCCUAAAACACACACACACACACGGGCUGCACUAGGGCAGCCCUCACAACACUUCACAAAGGCCCUAAGGCCUUAUUAAAGGACAGGGCUUUAAGCCCUUUAAAGGAUACUGGCCCAAGGCCCGUCAAAAUAAGGCCCGAGGCCUUUGGGUUUUAAAAAGAACAAGAACAAAUUUAAAAGAAAAGGGGCUGGGGUCUACUGGGCUAAGAUAUAACGGGCUUAAGGCCCGUGGGGUUUUCUAAAGGGCCUGAGAGGCCUGGGUUUGUCGAAGGAGAAGGCCGGAAUUUCGGCCGGAAAACCACCCAACUUUAAAUGGCCAUAACUUUGUCAAUACUCAACGAAAUCAAGCAAGACAAAAAUGAAAGUUGUAGCCCUUGAAGCGACGAAGAGAAUGGUUCCUCACACGACGUCUAACUCGCCGUGGUUUGGCCGGAAAAUGCCUCGAAAUCCGUCGGACUCGCCGGAAACUGGGUAAGAUUCAAAUGAGUAUAACUUCUUCAAUACUCAACGAAAUUAAGUGAAACAAAAAGGAAAGUUGUAUUACUCGACGAGACGAAGAGAUUGAUACCUUACACGCCGGCCAACUCGCUGUGGUUUGGCCGGAAAUGGCCUCGAAAGGGGCGGUGCUCGCCGGAGCUUACUCCGUGCCGUCGAACUCGCAGGGUAGGGUCCGGGGUUCGUUGCAAGCCUCUCUUCGAUGGUGACUCGGUCCUAGUGAGUCCAGGGGAAGAGAGAGAUGCGAAAGGUUGAGGGAGAGAGAGACGGGAGAGCUGAGAAAGAGAGAGCUACGGGAGGGAGAAACGAAGAAGAAGAAGAGAGAGAUCAGAAAACAUAAAAAAAAUAAACAAGGUGGGCCCCACGGGCUCACCAAUUAAGGCUUUAAAACAAUUUUAAAAUAUAAAAGAGGGUUGGGGUGUUUCAACAUUUGUACCACGUGGCAAAAAAAAAACCUAAAUCUUCUAUACAAAAAAACUAAAAAAACCAAAAAAAGCAAAAUCGAACACUCCACCCCGCAAAAAUCCUAGCAUCUUCCUUUUAUUCCCCACAACCCCAAAUUCCCCCCCAAAACCCCUAAAACCCAAACCCUAAUUCCUCCCCCACAUGAAGAAAAUCCCAGUCCAAUUCAAUCCCAAUUACCUCAAAUCCCACCAUAGAAACCCUAAAUUUUGGUUCCUCAAUCCCUAGAUUUCCCACGCCUCUGUUGCCUACACCUUAUCAAUCUUUAGCUUUCUCCCUCAUCCCCUCCAUGAACGACACUUUCUCUCAUCCGCUGUUCCCCAGCAACGGCACCGAUACCUACGAGGCCUGGUACGGCAACAUCCAGUACCUUCUCAACAUCUCCGCCAUCGGCUCAUUCUUAUGUGUCUUCUUUUUCACCUUGGUCAAGCUUUGAAGCGAUCGCCGCCGCAUGCCCGGCUCGUCCUCCCUCGUUGCUAAGCUCUUCGCAGUGUGGUAUGCUACCUGUCGAGAGAUUAUGCUCCCAUGUGGCGCUGAGGCCAUAAUACUCACGCACCCAUCUACACACCCACACCACCACUACCGUGGACUCUCUCUCACUCUCCCUCGUCUUUGUAGAGCUAGGUGAAGCCUAGAAACCGAGAACUAGCUCCAGCAAACCCCGUGAGUUUCGAGCCAGAUCCCUGCCGACUCCGACCAUCCCAUGACCAAUCUAAGGUACAAAACAUUUCCCCUUGACUCUAUGCUCUUUUUCGUAUGUAGAUCGUAGGGAAAAGCCCACAGAAUGAGAGAGAAUAGUGACCUGAGAGAGUCCACGGUGAUGGUGGUGUGUAGAUGAGUGCGUGCGUGGGUGUACUGUCGGGGAUAGAGUCUGAGAGAGAUAGAGAGUGAAAGAGUCUGAGAGAAGAGUGACUUGCGAGAGUGAGAGAUUCGAGAGAGACUCGGGAAAAGAUUUAUGGGUUUGGGUUUUUCUGGUUUUUUAUUUUUAUAAUAAUAGGGUUAAUAUUAUAAUAUUUUUAAUGUAUAAAAAUUUCUUUUUUGCCACGUGGCAGCCACAUCAGCACAAAUGUGGUAGUUGUAGAUGCAAAUUUCUUCCUCUUGAUCUUGGACAAUUUUGCACCUACAAAACAAUUAACACCUUAGGUUAAGGCCAAAAGCCUCACACACCCACAAUGAAUGGGGGGCUUUGGCCGAAGAACCUCUGUUGCCAAAGUUAGAAUUUAGAGAGAAAGAGUCUUUACAGAAUUUUGGGAUUUUUGCCAAAGUGUUGGAAUGGCUUUCUGGUGAGAACGGGAUCACUUUUAUAAGGAUAGGAAGUGGUCGGCCUAGCUAGGGUUUUUGGGUUUAAUUUAGGUUUAAUUCUUCAAUUUAUUUGGCUAAUUAAACCCUAAAGAAUAAAUUGGUGGUUACAAAAUUGAUUAUUUGUAUAAAUGGGGUAAUAAAAUGGAGAAAAGUGAAAAAGGUUAGGAAAAGGGAGGUAGCUAGCUUCUUAGUAGUUUUAGGUGUGAGUGGGUGUUUUAAUUGAUAAUUAAGGGAUUGAUUAGGUAAUUAAUCCCUUAAUUAAACAAUUUUUAGGGAAUAUGAAAGGAAAUUAUUAUUUAGCUAAUUGAUUAGCUAAAUAAUGGAAUACAAAAUAUAUAGAAUAAAUUAGGCUUUAGGUAUUACCUUAUAGAAAUGAUUUGAUGAAAUAGGCUUUAAAUUGUUAACUAUUUUGGGCACUUUUGACUUGGUUGAGGAUGAUUGUCUGCCGCUCGCACGUAGGAAUCUCGAUAUGCCUUAAGGGUAUUUUUGUCCUCUUUUACCCAAAAAUCCACGUGUCGCCUUGUGAUUAUUUUUGGCUCCACAAAUGCCCCCACACCUGUUGGGCUGCUCGCAGAAAAUGGCAGCAGGUGUAGAGAUCAUCUUGCUUUAGGAAACGUAGGACUACUUCCUCUUUAGAUGUAGAUUCUCUCUUUAAUAGGAAAUUAGGUUCUUCUAGGAAAGGGAAAUAAAUUUCUGUUAAAGCCUAUUUAAGUCUACCUUAAGUGGGUUAUUAAAUCAACUUUGGAGAGCGAUUUCUUAUACCCUACAAGAGAGAGGGAGCUUAGAGAAUAUUUGUUCCCCCUCUUCUAGCAAUCUUCUACAUCUUUCCCGUGCAAAGGAUCGUCUUUCGUUGAUUUCUUCGUCUUCUCCGUGCCGCACCGAUGUAAGAAAAAUUUAAUUUUUUGCUUAUCUUCUUCUUGGAUAGUACUAUUACAGGGCAACCGUUAAGGUAGUGCGGCACGUCUACUGGCAGGGGCUAGGAGUUGGCUCGGCAUCGGUCGAUGAGGCAUUAUGGCAGGGGCCACUGCUUAGGCUGUUUGGCUUGGCUAGAGCCAAUGGCAGCUUGUGCGGCUGGGGUCGCGGAUUGUGGCGUUGGGGCGCAAUGCUAGGCGAGCCACAUGGUUAAUGUCCUUUAGGCUCUUAGACCUUACUCGGGCCAGGCUAGCGACUGAAAGAAAUGAGGAGGUCGUGGGCCUCAUGGGUUGUUGGAAUGUUGGGCAUGCAGGCCUCCUGUCUGCUAGAAUGCUAGGUUGAGCUCCUCUGCUGAGUACCGUGAAUGGCGUUGGCUGCUUAGUUCUUUUUACAGAGAGAAAGGUGGGCUGCUCCCGAAAGAGGAAGUAAAGAGGAUCAAGGUGGAUGCAUUGGCUCGUCUAAUCGCUGUCGUGGAACCUCCUAUGAAUGAAGAUGGAAAUAAGAGAUCUUCCCUGCCUACUCAAGAGAUGCCGAUCGAGAAAAAUUGAAGACUUUCUCCACUGCUGCUCAUGAUGAUUUGUCUGCUGUCGAUAGGCCUGUGAUUGGCAUGACUUCUUCCAAUGGGAAGAAAAAUGAGGCUGCUAGAUCUGAUCAUGUGGUGCCUUCCAUGUUGAGAAUUGCUAGUACAAUUGUUGAUAAGAUUGCUUAGCGCAAAGGUUUUAUCAUGCCCCCAGUACCGAAGUCUGUACCAGGACUUUCGUUUGGAGCAAAGUCUGGUUCACCUUUGGAGAUACUUGCUAUUAUGAAAAGUGGUAAGGUGGACUCUGCUGCUAAAGUGGCGUCAAGGCCCACUCCCUUUGUUGCUGAGACUGAUUCGCCUGCUAGGAAGGAAGAUACUACUUGUAUGGGCAGCUGUGAGAAAUCCACUAAACUUGCUUCUGGGGAGGCUGCUGAGAUCAUUGUGCUUUUGAAACUAUAUCUGCUUGAAGACAUGGACGCUUGUGCCAAGUUUGUUGAUGGCGGUAGAAAGGUUGUUUACCUAAGUUCCUUUGCGAAACAUACGACCCAAUAUAAAAUGACUGCUCUGCUUACUAGGAUGCAUAAAUAGCAAGGUUGUCAAGGAGGUGGCGAAGAUUAUGGCAGCUAAAGCUUAUUCCUCAGUCGAGGAGAUCAAAAGGUUGAAUUAUGAGCUUGUUGCUUUGAAAGAAAUGGAAGAACUGCAACACGUUCGUGUUAGUCUGUUUGAGAAGAAUGAGCAGCUAAACGGUAAGAAUGAUGGGCUUGAGGUUUCUCUAUUUUUCCGGAAGACUUGCUUACUUUUACUUUUGAGGCUUCCAUUGGUGAAGUAGUUGGAGACGUUAGUGCCCAGGCUUAGGCAACCGGGGGUGAAGCACCGGAUGAUGCCGCUGCUAAGAACGUUACGGCUGCUGAAGGUGUGGAGACCAAGUAGUCGUGGGAUGUCCAAGCUGCUGUAGUGUAGUAUUUUAGGUAGCUUUUAUGAUUUUCUUUGUUUUUCCUUGUAGCUCUUGUUUUGCUUGAACUUCUUCGGCCUUUGCUAGUUGUAUAAACAUGUUUUCCUUCGCUUUUCUUCAUCUUCGCUUCUUUUGUUCAUGCCCUAACCUUUAGACUUGAUAGACCAAUGGCAGGCAUGCUACUUUUUUAUAAGCAGACAAGCUCGCGUAGCCUAUGCAGCCGUAAAUGUUGGUGUAGAACUUUGCAAAGUUGUUAGCCAUUAGGUUGGUAACCAGAUACCUUACUUACAGAAGUAGACAAGUCCGCAUAACCACUAGGCUAUUAACCUUGACUUUCUCCAAUUCUGUAGGUUGCGUAGCAAGUAUCACAACACUUUAGGAAUUGGUAUAGGUUGCUCCGCACUUGGCAGAGGUGAAGCCUAUCGACUACGUAGCAUGUCGGCAGUGGAUAAAACUUCCAUAUAUGCGCGCUAGCUUGUUUAACCUUUCACAAGAAUGUGCGGUUGUAUAAGUCUAGCACGGUUUUACUGCUUGAAGGGCAAGCCGUAGGCAGUCUUCCGGAAUCCGUAGGCUACCUUAAUGUACUCGGUAGCAGCUUUAGGGUUCCAGGGCAGCCGUCUAUAGAGCGUACUGCGUAAUGUGCCCCAUCCGUCUCUAGCUCCCGGUUCCCCACAGAUUAGACCAAGAGACCCAAAAUCCUUCAGUUAGUUAAGCCUUGAAAAAGACCAUUGUGGCUACUUCUAGGAAUCCCGGCUCAAGCCAUCGUACAUCUAGUUAUACUAGGGUAGCCAGGCUCAUCAGCGUCUGGAUAUUCGGAGUGUAAAGUUUAUCCUCCCGUCUUAGAGAGCUGACCCAUAUGAGUGUCGGGGAAUUGGUUUACCCUCUCACACUAGAGAGUAAUUAAUUUACCCUCUCGCACUGGAGAGCAAUUAGUUUACCCUCUCGCACUGGAGAGCAUGGUUGGUCCAUCGGGGGGCGCAAUUCCUGCGAUGAGUCCCUAAGAAGGGCGCAGUCUUCUUUUGAAGUGCAGGAAUGAUUAGUUGUUAUAAGCAUGUGAUCGAGUCAAGUUGUGAUUACUUCUAAAUUCCUCAUUGAAAAACGAGUGAAACGAACGAGAACUUAGCCGUAAGGUAGGAACUGCAUAACAACUGGAUAGUCCUCAACUUGUGUGGUGGUACCCAUCGAGCUUCUUGAGUCUUCGGGCUUUGAUGUAGUGGGAGGUUACACAUGGCACCUUUUCAGAUUGUAGGCGCUCUACUGCUUUUCGAACUUUUUUUUUGUUGUGUAAUUGCUCUUGCUGCCUACUCGGCUAAUCUUAUACAGACUUUCUCGGAUGAGAUUCAUCUUUUUGGAGCUUCUCUGCUGGCAGUGAUGAAGGCUUUUCUUAGGACUAGAUCUCUGGGCUGGAACUGCCAGAUUUUGGCCUUUUUGUUGUGGCUGGAAAAGAACCACUGCUGGUAAGUUGUAAUGCAGAUGAUAGUCUGCUCGCACUUCUCCUCUGCCAAAUUUAAGCUUGUGGCCAUCUCCUUUCGGUUGCUCGUCUUUUGGUGUUGCGAUGUGCCCAUAGACAUCCAGGGAGUUUGUCUGGCCAUUUUCUUUUCUUAUUGGUAGGGGAUUUCUUGUGGCAGUCGAGGAUCAUCUUAGUGGAUGUUUUGGCCAGCCUAUUGCCUUGAGGAUAUCUUGGCGUAGACAUGUGCUGCUUGAUGCCAUAUUUUUAGAAGAAUUUCGCCAAAUCUUUGCCCACGAAUUACGGGCCGUUGUUGGUGACGAUGGAUUAAGGUAUGCCAAAUCGGCAAAUGAUGCUCUUUCAUAUGAAGCGCUCUAUGUCCGUUUGAAUUGUGAUCGUCAUGGGCUCUGCUUCUACCUAUUUGGUGAAAUAGUUGGUUGCCACGAUCAUCAUGCAUUUGCCCUUAGUAGUCUGGCUGGUGAUUAGCUGGGAAUCAGAAUGAAUUGAAAGCUUUUUCACCACCAAGUCUUUUGUCACUCGAAGGCCUGCUAGUGGGGCUUUGUACUCUGCUUCGUUGUUAGGUGCUUUGACGCUUAGAGUGAUCGCUUACUCGAGCAUUGAACCGUCUGGGGUGGCAAGAACCACGGUUACUUAUAAGCCUUUGUAGUUGGAUGCGCCGUCGACAUGCAAAUGCCAGAAAUUUCCAUUGAGGGAGUAGGUAUGGCUAAAGUGUGCUCGGCUACCUUCGAAGCGUCGUUGGGCCGCUUUGUUACAUUGUCAAGGCUAGGUUUGAAGGCGCGGUAGAGAGUCGUGGAGCUGGGGCCAUGUUACAUGUAGCAGGAGAUGCUCAACUUCCGGUAUUAGGCCACUCUAGAGCUGAAUAAUGGAGCAAAGGUCGGCUAGGGUCGUAUGACGCGCAGCAGAAGGUAGUGCUCGACUGCUAGUACAUGUUGCUCUUACGUAGAAUCUUCUGAGGCGACGAGGACAAAACUUGCUUUUAAGUGUUCCUUCUAGUGUUCGUCUGCCCUUGGCGUGUCUUUUGGGCUGAGUUGUUGCGUUCGUCAGAAAACUUUGCAUCUGCCAGGGUUUACGUCUUUAUCAUCACGGGUUUGGAUUAGGCGGAAUAGUGCGUCAUGAUGAUGACUGCGUACAUUUGAAGGUAAAACUUAAGCUUUUGGGUUACAACAACUAUCACCAAAGUUAGCUUUUGAAUUUUUAAUAGCAUCGAGGAGAGCUUUUGAACUAUAAAAUACAUGUAGUUGGGCCCCCAACUCUUCUCGCAUGACGGUACAGCUUAUUUCUACUUUAGAUACCGUCAAACAUGCGAAUAAGUCCUCUGCUGCUUCUAGGGAGGUGAUGUUGGGUACUUCUUCAAGCCCUUGAAUGUGCAUUGGCGAGCCUCAUCCCAAAGUGCAUGCUUCUCUGCCAAAGAAAAAGAGUCUACCAGAGUUAGAUAUUCUUUCAUGAUCAAUUUUCUAAAUAGCGGUGGUCUGCUGGAAGGCCUUUUUGGAAGGCUGCUCUAGCUAUUGAGUCGCUGCAUCCGACUAUCAUUGCCUUCUCUGUUUUGAAUCUCUUCACAUAGUCACGAAGUGACUCCUUUGGGUUCUUUUUUACGUCAAACAAAUGGUCGGACUUCUUUUUGAUCGAGCAAUAAGAUGAAUAUUCUUUGGUGAAAACCAAAGAAAGUUCGUAGAAAUUCUAGAUAGAUUGUGGCGGCAGGGUGUAGAACCAAUCUUGUGCCUCGCCUUCAUAGUGGUGGCGAAUAUCUUGCACAUGAGAUCAUCGUUGUUUCGAUAAAGGAUCAUUGUGCUUCGGUAGCGCUUUAAGUGUCUCUUCGGGUCUUCAUCCCCUUUGAAAGAUAUGAAAUGUUGCAUACUGAACUCGCAUGGAGGCUCUGCCAGCUCGAUCUCAUCCGUGAAGGGUGACCUGCUUAUGUUGGUCAUGUUCCGUCGUAGUGCCUCGUCGGUGACCUUGUUGCGUUAGAAAUCAUGCAAUCGCUUGAUUAAAAGUCUCUCUACUUCUUCCUGAAUUUUCAUUUGUUAGGGUAGCAGAGCUCUCGGCUGCCCCUAGCCAUAACUUACUGGUCUAGGAUGCUCUUCCAUGUGUUUGGCUCGUAUACCGUGGAUGCAGUGUAUGUGGUGCGGUCCUAGUAGGUGAGCGAGUUCUUCGCAGGCUGCUAGUUGAACUUGAGCUGGAUUGAGUGACUACUUCUCUCCGUCCGUCGUGCUGCCUACUCCAAUGUGAGGUGAAAGAUGCUCCUUGCAGGCUUAGCCACGAAUGAACACUUUACCUGGAAGGUUGCUCAUGUUGACUAUCAGAGUAUGACCCUAACCGUGAAUGUAUAUUCACCCGUGGGCUUAGUCGAGAGUGCACGCUCCUCCGCGCGCUAAGACGAGAGUAUACGUUAUCUCGGGAGCCCAAUUGGGAGUGUACACUGCCCGAACGCUCGGCUCGUGGCUGGUCGAGUGGCUGCUUGCCGAAACGCUGCGGGAAAGGUUCGUCUGCCCUUGUCCUACUUCGGGAUACCUUGUUUGGGGCACGUUGGAUUCUGGUGCAUUGCAAAAGUUGAUUCACCAAGGUUGUCUGUUGUGCAAGGGUGCUCGUAAACGCUACGACUUGUCGAGACAAGUGUUGUUCGUCAUUUGGAUUGGAAUAGCUUGGAAGGAAUGUGCCUUCUUGGGCAGUGGAAGGGUGGUAGACUCCGGGCUCGAGAUUUGAGUUGGGAAAUGUCAAAUCUACGAAAAAAUGUGGUGAGAAUGCCCCCGGCUCGAUGGUAGGUCCGGAUGGUUGAGAUAGUCUUGGGCCGACUUGGGCUGCUUGGAAAGCCACGGGAGCAGGCUGGGCCACGAGAGUGAGCUGCUCGGCAGGAGUAGGCUGGGCUACGAGAGUGGGCUGCUCGGCAGGAGCAAACUGCUUGGAGUGUGAUGCACAUGGGUGCGAGGCUUGGGCUCGGCUUGGUAACACAUUGAGUUCGGGUUUGGCUUGGAGUGACAUGACUUGGGCCGUGGCCUUGGUGUCGUGAGCCUUGGAUGGCACGGCUCGGGCAGUGGUAGCUGUGCCAUGGACCUCGCCGCGGGUAGUGGUGACCGUGAUGGCCACCGCGGUGGUUGCCAUGGUGGAGCCCCGUAGUGAUGGUGCCGCUCCUAUGAUCACAUUUAGCCUCGUGGAUCGUCGUGGUCCCAUUUCUUGAAUAUUAGAAUUUUCACUUAUGGAAUUUUCUAAAUUUCUAGCCAUUAUAUUUUUCUUAUACGUUUUAUCAAAGAACCUUUGCAAAUAAAAAAUUCUAAUAAUAAGAACGUAUGAAAAAAUAUUCAAAUGGACUAGAAAAUAGAGAAAAACCUUUUUAUGCGAGAGUCUUCUACGAGUAUAGAUCUCAACUCUCAAUGAAAGCACCAAUUUGUGGAUGCAAAUUUCUUCCUCCUUGAUCCUAGACAAUUUUGCACCUACAAAACAAUUAACACCUUAGGUUAAGGCCAAGAGCCUCACACGCCCACGAUGAAUGGGGGGGCUUUGGCCGAAGAACCUCUGAUGCCAAAGUUAGAAUUUAGAGAGAUAGAGUGUUCAGAGAAUUUUGAGAUUUUUGCCAAAGUGUUGGAAUGGAUUUUUGGUGAGAAUGGGAUCACUUUUAUAGGGAUAGGAAGUGGCCGGCCUAGCUAGGGUUUUUGGGUUUAAUUUAGGUUUAAUUAGUCAAUUUAUUUGGCUAAUUAAACCCUAAAGAAUAAAUUGGUGGUUACAAAAUUGAUUAUUUGUAUAAAUGGGGUAAUAAAAUGGAGAAAGGUGAAAAAGGUUAGGAAAAGGGAGGUGGCCGGCUUCUUAGUGGUUUUAGGUGUGAGUGGGUGUUUUAAUUGAUAAUUAAGGGAUUCAUUAGGUAAUUAAUCAAUUUUUAGGGAAUAUGAAAGGAAAAUAUUAUUUAGCUAAUUGAUUAGCUAAAUAAUGGAAUACAAAAUAUAUAGAACAAAUUAGGUAUUAGGAAUUACCUUAUAGAAAGGAUUUGAUGAAAUAAGCUUUAAAUUGUUACCUAUUUUGGGCACUUUUGACUUGGUUGAGGAUGAUUGUCUGCCGCUCACGCGUAGGAAUCUCGAUAUGCCUCAAGGGUAUUUUUGUUCUCUUUUACCCAAAAAUCCACGUGUCGCCUUGUGAUUAUUUUGGCUCCACAACAACCACGUCAGCAUUUAACAGACCAAUGGAUGGAAAAUCUAACGGAGGUAUUAUUUUGAAAUAAAAUAACAAGUGAGGUAUGAAAGUGAAAUGUUUUAAAGAUGUUGUAUGGGGUUGUAAUAGACCUCAAACUUGAGGGUCCUAUGUAAUUUACCUAUUUUUAUGUUAAUUAUGAAUAGGUCAAUCAUGUAGAACCAAAUUAAAAGCUAACAUCAAUAACAACUACCAGAGACAAAAGCUCUAAUCAAUGCUUCGGAAACAUAGUCUUGUAUCUCUAGGUGUAAUGAUAUAAUUUGUUGGAAACUUAAAAGAAAAUUGGUGAUUUUGUAUAUAAUCGAUAAAAAGUUAUAAUAGUGACAAUAUAUCAGUAAUAUUUAUGUUAAUUAGGAAUAGGUCAAUCAUGUAUUUAAUACUUACAUGCAUUUAAAAUAAACACCUUAUCAAUGUUUUUUUAACUGUGCUCAGUUUUUCUCCUUCGCUUUGGUUUUGUUCUAUUGGAUUUUUCAACUAUCAUUAAUUGUGAACAUAACUGAUCAUUGAGACACAAACAUCCAAGGGAGAGUACCGUGGAACAAAAUGUGGAUAUCUUUAUACAUUGUAUGGUAGUAAACCAUCAUAAACACCAUAAUAAUGUAGAAACGCUCUUGGGGUACCUUUGGAUGAUAACUCAUGUAUUUGUUGCCCUACGUAAAGAUGGCUAAUGAUAAUGGAAGUCUAAUUUUCUCAUCCCAAUCUCUCCUGUCUCUCUUGUUCUCUUUUCUCUAUAGUUUAUUUCCAACAAGUUGUGUUAUUUUUUUUUUUUAGUAUUGUUAAGCAACCAAUAGAUUUUAAUUAGCAGUCUUUGUUUUUUUCUUUUAUAUUUUUAAUCAAUUUCAGUUGCUUAUCCGUUCUAGCAAAUUGAGCUCUUUUACAGCAAUUUUUUUCUUUAAAUGAAAUUAUUAUUAUUAAAAGAGUGAGAAAAUUCGAAAUUAUUACAACAAUUUAAAAAAAAGAAGUUUCGAAUCAUAAACACAGAGGGAGUUUACAACAUUUUAAUUAAGAAAUUAGGCUUCAGCUCAACUCAUCUUUGCAACGUCGGUUCCACUUCACAUCAACAUGCAAUGUUUCAGAAGGUCACGCGGUUUUGGGGUUGUUGUGUACCAAUAAUAUUAUAUAUAUAUAAAUUAGGAUUGAAGGAUACACGCAUUUUGUAGAGCUUAUUUUGUUAUGUAUUUUAAUGAUUUAAAUGCUUACGUUUUUCUUCACUACAAAUGAGUGAAUUAAUGAUUUUAGAAUUUGUCUAAUUUUUUACAUUGAUUAUUUAUGAAUAUUGAAUUGAAAUAUAGACGAUUCAAAAAUCGUUGAUAUACAUUACAAAAUGAACUCCACAAAAUAAGCGUCAAAAUAUGUAUAUAAAAUGGACAGCGUGAAAGGCUUGGAAAUUGGAAUAGGUUUGAAAAUUGUGCUUUUUGUAGCAAAUUGUAGCAAAGUUUGCUUGGACUUUCACAACCGUAUAAAUUAUGCCGCAGCACUCUCUAUUUUCUCUCUCGCUCUAUAUCGUGGUCCCUCUCUCUCGCCGUCCUCGAUUGCUCGAACUCACUAUCCUUUAUUGCUCGAACUCACCGUCCUCAAUUGCUCGAACCCACUGUCCUUUAUUGCUCGAACUCACUGUCUCCAACUUCCUCUGUUUGGUUCCCGAUGAAGAUGGUAAAACAGUAGGGGCAAGAAAUUAUGACAAUGUUAGAUUUGCAUAUUAAUCUGGUAGGGCUACAAUUCUCCAAUCCACACCCCUUCCAUCUAUGCUAGUGUUUGUACCCAAUAUUAGAUAUCCGGUCUGUGCAAUCGAGAUCGUUGAAUGAGAAAAAUUCUAAGCCGUGGGAUCAAAUAUAAUGAUGUGGAUUAAAUAAGAAAAAUUUAAAUGUUUAUCUUGGUUGAAUUACCAUGAUAAUAUUGUGGAAUUAUCUUCUGCAUAACGGGAUAGCGAGAAAAGUCCAAGGGUGUAGGGAAGUUGUGUGGCUGACUACCGCUUUUUUUUAUGGUGUCAUUAGUAGAGUAAUAUCACACUUAACAUUUAUUUGUACCAUCUCUCUAAUAAAGAUAAAGACCAUCAAUGCAUAAAUAAUGAUACAAAUAUAUAAUAAGAGUAUCAUAUUUGUAACUAGAAUAGGAGAAGAAAGACUUCAAGAUGGGGUCAGCCAAAUAAUUAGCGUCAGGAUAAAAAUAUGAGUAAUGAUAUUUGUAAACAUCGAAAUUUCGGUAAAUAAAUGUUGACCGAUAAAUCAAAGUUUCAACGCUCAUGUAUUACAUAAAUUUUACACGUAGCGUAUGUCUAAACAAAAAAUCGAAAUAAGUUGGAAAAGUCAUCAAACAGGACACAUGUCAACACCUGGCAGAAACGACUUAUUUCAUCUGGAAUAUUAUAUUCAAAAUUAGGCAUUGGAAAAUUCUAUAAAUAGAAGCCAAUUUCAUUCAUUUGAAGGAACCAAAAUCAUUAGGCAAAAUUCUUGAAGCUCUGAAGCUCUGAAACUCCGAAACUCUCAAGCAUCCAGGUUCCCGAAGAAUCAAGAAAGCUCUCUUCGUUCUUCGUUCUUCGUUCAUCGUUCAUCCUAAGAUCAAGCUCCAACGGCCCUUUAGAUCAACAAUCAUCCACUAAUUCAAGAUCAAGCCCCGACGGCCCUUGAAGAAAGUGUUCUUCAUUCUUCGUUCAUCGUUCUUCCAAGAUCAAGCCCCAACGGCCCUUUGGAUUAACAAUCAUCCACCAAUUCAAGAUCAAGCCCCAACGGCCCUUGAAGAAAGUGUUCUUCGUUCUUCGUUCAUCGUUCUUCCAAGAUCAAGCCCCAACGGCCCUUUGGAUUAACAAUCAUCCACCAAUUCAAGAUCAAGCCCCAACGGCCCUUGAAGAAAGUGUUCUUCGUUCUUCGUUCAUCGUUCUUCCAAGAUCAAGCCCCGACGGCCCUUGGAUCAACAAUCCACCAAUUCAAGAUCAAGCCCCAAAGACCCUUGAAGAACUUCUACCAAUUCAAGAUCAAGCCCUGACGGCCCUUGAAGAAAGUGUUCAUUGUUCAUCAUCCGUUCAUCCCGAAGAAUCAAGAAAGCCUUAUUCGUUCUUCGUUCAUCGUUCUUCCAAGAUCAAGCCCCGACGGCCCUUGGGUCAACAUCAUCAACAAAUCCACACAUCCAACCGUUCUUCAAGAUCAAGCCCAAAAGCCCUUGAAGAUCCGUUCAUCACCGUUAUUCAAGAUCAAGCCUUAACGGCCCUUGAAGAAACACUCAUCCUCAAGAUCAAGCCCCAACGGCUCCUUGAAGAUCCGCUCAAAUCCACCUUCAAAGAUCAAGCCCACGGCCCCUUGAAGAAACAUCCAACAGUUCAUCCAAGAUCAAGCCUCGACGGCCCUUGGAUCAACGAAACAUCUACAAAUCAACACCUUACGGAGAUCGAAUCAGAUGAUCAAAUUAGAGAGAGAUUGUAACCCUAAAUCAUCAAAAUACAAAUAUUAUUUUGUGCACGUUGUUCUUAUCUCUUUCGUUUCAGGAAAUUUUCGUGUUCACAAUAUUCUUACCAUCUAAAUAUACUAUAAUUUUAUACCAUCUUAUGUGGCAAUUGAGAUGGACUUCCACAUAAGUUUUAAAAAAAUCUCAUGUCAGCUAAGGUGGAUAUUUACGAUUUUACGAUUUUACUCAAUGAUUUUUAUUAAUAAAAUAAUUAAAAAAUAAUAAUGAAACCUACUUGCUCCCGUUUUCAAGCCUCAUCGCUGGGCCUCCUCCCUCUUCGCUCUCCAAUUUCACCUUCCUUCACCAACGAUCGAUGGUGCUCGACCCCCUUCAUCAUUGCCAACUGGCCGAAUAUCUUGAUGGUGCUCCCAGUGAUUGUUUUGCUCUGCCACCAAAUCAAGUUUGCAAUUUUAAUGGUUUAUGCCUUCUGGCCAAGUGUUGGAUUUGAUAGGUUUUUAAUUCCAGCAACAUUGAACAAAAAUAUGAAAAGGAUUGGAUACGAUAUUUUCCUCUGUUCUACUGCUGAGGAUUUUCCGAAUAGAAGAAGAUUUGGAAGACAACCUCUUUUCUUUUUUCUUCAUGGACUUUUGGUUAGCACCAAAAUCUUUUCCUAAUCCUCUAUAGGAAUGAAAAUUUCAUUCCAUGUUAUAUCCCGAUGUUGUCCAAGGUUUUGGCUUGAAUUUUCAUUGGAAUUAUCAUAUGUUGGAUCAGAUCAGGUGGAGAGAUGAAACGUAUCUAACAAGGAAGUUGAACGGGUAGGGUUUGAGCAAAAAUAAACAGAAAUUCCACCUAGGUUGACACCUAAGCUUCCACAUCAUGUGGUAUACUAAAUGUGGUAUAAUAAGAUGGUAAGAAUAGCAUUAUUGAAUGGGUAAUGUUAAGAGAAAUUUUUAGUUGUGACGGGAACACGGAUGGUACACCAUGCGUUUUUAUGUAAAUGGUGGAAAAUUUUAAUUUUUAAAUUAUUAACCUUUUAGCACACAUAUCCCACCAUUUAUAUGAAAACACGUGAUGUAUCACCUCGUGUGAUAGUCACAUUGAAAAAUCUCUCGUAAUGUUAGGAAAACUAAAUUUAUAAACAAAAGUUACAAAUUAAAUGAUGGGUUACCAAUAAGAAUGAUUACGUUUAUCAAUGCUUAAAUAAUAAAUCAUUCAUCAACUUCCAGUCCUUUAGUUUUUAAAAUUUUGUCUAACAUUACCCUUUCAAAACUCAUGAAAAUAAUUUUCAAUUUUUUUAACUGAAAAGUGAAAGUUACUAAACAAGAUUUCAGUUUUUAGCUUUCAAAAAAAUAAAAACAAAAGCUAAAAAUAAAAUGGUUAUCAAACAUCCCUAGAAGUCAUUCUUAGUGAUAGUAAGGUCAUCUCCAACCGAAAGAUCCAGGGGGCUAGAGGGCCGAAAAUAGUCUGAAAACCAUUUCCAAUCAAAGGCCAUGCCAAAGGGGUCGUGGACCCCAUUAGACAAAAAAGGGCCAAAGGGCCAACUGGCUGGCCCCAGUUCCAACAAUAACUAGAUGACGUCAGUUAACCGUUAUUUUUGAAUUUUUUUUUUAACAAAUUUUAACUUUCUAAGCCAUUAAACAACAUUAAAUUAAGUAAAAAAGAAAAUUCCUAUAACUUCCUAAGUCAUUAAACAAUAUUAAAUUAAGUAACAUGAAACAACAUUAAACAAUAUUAAACAAAAUUAAACAAUAUUAAACAACAUUAAAUAACAUUUAACAACAUAAAAAUUAUACAACAUAAAAAAAAACAUUUAAGAACAUAAAAUUUAAAUGCCUACUUCAUGCUUCUUUUGGCCCAAAGAUGUGCAACAAGAUCCUAAUGUAGGUACUUGUUUGUGGCACGAGAGCGUAUCAUCCUAACCGUUAGAUUUGAUUUUUUUUUGUUUUCGGCCAAAUUUUUUUAAAUUUAAAAAUAAAUUAUGUUUGACCUUUUGGCCCUCGAUUGGAGAUAGUUUUUUUUGUGACAUGACUAUGUUUAGCCCUAUGACCCUUUGGCCCUCAGUUAGAGAUGGUAAGAAAUAUGACCCAACAAUGUUCAUUAAAAUAUUAAUUUCUUGAAGAGCCAGAGGGCUAAAACGAGCCAUCCUUCGGUUGGAGAUGGCCUAAGAAGAGACUAGAGAUAGAGAGAUUCCUAUACUUAGCUGUGAGAGUUUCCUAUAUAUGAUUUUCAUUAACAAGAUUGAACUGAUUACAUAGAGAAGAAGAUCAAGUAUGGUUAUUUUUAUUUGGGAGACUUUGGAUGUGGUCCUUAGUUAUGAAUAUUAUUUGAUUGAAAUCUUGUUGGUUUUUAAUUUUUUAUCAAGAUCCCUGAAAUUAAUGUGAUAAUUUAUUUCUAUGUAAGUUACUAUAUUUUUUUAAUUAGAAAUUAGAAAUUUUAGUUGUUUAUAUAAAUGAGAUUUUAAAUUAAAAAAACCAUAAUUUGUGGGAUUAAAAAUAUUAAAAUAUAAAUAUACUAUUGUGUGUGUGUGUGUGUGUGUGUGUGUAUAAAUAUGGGUACAUUCAUCAAAAUUAACCAAAAAAUUUAUUGUAUCAAAACAUGGGUACAUUCUUCAAAAUCACAAAAAAAGAAAGAUAUUAGGCUUAAUAACAUUAGUAAAUUUCUUCGAUUAAACUUGACAUGGAUACAUUUUAAAAUCAAAGAAAAAAAAUGUACCCAUAUAAGUUUAAAAAUGGAUUAGAAAAAAAAAUUGAAUAGAUUUUAUACAAAAAAAGGGUACGUUUUACAUAUAACAAAUUGGUAUAUUUAAGAAUGAGUACAUUUUAAGAUUAAAAAGUUUUACAUGAAUGGGUUCAUAUAAUUAGCAUGGGUACAUUUAGCAAAAUAAAAAGUACAAAUACAAAAAAAUAUAUGUGUACAAAUACAAAUAAACUUUAAAAAAUAUGGGCACAAAAAGAAAUUAAUAUAUGGGUACAAAUUAAAACCGAAAAGAAAAUUGGUACAAGUUAAAAAAGAAUUACAAAUUAAAAAUGGGUACAAACUAAAACUAAAAAUAUAUGAUAAAAAAUUUAGUCAUAAAUAUAAAUAUACUAAUUGUAACAUUUUUAACAUUAAAUGAAUAUAUUUAGACAUAAAAAAUAUAUUUUAUUAUUGAAAUAAUUAAUGAUGUUAUUAAUACCCAAGGACCUUGAUAAAAAAUUGAAAAGAAAUAGAAUUUUAAUCAAUGGAGUAGCAAAAGAAAAGAUGAGAACCUAAUUUCUCCUUUGUAUUGUGUAGACAUUAUAACUAUACAUUCAUAAUAACAUGAGUAAUGUUAUAUUUAUCACAUUUGUACUCUUUCUCCAAUAAAGAUAGGGUCCAUCAACACAUGUGGGUUCUAUUUGCCCAUCAACACAUGCGAAUCUCAUUUUUAUUAGAAAAAUAGUACAAAUAUGAUAUGGAAAUUAUGAUAAGAUCGCAAUUUUGUAAUAACAUAUAUACUCAACUAUUUAUAUACCAACUCAUCUCCCUUUAGUGUAGUUAAUAUUGUUUGUUCAACCAAAAAAAAAAAAACUGAACUUGUCAUAAUCAUUGAAUCCAUUUACCAUGAACAAACGGCAGUUUACUAAACUUGCCCUCAGAGUAUAUAUAAAAGGUGAAUCACAAUCUAUUGCAUUAAUAUAAGGAAACAAUUUAUAGGGUUUGACGGGUGACUUAAUAUGCUAUAUGGCACAAUGAAAAUUAAGUUCACACUUUAUCCCAAAUAAGGUGUUGCACCUUUAAUUUAUGGAUGCUGGUUUGACGUGUGACCGAAAUAAUCAAAUUGUAGCCAUUAAUCAUUUUACAAGUAAUAAUAUGUGGUUUUAUUGUUUACGAUUCACACAACAAUCUGCUAGGAAGUAGAAAAUGCAGUACUUGUCCCUCUCACAGAAGUCAUGAAUAAUUAUCAAAUUCAAAGAUAAAGAAAAACCACACAAUUUACAAGAGGAAAGAAAAUGAAGGGAUAAAGAAAGUAAGAAAGGAAUACCUCUAUGGGAGGACUCUUAUUUGCUUCAGAUGCCUACAAUAUUCAUCAUAUAAACACUGAUUAAGUAGUCAUCGAAAACCAAAACAAAUGUCGAACAUAGGGUGAAAAACAGAAAGAAUAACCGCAGCUCAUCAUACCAAUAGAGAUAGAACUGCCCGAUGCCCAAGUAUGACUGAAAAAUGGCAAUCCAAACAUGGCGCCUUCUAGCUCAUCAAACUGUCAAAACCUAGGUUCCACCAAAAAGAUACAAGUCACCUAGUUACUUGUAAAAUAAAAAUCUGUUUCAAAAUAGUGGAAAAUAUUAUUAACAUUGUUCAAAGUCCACAUUGUUGUACCUACCAAGAAACAAGAAGGAUUGUAUCUUAUCAUGAAAAAGAACAUAGGUACCUUUUCAAUUGUAAUUGUACAAAAAUGAGAGACCACUUCCGAACUUCUCUUGGAACUUCAAUCAAUUUCUGCCCACUUUUAAAUGCCUUGACAUACUUAAGCCUAUUUCUUUGAGCUUCAGUUUUGGCUUCUGAUGCCUUUAAAUUUCUUAAAGAUUCUUACCAAGUUUUACAAACUCACUUCUAUACAACCAUUUGUCAGUAUACAUACCAUUUUCUUUGAGCUUCAGUCUUUGCAACACCAAAACCCCCCAAAUAGACCCGGAAUUUUGCAAUGUGCAGGGAAUAUACAAAAAAAACCCUCCUAUCCAUCUAAAACGAAAUCAGAACGCAAACCACAAUCAAAAUCCGUAAAAUUAAUUUAGCCAACCCCUAAAUCUAAUAAUUCUAACAAAUAUUAUAGUAUCAAUUGAGAGAGAAUUUGAGAAGAUACCUAGAGAUGAAAGGAAGAGCGUUUCCUCUGAUAGGGGUUCCGUGAAAGCAUCUGUUGACCAGAAAAGAAAAGGCAAAAAACCCCAAAUUACAUAUCAAGCAAUUAUAGAUAGAUCGAACCUUGAAAAUUGAAAUUUCAAACAAGAGAAAGGUUAUAAACUUACAACGAUCUGGGUGUUGGUAACUGGGUUUGGAUUUGGGUUUCUGAUAAGAGAGAGAAUCGUAUGAGGAACCGAUAGAGGAACUGCACCGGCAACAGAGAGCAAUUGAUAUGGUGGAGAACAGACGAGAAUAGCUGCUUGGAUGGUCAAUCCAAGAAGAGAAAAUCUUGCCACAAUCGCGGUACUUGAAAAAAAAAAAAACAAGUUUAAAGGAGGGAAACAAUCGCGCCUUUUUCUAAUAGACUCUGUCGACGAUAUUCUUGACAAAUAGAUGCUUCGUCGGGUGAGCUUAUUUUUCACAACAUUUUAUUUAGGAUUGGGUUCGGUUGGUAAACCGUGUCAAAUUUCUUGUGCCACUUGCCAGCCACAUAUACAUAAUUACCGAAAAUCAGUUACCGUUAGCCAACCGUCUUCUUGCGGUUGCCAAAAAUCGGUUCAGCCAAAAUGAUUGGCUGGUUCGGUUGGUAAAUGGCACAACCGGUGGUUUCCACUUCUUCCUCGCUAUCUUCCAGUUCCAAGGGCUCAAUUUGAUUUUCAGAUUGGGAUGCUUGUUCGGUUGCAUUGUGUGGUUCAUUUUGGGUUAAUCCAUGUUGUGCACUAGUAGUUGAUUGGCUAGACUCCAUUAUCCUAAACAUAAGCAACAAAUAUACAUUCAAAAUAAUAUAUAUGUACGUGUAUAUAUAGUAUCAGUAAUCAUCAUGCUAUCAAUUUUGUUAACAAUAUUUUCUAUAUAUUGAUUUUGGCAUGAAUCAUAUACACAUACAUAUAUUUUUAAAACCCUAAAACUAAGGAGUCAUUUAUUUUCUAAACUCUAAAAUUGAGGAGUCAAGCAUGUAAAAAAAUACUUAAAAUAUCUAAAUAGAAAAAGAAAAAGAAAAAAAAAUAAAUAUAUAUAUAUAUCGGUAGGUAUGGCAUACCGCCGGCAUACAAAAUCAAUUACCAAAGCCAUGCCAUUAAUUGUCGGUUCGGUAAAAUGCCAACCGAUUAUGAAAAAAUGUCAAAACUAUACCAUACCAUUUUGAGCCAACCAGUAUGGUUUGGUCAGUAAAUCGGUUUAUGGCAAAAUUUCUCACCCCUAAUUUUAUUUGUCACCUUAAACCUAUUGGUUUCUAGCCUACAAUUCGGAUAUUUUGUUGGGGAAAGAUUUUUGUACCAAUAAAAUUUUGCUUUGUCGGCAAAAUGACAUUUUCUAGUAGUUAUAAUAUUAGGUAGAUCAAAUUUGUAAACUAUGUGAUGUGUCACUAAUAGGAAAAAAUUUCAGUGUGCUGAAAAUACGGUCUAGAACACCAAGUGUCAUAAUAUAUACUUGGUUGGAAAUCUUUUAUUUUCAAGUUUCCAACUAGUUGUAUUGUAACAGUUGGUGUUCCAAGCUAUUUUCUCCAUGCGCUGGAAAAUCUCUUCACUAAUUAAAAAUAAACAUAUUAAUUAACACUUAAGUAAUAAUCAAAGCAUCAACAACUACGUCAUAGAAUUUACGAAAUAUGAUCUUAAUUAAUGAUCUCCAUUACCCUUUAUCUUAGCGUAUACGUACGCCUUCACAUGUUUAUUUGCUGAUAUGCAGCUUGAGUAAAAAUUUCUUUUUAAGAACAUAUAUGUGAAUAUAAACAUAUAUAUCUAGUGAUCCAUGUUGCGUUAUUUAAAAAUAAACAAAUUAAUUAAUUAAUGAACUGUGUACCUGUCUGUGUAGAGUAAUCCAUAUGCAUGCUUGAAUCCUGAUCACCACGAAACCAUAAUAUAAGCUACUCAAGGCCCGGAAGCUAGGAUUGAAGAGAAAAACACCCAGUCAGAUUAAGCCAAUACAUCAAAGUUAAUACUUCCAAAUGUAAGCUUUAAGAUAGAAAAAUCACUUACUUCCUUGAGCAGUCGAGCUUCUUCAAUGGCAUGAAGCUUUUAGCAUGAGAUUGACUGCAUCACAACUAAAAUUUUCUCUUGGAAACUACAUAAGGAAUAGCAUGUAUACCUAUAACGUUGAGAAAGUACGCCAAUUUUUUCCUUCUGCACAUUCAUGUUUAAAAGUAAUCCUCAAAUGAACUUGCCCACAAUGAAAUGCAAUUUGAGGUAGUCGAGUGUGUUCCAUUUCCAUCCCAUCGGAAUUACUACUAAACUUUGAGAUGGUAGAGGAUUCAUGAAAUUUUUUACUUUUGAAAUAGUCUCCUUAGCAUUUCUCGACUAUAACAAUGAGGAAAUACUUCACCUUGUAUCAAACAAGGGAGACCGAAAAUCAACUACUAAUAGCAUCACAGAGCCAGCAGAAGAUUGAGGAGGCCAUGAAAAGGAAAGAGAAAAUACACUCUUUUUUUGUAAGGACAGAGAUAAUACAUUCAAUAAAGGGUACUGAUGUUUAUAUGCAAAGCUGAUUAGGUUUAAAUAGUCGUAUUUAUUCUGUACAGUGCCAAUAUUACCACCCGUUAGUACACUUUCAAGACACUGUAAUCCAGUGUAUGCACUAUGCAGUACGUAGUACUCCUCAUUUUUUUGGGGAAAUUCAUUAUUGGUCUUCAUAUCUUCUUUAUUUUCCUUGUCCUCAUUGUGCCACGUGUUUAAAUCACUAAUUAUAGGUAAUCUUUCAAUUUAAUUAAAUCUUAUGUAAAAAAAGAUAAUUAAAUAUCAUUUAGUAUUACAAUAUAGUGAUAUUCCUCUUUAGUAUAAAAUUUUUAUAAUUAAAAGCGUUCAGCUUUUUAAUCUUCAUUGGAAUAUUAUCUAUAAAGAAAAAUUAUUCGAAUCAGAGAUCAUUUAUGCAUUCAAAUGUAUAAAAUACAUCGACAGUGUGAGAACCAACUAAUAUAUUUUUGAUGAAGUACAAUUAUUGAAUACAUUUGAACGAUCAAAUGAUAUAUGAUUCAAAAUACAUAUUAAGAUAAUAAAUAUAAAAGAAUUGUUAUUUGCACUUCAAGAAUCUCAUUCUACACUCUAAAUUUUCUAUAUAUUAAAAGAAAAAUAAAUUUGUGAAAAGUGUAGAAUGAGGUUUUUUUAAAUGCUAAUAACACUUCUCUAAAUACAAUUAUGAAAUUAAUUAAGUAAAGAUACAUGACCUCGUGAAUGAUGAAUGUAUUAUUCAAAAAAAUAUUAAAAACAAAUUGAAAAAGGACGCUGUUGUUGCCACCACUUAUGCAAUGAUCGUCGCUGCCAUCACCAACCCCCAACACCCCAUUACAGCUCAUAAAAGCACAUCAUAAGCAAUUUAUGAAAUAAAUUUACUGGAAUACUAAUUUCCCCCUUAGUUUAGGUCACCAAUGUUUAAAUUUAGGGAUCGUGAUAUCCACACACAUUUUUUACUUCUUUCACACUUUUUUUUUCGGUUGUCGGAUCAGAUGAAUUGAAGAAAAUCAAUGAACAGAAAUUAACAAGGGGUGUGUGAGAAGUAAAAAUGAAUGUGUGGAUAACACACCCCUAAAUUUAUCACAACUUUCAUUCCAAAUUUAAUUUUUAUCCGUAGUUUUGUUUGUUCAAAUUUACUUUGACAUUUCCAUUAGUAUUAAAAUCUAAUUUAAAUUUUAGUGUUCAAGCUAGAAAAAGUGUUCCAUUUAAUAUUUAAUCUCAGUUUUUCUCUUUAUUCUUUUAUUGGGAUUUGGUUGCAUCGUAUCUCCAUUUUUCUCGGUGUUGUAUGUUCAUAAGGCCUGUGAAACGUUGGCACGGAGUGAAGGGUACUCACUUUUUGGCCCAAAAUGCAUAAGGCAUGUAGAUAUGUUAAUCAAAUUUUGUAAACUAAAGGAUAUAGAAGUUGAUAAUUAGAUUAUAAUUUAAGAUAAUACUAAGGAGACUAAAUUUGCAAACUAAAUGAUGUGUCACCAAUAAAAAUAAGCACGUUUAUCAACAAUUAAGUAAUAAAUCAAUCAUCAACUUUCAUGUCCUUUAGUUUCCAAGAUUUAAUAUACAAAUUUAGUCUCCCAAGCAUUACUCUAUUACUUAAGUAUUGAUUAACAGACUUAUUUCUUAUGGUGACACAUUAUUUAGUUUACAAUUUUAGUCUACCCAACAUUACUCUUUUGAAAUUGUCUUGUCCACUGAUAUAAUUCUAUUUUUCUUGUGAUCAAAACUUCAAAUGUUAGCAAGUCGCACGUAAAGUCGCUUAUGAGAGAAUGUGCUCACAUUGUAGUUGAAAGAUUAUGUGGCUAGCAACAUUACAAAUUUAAUUUGGUAUAAUUCUAAAAUAUAGAUUGAGGAAAAAAUGAUCACAUUAACUAGAAACUGAAAAGGUUUCAGCACAGUUUGUUCAAGCAAGAAAUUCAAUUUUGAUGCUACCGAUCUUAACAGCCUGAGCGCCGUACCUGGGCACCAAAGUCACCACCACACUCUCAUCAUCUUCAGCACCCAAAUCCUCCAACAGGUCCGUUAACCCCAACCUUAAACAACUCUUGCUCUUUUCCUUCUGCUUAUGUGGCACACUCACAAAACUCCCAGCAAACUCGCUCUUGUCGGGUCCACUCGGUGCCGCAUCCUCAUCGUCCACGUCAUUCACAUACACACAUCAAACUUCACAGCCACAUCUUUGUCAAGCUCAAUCCCCUGAAUCACCAAUAUCUCCUCCUCAUCCUCUUUCUCCUUCUUGCUCCUCUUCUUCGGCUUCGGCCUUGACACCACCGUACUUAUCUUCGUCUCCAAAUUUAUUGGAAAAUCUUUACCCGCCACCACCUUCCCUGAUGACGUCGUCUCAGUGGCCUUCGCCACUCCAGCCGCCUUUGCCUUUCUCGCAAGCUUUGUCCGACGUGGCGUCGGUCUAGACUUGAGCCAUGGAAUCUCAACAUCUUCAUACGUAUACCCUAGCUUUUUAUUAUCAAGAGUGUCCCUCACCGUGACCCUAACAAGCUCAGCAUUCUCGUCAUAAAACAAAAACCCCGUAUCCAACCAAUCCUUAUCGUUAAUAUCGUUAUUUUUAGUCCCUAUACUUUUCCAAAUAUUCCACAUUCGAUCUAUAUUCGAAUGGUGCGAAAAAAAUAUUGGAUCCCUUGCAGCGGAGUAAAAAUUCCCCAUGUCUUCAAAAUUAGGCUGCGUGUUAUCUCCGGUCCAUAAAUGAACCGGACCAUGUGGGGUCGUUUCGAUUGAACCGCCCCCUGGAUCUGGUUCAGUGUCAGCCCUGUAGGGCGAACCAAAGAACAACAGCGGUUUCUUGGAGUUGGAAACCAUCUGCCUAUACAUGAUUUUGAGGUUGGCGUCGAUUUGAGCAUCCUUGGACAUUGUUUCAUCCGUGCCGUUGAAGUCAAGAUCGAUGAGAGUCGGCGGCUGAUGGCUGGCAGCGCGGAGCUCGUCGUAAAGCGGAGAGUCCGGGUUAGCGAACAAGGCAGGGAGUUGCAUGCCAGCUGGCGCGUCCCAGUUCCAAAACGGCAACGCGAACGUCGGAUCGUCUAUGAGUUUGGCCAAGAUUCUUUCGUAGAAGUAUACGUAGUAACGAUGGAAGGGGAAGAAAAGCCAGCAUUGAUGGAUUUGGAGCUCGAGGUUGGGGAAGCCGACUUGGUCGUACGCGCCGUCGCAAUAGGCACAGUGGAGAUCGGCUUGCUGGGUGAAGCUACGCGGAUCGUCGUCCGGGAGGGCUUUCAUGAGCUCGAUGGCUUUUGAAUAUUUUUCGAUGUAGGCUUUAUCCACGGUGUGAGCUGCCGGCCUGACGCGGAGUUUGGUAGGGGAGGGGAAUUUGAAGUCUACGAUUUUUUGGGACGUUGGCGGGCAACAGUUGAUCGGGACUGCUCCACUUGGAAAGUCCGCAGCUCCGCAUUUGGCUAGGUCAGGCGGCAACACUGGCUUUGCAACAGCGAAGGGGUCGCUGCCAAGACCAGCCACUCCGGCUUUGCAACAGCGAAGGGGUCGCUGCCAAGACCAGCCACUCCACCGUAGAGGCUUCCGAGACCUAUAAGAAGAUAGAAUUCAGUUCUUGGCAGUAGAGGACUCUAUUGCAGGGAAAAACUGAUUUGAAUUAGGAAGGCUUAAGUAGUUUUCCAUAAGGAUUUUAAUAGGGAAUCCAUAUUCUAAUAUGAGAAGGAUAUGUGUGUACAUAUAUAUAUAUAUAUAUGGCAAUCUCUUCUCUCACAGGUGUGUGCUCUUUUGGAACUAAGCCCUAUUCUUAGUUUGAGUGAUAAAUACCCUGACAGAGAGAAGAAGAAUUGAUGUGCUUUUCAGGUUGAUCGAGAUCCACCAUGACUGCAUCAAACGGGAGUUCUACAGGUUAGUAUAAUUAGGUUUUAUUUGGAUUGAUGUUUUGUGUCUACUUGGUUGUAGUUUAAGUAACUGAAUCUUGCAGCUAGAUUUUGGUUUACAUGUGGUAUCAGAGCCAUAGAUUCAUGUUCUUAAAUUCAAUCGAUAAAAUUGAUUGAAUCCAAAAUAAAAUUCCGAUCUUCAGACUUCGAAACAGGUUCUGGUAGUUAAAAUUAGGAAAAGAAGAAACGGUGCGUUUUGAUUAAAAUAUGAUGAUUAAUACUUGACCGUUAAGAGCUAAUAAACUAUCUUCUCUUCCGAAUUGGGAAUACAAAUCGACAUCUAUCGAUUUCGAUUUCGGGGUUUGAAAAACUGGGUUAUAUGACAUCUAUCGAUUUCGAUUUCGAGGUUUGAAAAACUGGGUUAUAUGAAUUGUUAUUGAGUAUCCACAAUUUAUAUUAAUUGCUUCCGCUGCUGGGUGUUGAUGCUCAUAGAACAAACGGGUAUGUCUCCUGAACAUUGAAUUGAAAUUUGUUUUUUAAUCAAUCUUAUCUUGAAUUUCAUUAUGUUCUACAGCAUGAUUCGAAUAGUGAGCAUAAAAAUAUGCUUAUUUAUGCUGAUUAGUCCUAUGUUUAUGCGUUUUUCUCUAACCAUCUAUGGAAGGGAGUUCUUCGAUAAGAACCUCUGCAGAUUUCACUUGUUUUAUGCAGAAAGUUUUAUGAAGAACUGUUCAUUUGAUAAAGAUCUGCUAAAACUGUGUUCUUAAAUGGAAAAAUCUUUUAUUCUAUAUGUGCUUAUCAAUUCUUCAUUGUUAAGAUUAUAUAUAUGGAUAAAAGGUUUUGAUGAUAUGAUGUACAAAGGAUUGUGAGAUGAAAUCUGGAACUCUAAACGUUCUUCUGUGAUUCAUUGUGAUUUCAUUGUGCUACAGUGUCUGCAAUAUCAAUGAAGACUCUGAAUUUGGCUAACAUCCCAAUUCUUACUGGUGGGGGAAAUUACAAGAAGUGGAGAAGGGAAAUCAGUUUGCUGUUGACUCUAAACGAGUUUGAUAUAGCAAUCGAGAAUCCCAAACCCGUGGUCAAUGAUCAGAGCAGCACAAGGGCUGAAAAGGCAGAUUUUGAGAGAUGGACAAGGGCUAAUAAGGUAGCAUUGUCCAUCCUUGAGAGUGGCAUGACUGAUACAAUCAGAUGAGGAAUUAAGAAGCACGAUUUGGCUGCUGAUUACCUAAAAGCUAUUGAAAAGAAAUUUCAAGAAUCUGAAAAAGCUGAAGUGAGUCAGUAUAUGUCUUUAUUAACUACUUACAAGAUGGAGGGUACAAGCUCUAUAAGGGAUCACAUAAUGAAGAUGACAUAUGCUGCAGAAAGACUCAAUGCAAUGGAUAUAAACAUAGGUGAAAAGCAGUUAGUAUUCAUGAUUCUUCAAGCACUUCCCAGUAAAUAUAGUCAGUUGAAGAUCUCCUACAAUACUCAAGACAAAAACUGGGAUAUUGAUCAGUUGAUUGCACAGUGUGUGCAAGAAGAAACUCGUCAAAAACAAGAAAGAGGCAAAGAAGUUGAGGACAUCAACUUUGUGCAAACUAUAAAUGACAAAAAGCAGUUCAACAACAGAAGCUUUUCUGGUUCUGGUAAGAGUUCUAAGCCUUUUAAAACUUCUAAUAAGUUCAGUAAUUCUGCUAAAGUAGUUGACUCCCCUAGAAAAUCUAUCAAGUUUAAAGCUAAACCUAAAGAUGUGUCUAAAUUAAAAAUGUUUUUGGUGCAAAACUAAGGGCCAUUUAAAAGUUAACUGUGAAAUUUUCAAAGAUUAUGUAAAGAGCAAAGAAAAGGAACAAGUACUUGUCUGUAUUGAAUCAAAUUUGUGAAGUAUACCUGUUGAUUCUUGGUGGUUUUGAUAUACCGGAUGCUCAGUGCAUAUAACUAAUUCUUUAAAUGGUUUUCAAAAACAAAAGGAAUUUGGAAAUGCUACAUAUAAUGUUUUUGUUGGGGAAGGAACUAAAGUUGCAGUAGAGUCAAUUGGGAUAGUCAAAUUAGUCUUAUGUUCUGGUUAUGUUUUAGAGUUGAAAGAUGUGUGCUAUAUGUGCCUAAGAUGAGAAGAAACUUAAUUUCUGCCCUCUAAAAUUGUAAAAGAUGGUUUUUCUUUUCUUGGUGAUGAUGAGUGCCUCAAAAAUUUUCAAGAAAAACUGUCCUUGUCCUAACACUAUUUUAGGGACUGCUUUUUUGUCUGAUAAUUUAUGGAAUCUAAAUUGCACUGUUAAGGCACUCAAUCACACGAUUUUCAGCAUUAGUACUAAGAGAAUGAUAGGUCAGGAUACUUCAUACAUUUUAUGGCACAAAAGACUAGGACACAUCUCUAAAGAAAGGAUAAUUAAGCUGUAAAAAACUGACUUGAUUCCAAAAUUAGAUCUUUCUACUGCAACUGAAUGUGUUGACUGCCUAAAGGGUAAAAUGACCAAUUUUAGAAAAACAGAUGCCAAAAUGAGCCAGGGGUUACUUGAAAUCAUACACACUGAUAUCUGUGGUCCUUUUCCAGUUAAGACAAUAUGUGGAAACAAGUAUUUCAUUAAUUUCAUAGAUGAUUUUUCAAGGCUGGGAUAUACCUUUCUGAUUAAUGAAAAAGCUGAUGCCCUUAAGUGUUUUAUAAUUUACAAAACUGAGGUUGAAAAACAGUUAGGCAAGGUUAUUAAAAUUGUUAGAUCGGAUAGGGGAGGUGAAUACUUUGGCAGGUACACUGAAUCCGGGCAGCAAAAGGGACCAUUUGCUCUCUAUCUCGAGAAGAAUGGUAUUGUGGCGCAGUACACCACACCUGGAACGCCUCAACAGAAUGGUGUUUUUGAAAGAAGAAACAGGACUCUUAUUGGUAUGGUUAGAAGCAUGAUGUCCAGAUCAAAAUUGCCAGGAUUCUUGUGGGGAGAAGCUUUGAAAACAGCUAAUCAUAUAUUGAAUCGAGUUCCAAGCAAGGCAGUAUCUACCACACCCUAUGAGUUAUGGCAUGGGAGAGUUCCUAGUUUUACUUAUUUCCAUGUUUGGGGUUGUAAAGCAGAAGCUAAGUUAUAUAAUCCUAAUGAAAGAAAGCUGGAUUCAAGGACUCAGUCAUGUUAUUUUAUUGGCUAUCCUGAGAAAUCAAAAGGAUACAGGUUCUAUAUCCCUCAAGGUCACACUCGGAUCCAAGAGACACACAAUGCAGUUUUCCUAGAAGAUGAAGAUGUCUCUCAUUUGUCAAGGGAAAAUUUCAUAUUUGAAGAGAUGCAUUCAGAUGGUGGGGACCAUGUGACAAUGGAUUAUAAUAUCGGUCUCAUUGUUUCCCAAUCAAUCAUCAAUUGCCAUUGAAGAUAUGAGUGAAGAUUUAGGAGUUCCUGAUGACAACUCUGUAGGAGUUGAUUCCACAACAUAAGCUGCAACAAUUCCUUUUGCAGAAGCAUGUGAACCAGUUGCUGUUCCACCUCCAGUUGAAAUCAGAAGGUCACAAAGAGCUCGGAAAACCACUGCAAGCAAUGACUAUGUGUACUUAUAAGAGACUGAGUUCGAUAUUGGUGACAUUUGAUGAUCCUCUUACAUAUACUCAGGCAACUGAAAGUCCUCAAGCAGUUCUUUGGAACAAUGCAAUGAAGGAUGAGUUAGAUUCAAUGUCCAAAAACCAGGUUUGGACAUUGGUGGAAUCCAACUCUGAAAUUAGGCCAAUAGGCUGCAAGUGGGUAUAUAAAACCAAAAGGGAUGCUGCUGGAAGAAUUGAAAGAUAUAAAGCAAGGUUGGUUGCUAAGGGGUUUACUCAAACGGAGGGGAUCGACUAUAAUGAUACUUUCUCUCCAGUUUCCUCCAAAGACUCCAUGCGAGUUAUCAUGUCUUUAGCUGCCUACUUCGAUCUUGAAUUACAUCAAAUGGAUGUAAAAACCGCUUUUCUUAACGGAGACUUACAAGAGGCUAUAUACAUGAAACAACCUGUUGGAUUUGUUGAAAAGGGGAAAGAGAAUUUAGUAUGCAAGCUCAAUAAGUCCAUAUACGGCUUGAAACAAGCAUCAAGGCAAUGGUACCUAAAGUUUGAUCAAAUUGUCUCUGCAUAAGGUUUUGUAGAAAACAAACUGGAUGAUUGUAUAUACAUUAAGUUCUCAGGUUCCGAGUUCAUCUUCUUAGUACUUUAUGUUGAUGCCAUUCUCCUAGCUAGUUCAUGUCCCCAAUUGCUUCAUAGCAUUAAGAGAAUGCUAAGUGAUAACUUUGAGAUGAAAGAUCUUGGAGAAGCACAUUAUGUACUAGGAAUAGAGAUUGUUCGAGAUAGGAAAAUGAGGCUCCUUGGUUUAUCUCAAAAGGGGUACAUUGACAGAGUGUUGGAGAAAUUUCAUAUGGCAAAUUGCAAUUGUGGUCAGGUUCCAGUCAAUAAAGGUGACAAGUUUUCGAAGAUUCAAUGUCCAAGAUCUGAUUUGGAGGUGAAGAAAAUGCAAGCUAAGCCUUAUGCCUCGUUGAUUGGAAGUCUUAUGUAUGCAACUAUCUGUACAAGGCCUGAUAUUGCCUUCAUAGUUGGUAUGCUAAGACGAUUUCAAGCAAAUCCUGAGAAGCACAUUGGGGGUGGCAGCCAAGAAGGUUCUUCGAUACUUGCAGAGAACCAAAACUCACAUGUUAGUAUAAUGGCCGAACUGAUUCUUUGGAGCUCAGGGGGUAUAUACUCGGAUUUAGCUGGAGAUGUGGAUGACAGGAAGUCCACAGGGGUUAUAUCUUCAUACUCAAUGGAGGGGCAGUUUCGUGGAAAAAUGCAAAGCAAACUAUUAUAGCCACAUCAACUAUGGAAGCUGAGUUUGUAGCCUGUUUUGAAGGCAUGAAACAGGCAGCAUGGUUGAAGAAUUUUUUGACAGAUUUAAAGAUUGUGAAUUCGGUUCAGAAACCAGUAACAAUGUUCUGUGAUAAACAACUCGGCUGUGUUUUUUGCUAAGAAUAAUAAAAGGACUUCAGCAUCUAGAUUUGGAUGGACGAAGUUUCUUAAGGUCAGAGAACAAGUCAAGAAAGGAGUUAUUGAAGUACAGCACAUUAGCACUACUAUGAUGAUUGCUGAUCCCUUGACUAAGGCACUGCCAAUUGGAGAAUUCAAGAAACAUGUUUCUUCAAUAGGAGUACUAGAAGGUUUUGAUCAGUGGGAGUAAUCACGUGUGUGUUAAAGGCUUGGGAUUGCAGAAGCAGAAGUAUAUAUGUGUUUCAAGAACUGUAUGUGCAAUUCUGACAAGCUGAACUAAGGAUGCUUUAUGUUUUAACUUGCUUUAGUUAGUUUGUUAAGGUUGUUUGUGUUUUAAUAAGUGUCCUUGUCUGCUACUCAAUACUUUGGCUUUCAGGUGUUGAGGUACGGAUACUGGACUGAGUUAGAAUUUAGUUUCAUUAGUAACUUUGAAAGAACAGUUUGUCUGUUUUUUAAGUUUGUGGUUAAUGAUGUUAUAUAGUCAAUUACUAUGUUGCUUUUCUGUGAAGAUUAAUGUGUGUUGUGAUCUUUUGAAAAGUGGGAGCAUAAUGUUUGACGGUUUAUGUUAGUCAUGAGUCAUAUUUACAAAUUGAAUAUAUGUGAGCCUUGAAUUAAUACUACAAUUUGGUUGUGGUCUGAGAUUCUUGGUUUCUAUAUUUUGAGAUGUAAUGGGACAGUGGUCAUGAUGGUUAAAUCUUAGAUGAGGUUAUGUGAUCACUUCUUAUGAUUGGUGACGGCAAGGUUUGAUCUUUGUCUCAUGUUCAAGUGGGAGAAUGUAAGAAUGUGAACAUGAGAUAAGAUGAUCGGAUAUUAGUUGUUUGAGUCCAAUCCGAAUAAGAAAGCCUCUAAGAAGAUGGAAUUCAGUUCUUGGCAGUAGAGGACUCUAUUGCAGGGAAAAACUGAUUUGAAUUAGGAAGGCUUAAGUAGUUUUCCAUAAGGAUUUUAAUAGGGAAUCCAUAUUCUAAUAUGAGAAGGAUAUGUGUGUACAUAUAUAUAUAUAUAUGGCAAUCUCUUCUCUCACAGGUGUGUGCUCUUUUGGAACUAAGCCCUAUUCUUAGUUUGAGUGAUAAAUACCCUGACAGAGAGAAGAAGAAUUGUUGUGCUUUUCAGGUUGAUCGAGAUCCACCAUGACUGCAUCAAACGGGAGUUCUACAGGUUAGUAUAAUUAGGUUUAUUUGGAUUGAUGUUUUGUGUCUACUUGGUUGUAGUUUAAGUAACUGAAUCUUGCAGCUAGAUUUUGGUUUACAUAUUUUUCGAUGUAGGCUUUAUCCACGGUGUGAGCUGCCGGCCUGACGCGGAGUUUGGUAGGGGAGGGGAAUUUGAAGUCUACGAUUUUUUGGGACGUUGGCGGGCAACAGUUGGUCGGGACUGCUCCACUUGGAAAGUCCGCAGCUCCGCAUUUGGCUAGGUCAGGCGGCAACACUGGCUUUGCAACAGCGAAGGGGUCGCUGCCAAGACCAACCACUCCGGCUUUGCAACAGCGAAGGGGUCGCUGCCAAGACCAGCCACUCCACCGUAGAGGCUUCCGAGACCUAUAAGUACAUUUCUUCUGUCUAGGUUUACUAGAGAAGGGUUUUCAUGGUCGUGAUCGUUGGAGCUAGUGGAAGGGUUUUUGUUUUGGUCACUACUAUUAUUUGUGGCUUUGCACGAGACAGCUUGUAAAUUGGAAUGCCUAGGGUUUCCAAAUGAGGAUAUUCGGUGAUACUUUUGGGAGAAAGGGGAGAGAGAAGUUGUGGGGAUGAUACUUGUGGCGGAGGUGACGAGUGGAGCUGACAUAGAAGCCAUGGUACUUGACUCUGAAUAAUACGUUGUAUUGGCUUUGCUUUUAUAAUGUGUUCUAGGUUUUACGUUUCUUUGCACGGGUGGCAGGCCGUACACACGUGGUCGGUCCUUAAGGGUUUGACGAGGAAUACUACGCAGUCAUUUAGUACAUGACAACCAUACACUAUAGCACGUGGCAUGUAUUUAGAGAUCGAGAGAGAAUUGGGUAAGGUUCACGAGGGAUUGUAGUUUCAGAAGGUGAAUUGGUUUUGGUCUUCUUGUGUACCAAUAAUUUUUACUUAGUCAUUUAGUGCAGGACAACCAUGCACUAUAGCACGUGGCAUGUAUUCAGAGAUCGAGAGAGAAUUGGUUGGGUAAGGUUCACGAGGGAUUGUAGUUUCAGAAGUUCAAGCGGUUUUGGGCUUGUUGUGUACGGCUGUGGGUCUGCUGUCACGGACUCUCUGUCUCAUUUGUGUCUUAUUUUUUAUUUUUUGACACGUUUUAACGUCAAAUCAUUAUAGCAAUGUUAUGCAAUUGGGAGCUAAAUGACCGAUGCUCUUAUUUUUUAGUUUGCUUUUUUUCCAGAUCUGAUCAAAUCAUGAUAGCAAUGUUAUGCAAUUUUCAAGAGGGAGAGAUGCACCUGGGAGAGAAACGGUACGGUGACUUCUAAAUCACCGUCCAACAGAACAAUUCUCAGUAGAGACUACUAGAGAGAGAUGCACCUCACCAAUGAAAAAUUUAACUGCAAAAAUUCUGGGUAUCGGGAGUUGUGGGGUGGGUCUUGGCAGUUUUCUUAUUUCUUUGAAUUUUUUAUAAUUUAUUUUAUAAAAGUAACAGUGUUUUGUGGGGGUUAAAUUGUAAAACACGUGUCAUCAAACUAAAUAAAGAGACACCAAAGAGACAUGGAAUUCGGGACAACAGACCCACAGCCGUUGUGUACGGAGGCAGACUCUCUGCUCUCCUACUUUCUGUGUCCUCCUGUUUUGUGUAGUCACGAUUAAAUCACGUCAAUAUUUUAUAUUAUUAUUUUAUAGAUAUAAUAAGACAAAAAAGAAUAGUAAUUUAAAAUAUUAACGUGACUUAACUGUGACCACACGAAUAGGAAGGCAUGAGAAGUGGGAAGGCAAAGAAUAUGCCUCCGUUGUGUACCAAUAAUAUUAUAUAUAUAUAUAUAUAUAUAUAUAUAAUUAGGAUUGAAGGAUGUAGAGCUUAUUUUGUUAUGUAUUCUAACAAUUUAAGUGCUUAUCUUUUAGGUUUUCUCUUAAACAGCAUGCCUAUAAAAAAUCACCAAAAUUCAAACCAUAUGACCAUUAGAUCCAUAGUCAUUUUAGUGUUAAAUGAACUUCACAAAAUAAGUCUCAAAAUAUGUAUAAAAAAUGGACAGCGUGAAUGGUUUGGAAAUUGGAAUAGGUUUGGAAAUUGUGCUUUUUGUAGCAAAUUGCAGCAAAGUUUGCUUGGACUUUCACAACCGUAUAAAUUAAACUGUUCGCUUUGUUGGGAAAAACAAGUUUGCCGCUGGUCUUGGGUUCCAAGAUCGGCCAAUUUGACGGCACACUUUUUGGCGUUGAGAAGCAGUACGGAGAUGUGCAGAUUAACUUGGAUUGAUACUCCUCCAUCUUCGUUGGUUCGUGUAUUGAACAAAGAUGGCCUUCCUUGCCCUCCUUAAUAUUUUUUGUUCUUCCUGCAGUGGAGGCGGUGACGCCUUGCUCUUGGUGCAGCGUCUAGUGUUCUGUACCCUCCUCUUCUGCAUAUGUUUGUAUUUCCCCUCGUUGCCCCUUCUAAGUGGGCUUCCUAUUGUUUUGGCUUCGGCCCUGGUUAUGAAAUAUUUCCAAUCUUACCCAAAAAAAAAAAAAAAAAGAAGAAGAAGAAGAAGUCAAGCACGGUGGGAGACUGGUCAUAGUUUCUAGAUUGAUGCUCUAAUUCUAAUGUUAUACAACGCGUACGCUAAAAUAUUUUUAUCAAAAUAUUAGUUUUAGUGUUAUCAAAACAAUAAUGUUAUUCUUACCAUGUUUUUGUAUCACAAUUAUAUACCACCUUAGAUGGCAUAUGAUGUAGAUAGCCACAUCAUUUAAAUUAAUAAGCAUUUAAUUUCAAAUGUUAAUCAAUAAUUAAUAAAAUGAUUGUUAAUUAAAUGAUGAUUAUGGUAUACAAGGAGUCUCCUUCUUCCUUCCCCUUUCCAUUCUGCUUUUUCUUCCUACCACUUUCUGUUUUUUUUUUCAUGCCAGUUUUUGUAUUGAUUUCUAUUGAUUUCCAUGAUUAUGGUCAAUCUUUAUAGAAUUUACUCGUAUACCACAACCACCAUUGAUUUCUAUCUCUAGACUCAUGCCCCGUAGCCCUAAUCCUCAUUCCCCUUCAAGUAUUUCUGUCUCCAAUCUUCUUUGGUACUCCAUGGUUGUUCAUCUCGUGAUUUUUUUUUAUUAUUUCAUUAAGUAACGCCUAUUAGCUUUCAUGCGAAUUAGGAGUCAAAAUCAAAUUUGUCUAUCGGAUUAGGGUUCAUGCCCAAUUAAGUUACUAACGCAAGAGAGAUUUUGAAGUCUACAAUUUUCCUUAUUUAAGUGUUUUAAUUAAUAAGAAAAUUGAAAUUAAACGAUUUAGCUUGUCCAACUCAUCUGCCACCUAAGAUGGUAAAUAAAUGUGGUAAGAAUAGCAUUACUCUUAUCGAAAUUACAAAAAAAAAAAAAAAAAAAAAAAAAAGCUGAUUCAAUAUUUAGUUAUUAAAAAAAAUAUAAAAAAAGUGAUCAAGUAACUAUCCAAUACCCAUGUAUUGGGUGCUUUGUUUGAAAAUUUUCAAAAUGAUAUUGGGCUCGUUUGGAUAUGUUUUUAAAAUGACUGAAAGCGUUUUUAGAGAAAAUAUUUUUUUGAUUCCAAAAGCACUUAAAGUGUUUUCUGCAAAAAGCACUUAAAGUGCUUUCUGCAAAAAGCACCAGUUAUGUGCUUCUUCCUAGAAGCACUUUAAGUGUUUUUCAAGCAUUUACUUGCUUUUUUACUAAGGAUUGGUUCCAAAAACAUUUUCACAAAAAGUGUUUUCAGUCAUUUUAAAAGUACAUUCAAACGAGCUCAUUGUUUUUCCUAUUUUAAUCAAGUGCGUCGUCCCCUGUUGAGAAUGAAUCUCAUAUUAUGGGGAGAGGGGUCUUGCAUGGAUGAGAGGAGGGACCUUGCAUGAGCUUAUAAGUAAGUUGGGUUACUCUCUAUAUUGCCAAGAGAAAUUUUAUUUGGACCUACUUUUCCUCUCUCUAAACCCAACUUUAAUAUUUUGUUACCUAAACUCUCUAGUUUACCCUCAUAAAUUAUAAACAUAAAUAAACUGGAAAAAGAAAAACUCAUCAAACCUAUUUCCCAACUGUUCUGGCGUCUCUUCCCUGUAUUUGUUGGGUCUAUCUCCCUCCCGACUGUUUUUUUUCCCUGAUAUUCUCUGUGUGUUCCCCCACCUCUCCCACACCCACCGAUUCUUUGUGGUGGCUAUUCCACCCAACGUCCAGUGAAUCUUUCCAUUUUUCUUCUAUUGCGCGUGAUAGGGCCUUGCUGUUAAUAGGCAAAACUAAGCGGCAUCGUCGACUCUGUAAGCGACUUGUUGCAGAAGUCCAAAAUGGAGUCAAAAGGAUUUUGUAUUGGGUCGGGUUGUUGAAGGCGAUGGCUGAUUUAGCAAUCUCGCCUAACUACUUCUAUAUGCAGGAGAAGGAAGAGGGAGGAAGGUCUAAAGUGGUGGUUGAGUGGUGGCGAUGUAUGUGGGUUCUAUCUCGGUUGAAUGGGUGUAGAAAGAUAUUUAAUUUUCAGUUUCUUAUUUUAUUUUGUAUAAGGGAUAAUAUCGGAAUUACAUAAAAAGUUUUUUUUAUAGCUGGGUGUAGAAAUAGUAUUGUUGGGUCUAAAUAAAAUUACCCUAUUGCCAAACAUAGUAUUGUUGGGUCUAAAUAAAAUUACCCUAUUGCCAAUUAGCUUUGUUUGAAAAUUUUCAAAAUGAUAUUGUUUUUACCAUUGAACCCUUGUUAUAUACAGUGAUGGCUAAUUUGUCAAGUUCUACGAAGUUGGGAUACCCAGCGUUUUAGCAUAUAACAUAACUUAGUAUUACAAGCAUAAUUAAUUAAAAUAAAGGAAAAUGAAGAGGAUAGCUUAGUAUUACAAGCAUAAUUAAUUAAAAUAAAGGCAAAAGUAACAGCCUGUCCCUAAAAAUGACGAUUUUAUAAUCUUAACACGUGAGUUUAUGAAGAUGCCCUUCGAGGCAAAGUGUUGACUUGUGUUGACUACCGCAUCGUGUCAUGUGAGACUCAUCUUCUUGGCGUAUUCUCGUUUUACUUGUCACUACGGACGCAUGGGCGCAAACGGGACAUGAUUUGGAGCUAUAACGAAUGAGUUAUUAACAUUUAAAGUUAAGGACAUUUUAGUAAAUUAAUUAAUUUCAGAUUAUGUUGAGGGGAAAAUCUGGAGUGCCGGUGGGUGGCCCAGAUUAAAGGAAAUGAAGAAUGGAUGGUGGAGGUGUAAAGGAAAGAAGAUAAAAGAAAAAUGAGAGGAAGUGUGUGACUAAUAGGGAGAUGAGAGAGUUAGGAUGGCCCAAUCAGAAACAAACGAAAGGAGGAAAAAGGAGAGAAGAGGGGAGCGGGGGAUCCCUUCGACCCGGUUCCAUUUUCCGACCCGACCCGAUCCUUUUCAUCUUCUUUGAUGGUUUUUCGUCGGUUUUUUCCGACGAACCACGUUAUCUAACCCCUUGGAAAAUGUUCCACAACCUUCCCUCAACUAUUACAAUCCAAAAUUGUAGAAAUUUAGCCAUGAAAGUAUGAAAACCACACCGGUGGGUGCGGGAAACCCUUGUCGUCGAUUCUCCCAUUAUUGCAACGAUUUUCACCAAUUACCACCACCUACAACAUCCUCUUGAGGUCUGGAAUAAAGCCCAAACAAGUUUUGCACUACUACAAUAUUAGCUUUAGAUGGCAGAUGAUGGUGGCGGAUUUAGAAAAAUAUUGUCGGAUAAAUUAUAUCUGACACAUUAUUUAAUUAGUGGUGAAUAUAAGAAAAAUCAUGUCGGUUAUAACCGACAUAAAUUCGUGGCAGAUACUAGCAGAUAUUAAAAAACUCAUGUCGGUUAUAACCGACAUAAAUUCCUAGCGAAUAAUUACUGACAGAUAUUAUAAAACUUCUGUCGGUUAUAACCGACAAUAUUUUUGAAUUGGGGGAAUUUAAAAUUUUGGGAGGGAAUUUAAAAUUUUGGGAGGGAAUUUAAAAUUUUGGAGGAAAUUUUGGGGGGAUUUUUACCCAUAUUAAUUCAUGGCGGAUAAUUACUGACGAAUAUUAUAAAGCUCAUGUCGGUUAUAACCAACAAUAAUGAAAAUGUUUAUGUCGAUUUUUAUUAAAAAAAUGUUUCUGUCAGUUUUAACCGACAUUAAUGAAAAUAUUCCACAGUAAAACCCCUACUUCUUCUCCUUGUGCUGGUGCCUUCUCCCUUCCCCCUUCUUUCCCCCUUUUCUCUUCUCCUCAUUUCCUUUUCCUUUGUAUUUUUGAUUUUGACAAGGUCUCUCCUUUAUUUGAUUCUUUGUUGUUCAUCUCUCACAAAUGUAGAGAGAGUAAAGGAGAUGCUUAGAGCGCUUUCUUUGUUCCUUUUUUUUUUCUUUUCAUUUUUUCCCUUUUCAAACUCCGACUAUGUCUUACAUGGCCGGUCCCAAGCCCGGAUAAAGGAGGAGGGGGAGGGCGUCAGGUAGUCGACAGCCGGCACUCCAUGAUCACGUCGAAUCCUUAUGAAAAUGAAUCCAGAACAAAAUCGCGCUAAAGCUAGGGCGCCACCCGUAAGUGGCGCGCUGUGUGGCCCGAGCACAGUGAUAAGUGAGCAAGGGUCGCUGUAUCUCCAUCGGCACUCGGAUGCAGUGUUAAAUGAGCAAGGGGGCCAUAGAAACUUCUUUUCGAACGACUCCACUCAAAGUUGUUUGGGAGCAUAUGCUCCUAUCAACUUUACCCGGGACACACAAAAGAAGUACUUUGAUCCUAUUAGACGGGGGAGGGUGAAGAAGCUAGGACAGAAGGGUAGAGUUCAAGAGAGCAAAAUGCGUUUAGGAACGUGGAAUAUAGGAACCUUAACGGGAAAAUCUAUGGAAGUAGUGGAAGUUAUGGUGAGGAGAAGGAUAAAUAUUAUGUGCCUACAAGAAACUAAGUGGGUUGGUAGUAAGGCAAAGGAUCUAGAAAACUCAGGGUUUAAACUUUGGUAUUCGGGCACAAAUAGAACGAGAAACGGUGUUGGCAUCAUCGUGGACAAGACCUUGGUACAAGAUGUUGUAGAUGUCAAGAGUGUAGGAGAUAGAAUCAUGGCAAUCAAGAUUGUAAUAGGACAAGAACUUAUCAAUGUGAUUAAUGCGUACGCACCUCAAGUAGGGUUGGAUACGAGUUCGAAGGAGAAAUUUUGGGAAGAUCUUGGAGACUUGGUGCAAGGAAUUGCUCAGACGGAGAAGUUAUUUAUAGGAGGAGAUUUAAAUGGACACGUGGGCAGGGAGACAGGCAACUAUGGAGGUUUUCAUGGUGGCCAUGGUUUUGGGGAGAGAAACGAGGAUGGGGAAGCUAUCUUGGAUUUUACAAUGGCAUAUGAUCUCUUCUUAGCCAACACCUUCUUUAAGAAGAGAGAAGAACAUGUGAUCACCUACAAGAGUGGGUCGUCAAAAACACAAAUAGAUUUUCUUCUAAUGAGGAAAGGGGAUCGUAUAACUUGUAAGGAUUGCAAAGUUAUACCAGGAGAGAGCGUGGCUAAUCAACAUCGCUUGUUGGUGAUGGAUGUACAUAUCAAAAGAGUAAGACAAAAGAACAAGACUUGGAAGUGCCCAAGGACUAGAUGGUGGAAUCUAAAAGAAGAAAAACAAGUCAUUUUCAAAGAGAAGGUAAUCACCCAAUGUGUGUGGGAUAGAGAGGGGGAAGCUAGCCAAAUGUGGGAUUUCAUGGCUAGUUGUAUCCGAAAAGUAGCAAAAGAGGUAUUAGGAGAGUCUAAGGGCUUUGCCCCACACUAAAAGGAAUCUUGGUGGUGGAAUGAGGAGGUACAAACAAAGGUGAAGGCUAAGAAGGAAUGUUGUAAAGCCUUAUACAAGGAGAGGACCGAUGAAAAUGGUGAAAGGUAUAGAAAAAAAGCGAAGCAAGAGGCGAAGAAAGCUGUCAGAGAAGCUAAGUUAGCGGCUUACGACGAUAUGUAUAAACGACUAGAUACCAAAGAAGGAGAGUUGGAUAUCUAUAAACUAUCUAGAGCAAAGGAAAAGAAGACAAGGGACCUAAACCAAGUGAGGUGCAUCAAGGAUGAGGAUGGAAAGGUUCUUGCUACAGAGAACGCGGUUAAAGACAGAUGGAGAGGUUAUUUUCAUAAUCUUUUCAAUGAAGGACAUGAAAUGAGUGCUUCUUUAGGGGAGUUGAGUAACUCAGAAGAGUGUAGAAACUACUCUUUUUAUCGUCGAAUCCGGAAGGAAGAAGUGGUUGUAGCUUUGAAGAAGAUGAAGCAUAAAAAAGCAAUAGGCCCAGACAAUAUACCAAUCGAAGUGUGGAAACUUUUGGGAGAGACAGGUAUAACAUGGCUCACUGACCUUUUCAAUAGGAUUUUGAAAACGAAAAAGAUGCCAAAUGAGUGGCGAACGAGCACUUUGGUGCCUAUCUACAAGAAUAAGGGCGACGUACAAAAUUGCAUGAACUAUAGGGGUAUUAAGCUAAUGAGUCAUACAAUGAAGCUCUGGGAGAGAGUCAUUGAGCAUAGAUUGAGGCAAGAGACACGGGUUUCGGACAACCAAUUCGGGUUCAUGCCAGGGCGCUCAACCAUGGAGGCAAUCUAUCUCUUACGAAGAUUGAUGGAAAGAUAUAGAGAUGGGAAAAAUGAUUUACACAUGGUCUUUAUAGAUUUGGAAAAAGCGUAUGAUAGGGUCCCAAGAGACAUUCUUUGGAGGAUUUUAAAGAAGAAAGGAGUACGAGUAGCAUAUAUCCAAGCUAUAAAGGACAUGUAUGAAGAAGCAAAGACUGCCGUAAGAACUCAUGAAGGACAAACCGAAAGCUUUCCCAUAACUGUAGGAUUACAUCAAGGCUCAUCCUUAAGUCCUUACCUUUUUGCGUUGGUAAUGGAUGAGUUAACAGGACAUAUUCAAGAUGAUAUUCCUUGGUGUAUGCUUUUCGCAGACGAUAUAGUGUUGAUAGAUGAAACUCAGGAAGGGGUAAAUGCAAAGCUUAACCUUUGGAGAGAAGUGUUGGAAUCUAAAGGUCUUCGCCUAAGCCGAUCAAAGACAGAAUAUAUGGAGUGCAAGUUCAGUGCAAAUGGAGGCCAAAACGAGUUAGGGGUGAGGAUCGGAGAUCAAGAAAUACCAAAGAGUGACCGUUUUCGUUACCUAGGAUCUAUCUUGCAAAAGAACGGAGAAUUAGAUGGAGAUCUCAACCAUAGAAUACAAGCUGGAUGGAUGAAGUGGAAGAGUGCAUCUGACGUGUUGUGUGACCGUCGUAUGCCACUGAAGCUCAAAGGAAAAUUUUAUAGGACGGCAAUAAGGUCGGCGAUGAUUCAACUUGGCGGGUUCGAGCAAAUAGGCGUUGGGCCAUAUUAGACACAGAACCUGCACACUGAACACUGAGAGCUAGCGAAUCCUUAACAGCUAACUCAUCAGACCGUUUGGAAAGUAGUCUGUUAUCUUUGGGAGUGAGAAGGUUCCUGGCCACCACCGCAGCGGUCAUAUCAUUCUUCAUCACGGAAUCCCCAACGGUAAGAGGACCAGUAGGGGAGACAAAGGAUGGGCGCCAUAUGUUGUCUGGAGAAGGCGGGGCUGCCUCUUCAACAAGGUUCAAGUCAAAAAACGACGGUCGGAGGGCCAGACAUUUUCAAAGGUGUUGAAGAGAGAAGAGGUCGGACACAAAUCAAGAUCUUAGAAGUGCAAGAAUGAAGCUUCUACUGGUGGAGAUUCAAGUGUGCUUUGGAACUUAAUGCCAGCCCCUAUAAAAAUCUGCACUCGACGGAGCUUCAGAAAUCGAAGAGGCGUUUGCUUUCUCAAAAGCUGGGCUGCUUAGAGAUCACGAGGGUUGAUCUCAGGAAUCGAAGAGGCGUUUGCUUUCUCAAAAGUUGGGCUGCUCAAAGACCACGAAGGCCGAUCUCAGAAAUCGAAGAGGCGCUCACUUUCUCAAAAACUGGGCUCCCCAGAGACCACGAGGGCCGAUCUCAAAAAUCGAAGAGGCACCUACUUUUCCAGCCUUGUCAGCACCUGUCACACGCACACUCAGCUUUGCGGAAAUUAUGGGCAUUCUGUCGAAGACUUCUGGGGAAGUAGAAAACACAUGAAUCUUACUGUUCAAUCACCCACUUCCCACACGCAAUAAUAGCUCAUGGGUACCACAGAUAACUUUGCCAAAGUUCUCUGCCAAAGUUGAGCACGUGAAGCUUGCAGCUCCCACUACAUCGCUCUGACCAAGAAGGGUAAAAAGAAUAGCAAAGAAACAGCACUAACAAAGUUUAGACCCAUAAAUUUUGAAGGUCUAGCUACCAUAUUAUUACCCACAAGGGUAAAGGAACAGUACCACUGCUGGAUAAUUGGAAAGUCCCUAUGUGUCAACCUCUGUGCUUCGUGGCAAGGUAGACUAGCAAACAUGCCCAACCUUUACUCACAUUCGAGAAAACACUCCCAAUAAGAUUGCUUGCUCCAAAAUCGAAGAGGCACCGUCCUCCGAAUCUCGAGAGCCAGACUCCCAACAUGACUACUUUCUUAAAAAUCGAAGAGAGGGUAAAGGAACAGUACCAUUGCUGGAUAAUUGGAAAGUCCAUGUGUGUCAACCUCUGUGCUUCGUGGCAAGGUAGACUAGCAAACAUGCCCAACCUUUACUCACAUUCGAGAAAACACUCCCAACAAGAUUGCUUGCUCCAAAAUCGAAGAGGCACCGCCCUCCGAAUCUCGAGAGCCAGACUCCCAACAUGAUUACUUUCUCAAAAAUCGAAAGAGACACUGCUCCCCGAAUCUUCGAGAGCCAGACCCCCAGCAUGAUUGCUUUCUCAAAAAUCGAUGAGGCAUCGUUCUCCGAAUCAAUCGAAGAGGCGCUCGCUUUCUCAAAAGCUGGGCUGCUCAGAGACCACGAGGGCCGAUCUCAGAAAUCGAAGAGGCACUUACUUUUCUAGCCUUGUCAGCACCUGUCACACGCACACUCAGCUUUGCAGAAAUUAUGGGCAUUCUGUCGAAGACUUCUGGUGAAGUAGAAAGCACAUUAAUCCUACUGUUCAAUCACCCACUUCCCACACGCAACAAUAGCUCAUGGGUACCACAGAUAACUUUGCCAAAGUUCUCUGCCAAAGUUGAGCACGUGAAGCUUGCAGCUCCCACUACAUCGCUCUGACCAAGAAAGGUAAAAGAAUAGCAAAGAAACAGCACUAACAAAGUUUAGACACAUAAAUUUUGAAGGUCUAGCUACCAUAUUAUUACCCACAAGGGUAAAGGAACAGUACCACUGCUGGAUAAUUGGAAAGUCCCUGUGUGUCAACCUAUGUGCUUCGUGGCAAGGUAGACUAGCAAACAUGCCCAACCUUUACUCACAUUCGAGAAAACACUCCCAACAAGAUUGCUUGCUCCAAAAUCGAAGAGGCACUGUCCUCCGAAUCUCGAGAGCCAGACUCCCAACAUGACUACUUUCUCAAAAGCGAAGAGAGGGUAAAGGAACAGUACCAUUGCUGGAUAAUUGGAAAGUCCCUGUGUGUCAACCUUUGUGCUUCAUGGCAAGGUAGACUAGCAAACAUGCCCAACCUUUACUCACAUUCGAGACAACACUCCCAACAGGAUUGCUUGCUCCAAAAUCAAGAGGCACCGCCCUCCGAAUCUCGAGAGCCAAACUCCCAACAUGAUUACUUCCUCAAAAAUCGAAGAGACACUGCUCUCCGAAUCUCGAGAGCCAGACCCCCAGCAUGAUUGCUUUCUCAAAAAUCGAAAAGGCAUCGUUCUCCGAAUCUCGAGAGCCAGAUACCACAGACCACUUUUUCAAAGUGCUCUGACAGAGUUAAAACAUGUGAAACUGGCAGCUCCCACUACCGUGCUAUGACCAAGCAGGGUAAAGGAAUAGCAUUACUACUUGUUGUUAGGGAGACUCCUAUAUAUGUCGACCUCCAUCCCCAACGGACAGGCAGACCUGCAAAAAUGCUCAACCCUUCAUCAUAUCUGAGUGGGCACUCCCAACGAAGCCUUUCGAAAUAUUCAGCUUUCUUUCCCCCCGAUAAUACCUCUGCAAACAAGCUAUACUAGAGCAAGAAUAUCUCAUAUCAUCAGGGUUAAAAGCAAGAGUAUCCCAUAUCAUGCUUUUUCCCUGUCUUUUCCUUUGGCCUUGUUUUUACCUGCAAGACAAGGAGAAAGAGAGCAAUCAGUCAGCACUUGGAAUCAAGCUUCCAACCAGGAAAUGACUGCCUGGAACCCCUUACUUGGCAUUGCUCUCGAGUACUCAUCUUCAACAUCUUAUGUUUCCAGGGAAGAUUCUGCAUCUGCUUGAGGAACAGAUAGGGCAAGUGCGAAGGAUACAAGGAAGCAUGCGGAGACAAGCGUAACAGCACACGUGCCGAUACAUCCAUUACUCUGUCAAAAGCAAAAGUAUCCCAUAUCAGCAGGGUGGAACGUACUCUAGAUUUGAUGGACUUGUUUUGACCCUCAAAUUCUUCAGUCGGCCUUAUAUUCUGGAGGAAACCAGAAAACCCUCCAGCUCAGUUCAAGAAUAAGCCUGUGGAAAGUUACUUCUUCAAAAGCAAAAGUAUCUCAUAUCAUCUCUUCUCAUUUUUCUUCUCUCUUUAUCCUUCAUGCUGCUGCAAGAUGGGGAGAAGGUGAACAAUCAGUCGGAGCUCUGAUUGCUUACCUUGUCUGUCACCUCUUUCAGCAGACCCCCUAGCUCGGCGACUUGGGGGACUCCUACUAAAUGGUUUGUAUCGCGCUUGACCAAGCCUGAAACUACAAGUAAGCUUCAAGUGAAAUUGAUACAUUACCUUGUGCAUCUCCACCAGUUAAAGAUACCACCCCUGGAUGGAGGAAGAGUACUUCCAGAGAAGAUGCCACAUCUACCUAUGAGACAGAUAAGGCAAGUCAAGACGACACCACACUCCGAUACUUAGAAGUUUCGUGAUUAUGAGAUCAUUCUCCCACAAUAUUUCCUAAUGUCAUUUGUACUAAAUCAUUCACUUGUACUCACUAAAGGAGAGCUUGAACCUAUGUACUUGUGUAAACCCUUCACAAUUAAUGAGAACUCUUCUAUUCCGUGGACGUAGCCAAUCUGGGUGAACCACGUACAUCUUGUGUUUGCUUUCCUAUCUCUAUCCAUUUAUAUACUUAUCCACACUAAUGACCGGAGCAAUCUAGCGAAGAUCACAAAAAGCGACCGUUUUCGCUACCUAGGAUCUAUCUUGCAAGAGAACGGAGAAUUAGAUGGAGAUCUCAACCAUAGAAUACGAGCUGGAUGGAUGAAGUGUAAGAGUGCAUCCGGCGUGUUGUGUGACUAUCGUAGGCCACUGAAGCUCAAAGGAAAAUUUUAUAGGACGGCAAUAAGGCCAGCGAUGUUGUAUGGCACAGAAUGUUGGGCGGUGAAGCAUCAACACGUACACAAAAUGGGUGUAGCGGAGAUGAGGAUGCUUCGUGGGAUGUGUGGGCACACGAGAAAGGAUAAGAUUGGGAAUGAGGAUAUCCGAGGUAAAGUAGGAGUAGCCGAAAUUGUAGGAAAGAUGAGAGAAAAUCGGCUCCGGUGAUUUGGACAUGUGCAAAGAAGGCCGACUGACGCUCCGAUUCGAAGAUGUGACUACGGGACAGAGGUUCAGGGCCGAAGGGGUAGAGGAAGACCUAGGAAAACUUUGGAAGAGACUCUAAGAAAAGACUUAGAGUACUUGGAUCUAACGGAGGACAUGACACAAAACCGAGCGCAAUGGCGUUCUAGGAUUCAUAUAGCCGACCCCACUUAGUGGGAAAAGGCUUUGUUGUUGUUGUUGUUGUUGUAUUUUUUCCCUUUUCAAAAUCGAAAUGUUCUAAAUUAUUUCACUAAUCCUUGCUAGUUUGAACUGCAGGAGUCUGUCUCUGGAUUUGAAAGAUUAUCUGGACUUACAGUUUUGAAGAAUUGGGAUUCUAGUGUUACACAUAUUAUUGCAUCGACAGAUGAAAAUGAAGCAUGCAGAAGAACCCUUAAAAUUUUGAUGGGUAUCUUGGAGGGGAAGUGGAUUCUGAGUGUGGAGUGAGUUUUACUGUUUUCGUUUUAAUUGUUCUUCCUCAAGUGCUUGGACUUUACAAUUGUAAUGAGUACAGAAGCCGAAAUGAGAUAUUGAUAUACAUGUUCACAUUGCUGAUAAUUCGUUAUCCGUCUGUUUGUGUAGGAAUUAAUGCUUGCACAUAAGUAAUGAAACUAGUUAAUGAGGAGCCUUAUGAAAUCAACGUUGACAUUUAUGGAAUCAGGGAUGGUCCUCGACUUGGUAGACUAAGGCUGCAGAACAAGGUUAGCUUUUCCUCGAGUUUAACUAUCAUCACGAAAACUUUAGAUUUUCAUGGAUUCACCAUAGGCAUUGUUAAUCUUGUUCAGUCCAUAAAUAGGUUACACACUUAUCUUAACAAAGGUGAGACCUUCUCAAUUCCUCAUCGAGAUGAAUCAAGAGCAUAAUUGUAGCAGUGAUCAAGAGCAAUUUUUUUAUGUUUCUUCCAAAUUGUUGAGAUGAAUCAUCUGUGUUUUGUUCUAAUAAUCUUACAAAUUUGUUGAGCAAUUUUUGUAAAGUCAGAAUCUUUGGUUUCGGUUGUGAGGUAUCUGAUUUGGGUAUAUGUGUUUUGCAGGGCACGGUGGUUGUGGCGGAGGAAGAUUAGGAUUGACGACAGAGCUCUGGCCAUGAACUAUCAGCUCUGUCUUUCUCUCUCUAACUAUGAAUUGAAUACAAAAGUCUGUGUUGAUAUGGAAAAUGUAGCUCAAAAUUAUUACACAAAUGGCAAAAAAAAAAAGUUCGAGUGUGGAGUUUCACUUACUGAUACAGGGCUUUUGAAACAGGGUUGUCUAGACUGUAGAAGAAAUCCAUGGCUUUUGGAAGAGGGGAUGUUCCAAAUCUAUCUUUUCUCCCUCUCUAAUGUUCUUCGAGGGGUUCUUGUGAUGCAAAAAGUGGUUUAUAUAUAUUUUUUAUUAUUAAUAAAUUUUCUGUCGGUUUUAUCAGACAAUAAUUCUUUUAUUUAUUCUUAUUAAUAAUUUCUCUGUCGGUUAUAUCUGACACAAUUUCUGUCGAUUUUAGAGUAUUUUCUAUCGAAAAUUUCAUUUCCUGACGCAUCAAUUAUGUCGCUUAUUAUAUCCGCCACUGCACUCAUUUCAUGUCGGAUUUUGCUUAAUUUCCAACAGUAUUAUACAUUUCUUGUCGGUUUUUAAACCGACACUAAUGGGUACUUUUGUAGUAAUGUUGGGGCGUCGGAGUUCGUUUAAGGUCGAAUUGAGCACACCCAAAUUCAAGGGUUCCGUACGGUUCAUGGUAAUUUGAGGUAUUUCUCAGCCAAAUUGUCCUUAGUCACAGAUAUGAAAGUUGCUCCACUCGUUGAGAUCUUCAUUUAUGUCAAAUUUGAGAAUUUUUAGAAAUAAUUGGAUUUUCCAGCGAAUCGGGGCGGCGGACCACCACCGGACAGCGCAUGGCUAGUGGGCCCCCAAUGUCAUUUUACGUUAAAUUGGUAUCUUGAUUUUAGGUUUGAUGUCUAUAUGUUAUGACUUGAUAUGUGAACCUAGUUUAAUUAAGGUGCGUUAAUUGGUAAAAAUAUGAAACGACGAUCCGACCGUGGGAUCGUCACCAAUCUUUAUUAUGUUAUAGUACAUUAUAUUUGAGAAUCAUAGGGACUGACGGAUAGGAAAUCCGAUAUACGGAUCUUCCUGAAAUGGAAUUGUAAGUUCGAAGAAUAAACGUUAACCGCCACUUUGUUUUGACUAUUGGUGAAGAUCCAACCGUUGGAUCAUAAUGAAAUUUUAGGAUGAUGUUUUAGAAGCAUAAUGUGGAUCUUUGGAAGUUAUUGAUUGGAAAUCCGAGGAGCGAAUCUUCCGGAUUGAAUUACGUAAGGUUGUGGACCCUACCGUCGAUCGUUGACUGACGAUCGACUUUUGGUCAAUGGGGCUUAAAUCACUCUAAAAUGUUUUUAGGGAUGUGUUUUACGUAAAUUACAUUAUCUAUGGAUAAGAAUUCUGAGAUGUGGUUUGAUAAUUGUCCUGGGCGCCGAUCGUUAGGAACGCUUCGAUGGUUGUGCUAGGAAAUUGUAGCAUAGACUCCAGGUGAGUGAAUCUUUUCCUUCUUAUAUAUAUAUAUAUAUAUAUAUGAUUGACAAUUCCACAAACGUUUAUAAAUUGAUUAUUGCAUAUAACUACUGUAAAUACUUUGAAGUACUUAUGCGAACUACGAAUGGCUUGAUCCCUAUUUAGGGUACGUAUGCAGUCUAACAAGACAUUAAAUGCAGUCAUACAAUAAUUGAGAUUAAACAAUUGAGACAAAGCCUUGUAUGGGGAACUGGGCAAGGUGAACGAAUUUGGUAAAAAUGUGAGAUUUAACCUUCUGAAUUGGUGAUUAAAUGUUGGUCAUAAAUCAAUGUGUAAAGAAUCAAGAAUUUGAAGUAAGGAAACGUAAGUAAUGAUAAUUAAUUAAACUAGUGUCUAGUUGGGCUUGUCACCUAUAAUUAUCCCCAAAAAUGAAUAAUUCGGGAGUAGGGCGUUAUAGCUUCUGCAUUUUUAUGCCACAUUAUAUAUAUAUAUAUAUGUGUGUGUGUGUGUGUGUGUGUGUGUGUGUGUAUAAUUGGAAAUGCUAUAACGUGGUUGAGUAUCAGAUUUCAUCAUGGUUUAUCUAUAUGUAUAUUACCUGCACACAAUUAUUAUGAACACUUUGAAGUGCAAAGGUGAACGCAAGACACCCAGGAAAGUUCAGGUGAGUUUAUGGUAUUAGUUGAAAUGAUGGGGUUAUGGUAACUACAUGUAUGUUUAGGUUGCAAUGAUAGGCAACUCCGACACUGUCGUACAAGUUGCCCAUGAAUUGUAUAUGUUACAAUAGAUAGAGUUAGAGGUCAUAAACCUGCACCCCGGUGUUAGUGCUCCCACCCGUGGCUAGGGCACAGUCUUUCACGAGAUGUUCACCUCUCGCAUCUUACGCUCACCUUGGAUCCAAGGUAGGUGCACAGUCAUGUCAUAAAGACCACUAUAGGUGGUUCCGACUAGUAGAUGACCCGUGAUUAUUCGCACAGUCUUCACGUGAUUGUAGCACUUGAGCGUAUUUAUUUACACCCAGUCCUGUCGUACAGACCACUUUAGGUGGUUCCGACUCGUAUGCAGGUAUACUUAUUGAGCUAUGGAUAAGUCGUACAGGUCACUAAAGGUGACUCCAACUUAUGAGCUAGCAUAUGUGAUGAAAUAUGUGAUGAGCUAGCAUAUGUAAUGAGAUAAGUGAUGAGCUAGCAUAUGUGAUGAGAUAUGUGAUGAGUUAGCAUACGUUAUGAGAUAUGUGAUGAGUGAUAUAAUCAUAAUUGCAUACAUUUUCAUGCCCUUUUAGUUUAGAUUUUUGUUAUCCUUUUGAGUGAAUUUAGUUUGUUUCACUUAGUUUUAUGUUUUUCUUAGAUUUGAAGUGUGAAGAUGAAGAAAGAAGAAAAAAGAGCAUUUUUAGCGAUUGAAAUGAGUUUGGCAUGCUGGAAGCAGAGGCUAUUUGUGCGGAUCAGCCAACUUUACGGAUUAAACUGUACUUCCUUAGAAUGCCAGCUGUUGAGUCUUAUACCAUUGGAAAGAUAUGAAAGUUAGCUUUCAGAGGAAUUUUACGAUUCGUGAUUCCGAGUUUCCUAGAAGACGUUAUAGUGGUUUUUCUACCAGAUGUCUGCCAGCAAGGUUUUACGCGGGAUUUGCAAAGAGAUUCCAGAUUUACAAAGUUUAAUUAAAGGAAACAAGCAGAGAAAAAAGAAGAGGAAGCUUUUAGAAAAGUUCAGGACUAUUCUAAACGGUGCAUAGUUAAUAUAUUUAAUAGUUUAGUGUGCCACAUCAUCAAUAAACUAAUCUAAGUCAGAAGAGAAAUUCAAGAGUCCCAUUCAAGUAAGUAUUCCAGCAGUUUUAUUCAGGAAUAAAGGAGGGCAGACCGUCGGACUUUAGGAGCGGACAGAGAGAGUUUUUGGGUUUUCGAAGGUGCAGAGAAGAGGUCGCAGCAAGGAGUGAAACAGAGUCGCCGAUCAUCUGGGCAAUCCAUCACCAUCGUGUGGAAGUAUUUUAUGUUUUUCAGAUUUUUAAUUAUGUUUUCAGAUUUUAUGAGUAACUAAACUCUUUUUCUAAGGUUAGGAUGAUGCCCUAGCAUGGAUGUUUAUGGUUUGUAAUGUUAUUCAUUGGAUUUCCAGUUUCUUUUAGAUGAAUGCUUAAUCACUGUUUGAAUUGUUACUGUUUGUUUGAGUUCUUUGAUUGAUCACCUUAGGACUUUGCAUCUAGUAAGAUUGGAAGAUGAAUUUGAGACUGAACUAACAAUAUAAUUCAAUUAGCUUCUUGUGGUUAAGUGUGGUAAAUUACAUUAUUGCUUGAAAAAGAAUAAUGGUUUGUUUGGGUCCCUUGUUUUCUAGAGGGUAAAGAGUCCUACUUGUUAAAUUUAUGCCUUAACUAGGAUAGACUGCUUGUUAGGAUAUACGACCUCUGCCUAAACUAGGAGAGAAUCAUUCACAUAAGGAAAACUAUGGUCUAAUAUGCCUGACAAGGACUUAGAUACGGGAAUUAUCAUCUAAAGAAUUGAAAGAUCCAUUGAAUGCAUUGAAACCUAAACUAGAUUGCUUGUGGUUGAUUCCGAAUCCCUAGAUUUUCAUCACUUGCCUUAAAACACAACCGUUUCUUUUCUUUAAUUUCAGUUUUUACUUAAGGUUCUGUUUUUGUUCAUUUAUAAAAUCAUCACAACAAAUUUUUUACAUCUUUGAUUGACUUAUUAAUUAAGAUCGAGUCUAGUUCGUUGUUUGGGUUUGUGUGUCUUUAAUAUAAUUAGAUUUGGUUUAGUUUAUCAAAUUGGAGAUUGAAUUAGAAUCCUCGUGGGAACGAUACUUGGACUUGCAAAACGUUAUAUUACGACUAUCUUGUGCACUUGUAAGUUUACACCAAGUUUUUGGCGCCGUUGCCGGGGACUCUAAUUGAGUCCCCCAAUUUGAUAUCAUAUUCCAUAUCUAAUAAGUAGUUUAUUGUAGAUUAUUCAAUUUGAUUUUGUUUUGUUCUCUAGUUUCGAGUAAGAGUCAUAACUAUUAAGAUAAGUAAAAGUAAUUUUCGUCACUGUUUUAUUUCAGUUUUGUAUCACUGUUUCGACACAGUUUUGGACUAAACUAUUCGAUUUUUUACCAGGAAUAUUGUGUAUCGUUGGAAAGCCCCAGAAGUCUAGUUUUCAACCCAAAAAACAGAUCAAUGAUUGGAUUUUUGAGCUGCAAGAAAUGUACAAAAUACUGAGCAGUGGUCAAACAAGGAGCACAGUCUGGUCGUAUAUGCAAGGUAGACGUUCGUUGCAAUUUGAGUUGAUUCAUAUAGACCAAGAACUUGUGCGUACUUUAAGAGAACAGUGGAGGCAGCGAGUGUGUCAAGAACCAGCCAUGGAGGAAGUAGUUAAUAAUGGUGGAAAUAAUCCUCCACCAUUGCUACCACCACAACCAAGGCUCAUGCGUGAUUAUACAAAGCCAACGGAGUACAACGCACCGUCAUGCAUUGUUUUGGCUCCAAUUGCGCAGCGAUUUGAGAUUCGUCCACAAAUCUUUCAGUUGCUGCCUAUAUUUCUUGGGAAGGAGGAAGAAAAUCCAUACCAUCAUAUCAAGGCGUUUUUCAAGCUAUGUUCCACAUUCACAUUCACCAAUGUUACUGAAGAGCAAAUUCGACUUCGGUUAUUCCCAUUCUCUUUGAGGGAUAAAGCAAGCAGUUGGUUGGAUUCUCUUCCCGAAGCAUCUAUCGACACAUGGACAAAAUUAUCGAAGAAGUUUUUGUCCAAGUUCUUCCCCGCUCGAAGAACCAAUGCUCUGAUCAAUGAAAUCAUGAGCUUUCGACAACAAGAAGGUGAACAGUUUCAUGAAAGUUGGGAGCGCUAUAAGGACUUGUUUCUUCAAUGUCCUCAUCAUGGUUUCAACACUUGGCAAAAGGUUCAUUAUUUUUACAAAGGUUUGAACUCUCAAUGUAGGAGUUUGGUUGAUUCAACGGUUGGUGGAACCUUGAUAGACAAAACUCCAGAAGAUGCCAUACAUGCCUUUGAAACUAUAUGUGAAAAUUCUGAGCAUUGGGAUUUUCCUACAAAAGAUUUGAGAGUUCCAACUGCAUCGUCAACAAAAAAAGGAGGCAUUUAUGAAGUUAAUACAAGGACGGGCUUAGAGGCACAAGUGGCAGCCCUCACCAAGCUUCUCACACCACUUGUAAGCAAGAUAGCCACGCAGCCAUGUACUUUAUGUGCGAGCAUCGCCCAUGACAUGGAAAAUUGUCCAACAAAUGCUAAUCUAGAAGGCAUCCAAGAGGUCAAUGCAUUUAGUGGGAGGCCCCGGAAUGAUCCAUAUUCUAAUAAUUAUAACCCGGGAUGGAGAGAACAUCCAAAUUUUUCUUAGAGAGAUUCACAAAAUAGCAUGGGAUCAUUCACUUCAACAAAGCAAUAUCAGCAACCUUAUCAAGCUCCUCCAAUUCAACAAAAAGACUCGUCUAUCAAGGAUAUGUUAUCUCAACUCUUAAAGAAAACUGAUCGGUAUGAACAUGAAGUUGUGUCGCUUAGACAAAGUCAGACGGUGUUGGAAAAGGCUCGAUCUAAUUUUGAGACUCAGUUGGGACAGAUAGCUACUACUUUGAACAAGCUGGAGUGAGCACAAGGGCAAUUUCCAAGCCAAACUGAAACAAAUCCUAGGAAUCAAAAGCAUGUUCAAGCUGUCACCACUUUGAGGAGUGGAAAGACGAUUGGUAAUAAUGUGGAAAGUUCAAAAAUUAAUAAGGAAGAAGAUGAAGGGGUCAGCACAUAUCGGGCAGCAGCUUGACAAGACAAGCUAAAAAAGAGAAGUAUAUGGGAGAUAUUUUAGAGCAAUUUAGAAAGGUGCAGAUUAAUAUUCCUUUUCUCGAUGCCAUCAAACAAAUUCAAUCAUAUGCGAAGUUUUUGAAGGAACUUUGUACUAACAAGAGACGGUAUGAAGAACAUGAGGAGGUGAAGUUAUCAGACACGGUUAGUGCGGUUCUUCAAAGAAAAUUGCCACCAAAACUUCAAGAUCCUGGUAGCUUUACAGUCCCAUGUGUCAUUGGAGAAAGAAAAUUCGAAAAAGCUUUGCUUGACUUGGGAGCCAGUGUGAAUUUGAUGCCCUAUUCUGCUUAUAAACACCUCAAAUUAGGCGAACUAAAGCACAUAUCCAUUUCUCUACAAUGCACUGAUCGUUCUGUGAAAUAUCCAAGAGGGAUUGUUGAAAAUGUACUUGUGUGUGUUGAUCAAUUUAUUCUUCCUGCUGACUUCAUCAUUUUGGACAUGGAAGAAGCCGAAAUUCCUGGUCGUGACUUGCCUCUCAUUCUUGGCAGACCUUUCAUGGCUACUGCAGGUACGAAGAUUGAUGUUAAAUCGGGAUUAUUAACUAUGACUGUGCAAGGUAUUACUGUAGAAUUUCAGGUCUUCGAAGCAUUGAAGAAGCCCAUGGAUCUUUAUGACUGCUUUCGUGUUGAGGUAGUGGAUCCAAUUAUAAAAAAAAACAUUCAUUGAAUCAAGCAUCUCAGAUCCUCUGGAAGUUUGUAUCUCUCAACAUGGGAUGAGUUUUGAAAAGGCUACCAUCAUUGAAGCAGAACGAGAUCUCAAUGCCGUAACGUCCUACUCUCUUAGAUGCCAGCCCAAAUUUGAAGCGUUGCCACUCACAAGCCAAAAUUGUACCAUCCAUUAUACAACCUCCAAAGCUUGAAUUGAAGCCUCUUCCAGAGACUUUAAAGUAUGCAUAUUUGGUGAUUCAGAGACUCUUCCUGUGAUUAUAGCUGCUGAUCUUAACCAAACAGAAGAGGAAAAGUUGAUGCAAAUGUUGAGGGAGCAUAAAACAGCAUUGGGAUGGAGUAUUGCAGACAUAAAAGGAAUUAGUCCUCAAUUUGCAUGCAUCGGAUAUAUCUUGAGGACAAGUCAAAGCCUUCUAGAGAGGCACAGCGACGUCUAAAUCCACAUAUGCAAGAAGUGGUUCGGGCAGAAGUUCUUAAAUUACUGAAUGUCGGCAUUAUUUAUCCUAUAUCUAACAGCAAAUGGGUAAGUCCACUGCAGGUUGUACCACAGAGAUCUGGAAUUACAGUUGUCAAGAAUGAAAAUAAUGAGCUUAUACCCCAGAGGACUGUCACGGGUUGGAGAAUGUGUACAGAUUACAGAAAGAUCAAUAAUUCAACUCGAAAAUAUCAUUUUCCACUCCCUUUCCUUGAUCUCAUGCUUGAGAGACUUGCAGGCCAUAGUUAUUAUUGUUUUCUUGAUGGCUAUUCCAGAUAUAAUCAAAUUCCCAUAGCUCCGGAAGAUCAAGAAAAGACUACUUUCACAUGUCCAUUUGGAACUUUUGCCUAUCGACGAAUGCCUUUUGGGUUAUGUAAUGCUCCCGCAACAUUCCAAAGAUGCAUGAUGAGCAUUUUCUCAAACUUGGUGGAAAGGUGUAUCGAAGUGUUCGUGGAUGAUUUUUCCGUGUUUGGGUCAUCGUUUGAUCAAUGUCUUCAUCAUCUUUCAUUGGUGCUCUAACGGUGUCAAGAAACCAACUUGAUUUUAAAUUGGGAAAAAUGUCAGUUUAUGGUGAAAAGUGGUAUUGUUCUUGGUCAUGUAAUUUUAGCUGACGGAAUUGAAGUUGAUAAAGCUAAGGUGGAGCUGAUUUCGAAGCUUCCUCCUCCCACUUCUGUAAAAGAAGUUCGAUCCUUUCUCGAGCAUCCAAGUUUUUAUCGCCGAUUUAUUAAAGAUUUCUCGAAAAUCACCAAGCCACUUUGUGAUCUGCUUGCUAAAGAUUCUGUGUUUAAUUUAAAUGGUGAGUGCUUACAAGCUUUUGAGACCCUCAAGAAAGAAUUAACACAAGCCCCAAUCAUAAAAGCUCCAGAGUGGUCUCUUCCUUUUGAAAUCAUGUGUGACGCCUCUGAGUAUGCAAUAGGUGUUGUGUUAGGGCAGCGAGUUAACAAACUUCCUCAUGUUAUAUUUUAUGCUAGCCGAAUUCUCACUUAACAACUUUCAUAUCCCUUAGUUUCCAAAAUUUAAUAUACAAAUUUAGUCUCCCAAGCAUUGCUAUAUUACUUAAGUAUUGAUUAAUAGACUUAUUUCUUAUGGUGACACAUUAUUUAGUUUACAAAUUUAGUCUAUCUAACAUUACUCUUUUGACAUUGUCUUGUCCACUGAUAUAAUUCUAUUUUUCUUGUGAUCAAAACUUCAAAUGUUAGCAAGUCGCACGUAAAGUCGCUUCUGAGAGAAUGUGCUCACAUUGUAGUUGAAAGAUUAUGUGGCUAGCAACAUUACAAAUUUAAUUUGGUAUAAUUUUAAAAUAUAGAUUGAGGAAAAAAAGGAUCACAUUAACUAGAAACUGAAAAGGUUUCGGCGCAAUAUGUUCAAGCAAGAAACUCAAUUUUGAUGCUACCGAUCUUAACAGCCUGAGCGCCGUACCUGGGCACUAAAGUCACCACCACACUCUCAUCAUCUUCAGCACCCAAAUCCUCCAACAGGUCCGUUAACCCCAACCUUAAACAACUCUUGCUCUUUUCCUUCUGCUUAUGUGGCACACUCACAAAACUCCCAGCAAACUCGCUCUUGUCGGGUCCACUCGGUGCCGCAUCCUCAUCAUCCACGUCAUUCACAUACACAUCAAACUUCACAGCCACAUCUUUGUCAAGCUCAAUCCCCCGAAUCACCAAUAUCUCCUCCUCAUCCUCUUUCUCCUUCUUGCUCCUCUUCUUCGGCUUCGGCCUUGACACCACCGUAGUUAUCUUCGUCUCCAAAUUUAUUGGAAAAUCUUUACCCGCCACCACCUUCCCCGAUGACGUCGUCUCAGCGGCCUUCGCCACUCCAGCCGCCUUUGCCUUUCUCGCAAGCUUUGUCCGACGUGGCGUCGGUCUAGAGUUGAGCCAUGGAAUCUCAACAUCUUCAUACGUAUACCCUAGCUUUUUAUUAUCAAGAGUGUCCCUCACCGUGACCCUAACAAGCUCAGCAUUCUCGUCAUAAAACAAAAACCCCGUAUCCAACCAAUCCUUAUCGUUAAUAUCUUUAUUUUUAGUCCCUAUACUUUUCCAAAUAUUCCACAUUCGAUCCAGAUUCAAAUGGUGCGCAAAAAAUAUCGGAUCCCUUGCAGUGGAGUAAAAAUUCCCCAUGUCUUCAUAAUUAGGUUGCGUGUUAUCUCCGGUCCAUGUAUGAACCGGACCAUGUGGGGUCUGUUCGAUUGCACCGGCCCCUGGAUCUGGUUCAGUGCCAGCCCUGUAGGGCGAACCAAAGAACAACAGCGGUUUCUUGGAGUUGGAAACCAUCUGCCUAUACAUGAUUUUGAGGUUGGCUUCGAUUUGAGCAUCCUUGGACAUUGUUUCAUCCGUGCCGUUGAAGUCAAGAUCGAUGAGAGUUGGCGGCUGAUGGCUGGCAGCGCGGAGCUCGUCGUAAAGCGGAGAGUCAGGGUUAGCGUACAAGGCAGGGAGUUGCAUGCCAGCUGGCGCGUCCCAGUUCCAAAACGGCAACGCGAAGGUCGGAUCGUCUAUGAGUUUGGCCAAGAUUCUUUCGUGGAAAUAUAGGUAGUAACGAUGGAAGGGGAAGAAAAGCCAGGAUUGAUGGAUUUGGAGCUCGAGGUUGGGGAAGCCGACUUGGUCGUACGCACCGUUACAAUAGGCACAGUGGACAUCGGCUUGCUGGGUGAAGCUACGCGGAUCGUCGUCCGGGAGGGCUUUCAUGAGCUCGAUGGCUUUUGAGUAUUUUUCGAUGUAGGCUUUAUCCACGGCGUGAGCUGCCGGCCUGACGCGGAGUUUGGUAGGGGAGGGGAAUUUGAAGUCUACGAUUUUUUGGGACGUUGGCGGGCAACAGUUGGUCGGGACUGCUCCACUUGGAAAGUCCGCAGCUCCGCAUUUGGCUAGGUCAGGCGGCGACACUGGCUUUGCAACAGCGAAGGGGUCGCUGCCAAGACCAGCCACUCCACCGUACAGGCUUCCGAGACCUAUAAGUACAUGUCUUCUGUCUAGGUUUACUGGAGAAGGGUUUUCAUGGUCGUGAUCGUUGGAGCUAGUGGAAGGGUUUUUGUUUUGGUCACUACUAUUAUUUGUGGCUUUGCAUGAGACAGCUUGUAAAUUGGAAUGCCUAGGGUUUCCAAAUGAGGAUAUUCGGUGAUACUUUUGGGAGAAAGGAGAGAGAGAAGUUGUGGGGAUGAUACUUGUGGUGGGGGUGACGAGUGGAGCUGACAUAGAAGCCAUGGUUACUUGACUCUGAAUAAUACGUUGUAUGGGCUUUUGCUUUUAUAAUAUGUUCUAGGUUUACUUUUCUUUGCACAGGUGGCAGGCCGUGCACACGUUGUCGAGGAAUAGUACGUAGUCAUUUAGGAGAAAAAUCUAAUUGUGACGGAGGUGACGAGUGGAGCUGACAUAGAAGCCAUGGUUACUUGACUCUGAAUAAUACGUUGUAUUGGCCUUGCUUUUAUAAUAUGUUCUAG